GCUCAUGUCCCCUUGAAAGACUUGUUGUGAUCUUAUUUAUAGUUUUAGAGAUAUAUGGUUGGAAGGAGUCAUAUGUUAUGGUUGUGAAGUGAAUGUAUGAGGUUAUUUUACUAACGAACGUGGAACCUUUGGGAAUAUUAACGGAGCAAACGCAGGAGGAAAGGAACCUUUUCGAUUUAGGAGAAAGUCGACGUCGGACGCGUUCGAUAAGGGAGCAGGAUCAGAGAAUGGACCAAGGAACUCUCCUCCUACUUACGGCCUGUGAUCUCUAACUCAAAUCUCAAAAGAGAGAGAGAAGAAACAGAAUAGCCCCCAAAACGCUUUCGUUUUGACGACACAUCAAAGUGGUCCUUUCCUUGCAUGCAGAGUGCGCGUGUAUGAGUUUGUUUUGUGUGUGUUGUGAAUACGUCUCUGUUUUUACUCUUUUGUUUUUGUACGUCAUCUCGUUUCUACGUGUCUGUACAUUUUUUGCUGCGAUGAUGAUAAUAAAAAUACAUAGAUGCUUAAUAUCAGUUCUUUUUAUCCGUUGAUCCAGUACACUCUUCAGUGUUCUUUGUGUGGACAUAACAGUCCCUUCGGAGGCAAUGUUCAUUUUCUAAAAGAAAAAAAUUAUAAUACUAAAUACUAAAAUAAAUUUCCACAAUGACUGCAGAAAAACACUUUAAACUUUUCCUGAAUUGACACAUUAUCCCCAAUCUAAAAUUUUAAAAACCUAAAUUGGAAAAAGAAGAAAUUGACAAAUGGCCAAGUGUGUUUAGUUGAGGAAGCUUGCAAGGCCUAUGAUGUGGAUAGUGUAAUAUAUAUAGAGAUAUAUGAGAUAACUCUAUGAUGUGGAUAGUGUAAUAUAUAUAGAGAUAUAUGAGAUAACUUAUUUUGAACCAUACAAUAUUCUUUGGCAAAAUUAAGUUUAGUCUGACCAUUGCAUAGGUGAAGCAUCCUUCUUUACAACUAAAAUUAAAGGACCUUCUUCCUUAACACCUUACUAUCUUUUUGUGAGGCAAAGCUAAUAGUUUGAGGUUAAGGUGUUGAAUAACUUAGUAAGCUGUAAAUGGAUUAGACUCACCUGUCCUAUAAUAGCAGUAAUCAUUAAAUAAAUUCAGUUUCUUCCGGUCCAAGACAUAGAUUUGCUGAUAAGAUUAAGUAUUGUUCCAACUUAUAAAUGGGUGUUUACUUUUAUAUAUGAAUAAAUUGUAUCAGUAUUUCCUUUCCAGUCAGUGGGAAAAUUUAUGAAGUCACAAGAGAAAGAAAGAAAAAACAGUAACGCCAAUCGUUAGACAAACAAACAUUGGAAUAUAAACCUAUUCGAGGGAGAAGUAGGCCUUCCAUGUCAUCAGUUACCCCAUCUUCAUCGACAAACCUAAUUUUCUUACACUUGAAGCCUUCCAUGUUAUUAAUAUCAUAUCAUAUGAUUGUGUAUUUGUGUGCUACUGUAAUGUGAUGUUCAUAUGAUUGUAUGUGCGCUAGUGAGUUUGUUGACGAAAGGAGAAGCCUUUCUUACUCUGAGCUAUGGGCAGGACCUACUUAUUCCAACUCUCCUCCACCUACUUCUGUGCCCAUUCCUAAGUUCUCUCUCCGGCAAAGAAGGACGGUUUCUUUAACCUUUCCAUCUCCUGACUCUGCUGUUGAUGUUCUUGAAGUUGCUAAGUCUGCUCCUGUUUCUCCAACCUCAUCUUGUGACGACGACAACCCGUUCCACAGUACUGUCUCUGCUACUAUGACACUGCGCCGCAUGCUUAACCUUGAGACUGCUGACGAAUGAAGAUCAGGAGGGUUUAGGGGAACAUGGAUUAGUUUUAGUUUUCUGCACAUAGUAAUAAUAAGGUGUAAGUCACCAAGCUAGUUUAAAGAACACAGAGGCAGUCUUGACACAUAGCUGGUCAUCAGCUAUUGUGAGUAUAAACAUUCAGGAAACAGAUUGAAACUGCAUAAGGGAGAAGACUUGGUUCUUGGUUAGCAUUUAGCAGCAUAAAGGAUGGCUGGUGAUGCUUUGAGUAUUAGCAUUUGUUCUUUGUCCUUUGUAUAGUUUAUCUUUAGAGCUGUCUUUUUUUUUUCUUCCUUUGGCUUCUUUACUUAAGUGGGUUAGAUAGAAGCUAGGUUUAUGUGUCUACGCUCGAACGCCUCUUGGGAUCUUUGUCUUCUUACCUUUUCUCUCGUAUCUCUUCCCUUGUCCAUAUUUUUUCUAUUAAUCUUUUCUCUUCCGUCUAGUUCAUUUUGUUCAAGCCUUAGAGAUGUAAAUCUUACUACUUUGGUUAAGUGAUCUUCCUCUUCAGCUCUUUUCCUGAUUUUUUUUUUUGUAAAGGAAGAAGGGAAUAGGAAGUUCUAGUAACACUGAUGAGUUUCAUCCAUCUUGAUACCUGAAACACACUAAGUUUCCUUGGAGUUUCUUGAUCCUGCUUAAUCUGCUCACCAGGUAAAUUUUACAGCAAAAUCUCCCAACUAAUGAAUCUGGAUAUGUAGCUUUACACAAGUUUAUGACUUUGUAACAGGGACCUAUAGUAGCUGCUGCUCUGCUCUGCUUUAUUAUGGUUUCUUUGUCUCCUACUAUCUCUGGUUAUGUUUGUUACGCAGUGAUAACUAUUUUCUGCAGUUAAAAAAAAAAAAAACUAUUUUCUGUGUUUGGAACUGUUGUGUGAAGCUUUUUACAAACGUAUGUUUCUUCUUGUCUUUUAGUAGUUUGUGACAGUAGUAGACGUUUUGAGUUUUAAUGUUGAAGAGAAAUGUAUCCCUUGUUCCCUAAAUUAUUAUCAUUCUGUAUAUUUUGAACUUUUAUUUAUUUUUGUAGUGAGAUUUGGCGACUGUACUUGUAGAUUAAAGGCUGUUUUGGGUGUCAAACCAUAUCUGAAAGAUUGAAGCUCAAAUGGGCGUAUGUAGAGUUAAUACAACCAACAUAUGAAUUGAUAAAGCAUUUUACACAACUAAAAAAUCAAACUAUUAAUUAAAAUUUGUUGUUCAUUUUAGGAUUUAUCCAAUUUUCAAUUAUUAAAGAUUACAAACGGACACAAUGAAUUUCCUGAGAAGUAUCUAUCUCUCCUAAUCAUGUACUCUCUUAGUUCCAAAAGAUGUAUGUUUUUUUCUAUAUGGAUUUACCUUUUUAAUUUCAAAUAUAUCCACGUCUAACUAAUGGAAGAUGUCGAUGGUUUCAUCAUAAUUCGAUGGUGAACCAUUCGAUUAAUAUUUUGCCAUAAAGGGUUGGUAUUUGCCGACACUACAAGAAUUUUAAAUUUGGAUAUAAUUUAUCUUGUUUGAGAGUUUGCCAUUAGUCAAACACUCAAAUCAUACUAUUUAUUACGGUAUUAUACUAAAUCUAGAAAGUAUACAAUAAAAUCUGGAAAUUGAUAAACAAGAAACAGAAGAUUAAGGUACACUAAAAGCUAAAGAUUGGAAAAUUAAAGGACCAUCGAAACUAAUUGUUAUUGUAAUUUAUCAAAAAAAAAAAACUAAUUGUUAUUGUUUAGUGUGGAGAUCUCUUGAAAAAAGAAGAGAGGCCAUAGUGCUGGUUACUGUUGAGUGUUGAGAUCUUCACCAAAAGAGAAAAAGGAUAUGAGAAAAAAAAAAAAGAAAAAACUUUCCCUUGUACCAAUGAAACAAAACAGGUCUGAGUACUGAAAAAGUGUGAAUUUGGAAAUCUAUUUCCCACUCCCUUUCACUUCGAUCUCCUUAAGCUCAAACUUGAAAUAAUCCUCCCACUCUCUCUCUCUCUUUCUCUAGGCCUUCCUCUUUCGCCAUUUCGAAAUUGCAGAAACUCGCGCAACUCCGGGGGGUUCUCUUACUCAACUCUCUUCUCUUGUCUCACUGGUUAAAGACUCUCACUUUCUGAUGCCCUAGCCUUCGUAGAUUUGUGGGUUUCUCUUUGACUUUUCUGGGUUUGCUUCAGUUCUCCUGGAGGGAGCCACUAAGAUUAUGCUGCAAGAUUAGGGUUUUCUCGAGAAAGCUGUAAUCUUUGUGCUCUACACUUAAUGGGUAUCUGUUCUUUGGCGAUUUCGAUUGAGUUUUGUGCUUUAGAAAUGAUUUAGCUUUAGGUGUUGGAAGAUCUUGUAAUUCAAAGUUUAGAUUUUUUUUUAGCUUUAGGGUGUGUGUACUGUGAAAUAGAGAAGAAAGUAGUGUAUUGAUUAUCCUCUGGCUAUCCUGGAGAUCUGGGAUUUGUUUCAUCUCUUAUGUCAGAUGAGGACUUUUUACCCAUCUGAUUCUUGUAGUAAAGAAUCACAUCUCAAUUCCUUGAAUCCACAGUCAUGGCUUCAAGUUGAGAGAGGGAAGCUAUCUUCCUCUGCUUCUUCUUCUGCGUAAGUUUCUCUCUCUUUCCUCCUGCUGCUUUCAUUUGGUUAUCUUUAAGCGAUGGAGUUAACCCUUUGCUUUCUUUUGUAGUCCAUUGUGCAGAGAAUCCUUCAUCAAAGUCCCUGAGCCGCAGAUACUGCCUCACUAUAAGCCUCUUGACUAUGUAGAAGUUCUUGCUCAGAUUCAUGAAGAACUUGAGUCUUGCUCUUUAGAGGACAGAUCGAGUCUCUAUCUGUUGCAGUAUCAAGUCUUUAGAGGUCUUGGAGAGACCAAACUCGGUCAGAGAAGCCUUAGAUCAGCUUGGCAAGAAGCUACAACUGUCCACGAGAAAGUUGUGUUUGGGUCUUGGUUAAGGUACGAGAAACAAGGAGAGGAAGUCAUCGCCGAGUUGCUUUCUUCUUGCGGUAAGUAUUCAGAAGAGUUUGUGCCGUUGGAUAUUGCAUCUUAUCUCCCGGUUACUUCCCCUGAGGCAGCAUCUGUGAAGGUGAAGCGCCACAUUUCAAGAAACGUUGUGUUUAAGAUAGAACAAGAGAGAAUAGCUUGUGACAGAAGGAAGAUUGCUAGCCUUUCGGCUCCUUUCCACGCCAUGCUCUAUGGGAGCUUCACGGAGUCGCUUCUUGAUGAGAUAGACAUGUCAGAGAACCAUGUAUCCCCCUCAGCUAUGCGUGUUGUAAGAGACUUCAGCGUUGCUAAUGUUCUAAUCGGAGUCUCCAAGAAUCUUUUAAUAGAAGUUUUGGUCUUUGCUAACAAGUUCUGCUGCGAGAGACUCAAAGACGCUUGCGACAGAGAGCUAGCUUCUCUGGUCUCCUCCAUGGAAUGUGCCGUUGAGCUAAUGGACUUUGCGUUAGAAGAGAGCUCCCCGAUCUUAGCUGCGUCGUGUCUGCAAGUGUUCCUUUACGAGUUGCCUGAAAGUUUAACUGAUGAGCGUGUUGUCGAGGCGUUGACUCGUGUCAACAGAUCUCAAGUCUCAACCAUGGCAGGGAAAGCUUCAUUCUCUUUAUACUCUUGUCUAACCGAAGUCUCCAUGCGUUUAGAUCCUCGUUCCGACAGAACAUUGUCUUUCUUGGAGAAAGUGGUUGACUUUGCGGAGAGUGAUCGGCAGAGAAUGUUGGGGUUUCAUCGUUUAGGUUGCACAAGGCUGUUGAGGAAAGAGUACCGUGAAGCAGAAGAAGCAUUCGAAACCGCGUUUAAUCUAGGCCAUGUGUAUUCAGCAACUGGAUUAGCGAGAAUAGGUUACAUCCAAGGCCAUAAGCUUUGGGGCUACGAGAAGCUAACCUCUGUGAUCUCCUCCGUUUCACCUCCUCUCGGAUGGAUGUAUCAAGAAAGGUCUUUAUACUGUGAAGGCGAUAAGAAACUCGAGGAUCUUGAAAAAGCAACUGAGCUGGACCCGACUCUGACGUAUCCUUACAUGUAUAGAGCUGUCAAGUUAAUGUCUGAACAAAACGCUGAGGCUGCGCUCGAGGAGAUCAACAGGAUCUUGGGGUUUAAGCUCGCGUUGGAGUGCUUGGAGAUCAGGUUUUGUCUUUAUCUCGGUAUGGAUGACUAUGAAGCUGCGCUUCGUGAUAUCCAGGCUGCUCUUACUUUGUGUCCGGACUACAGAAUGUUUGAUGGGAAAGUAGCUGCGAGGCAGCUGAGGACGCUGGUCUAUGAGCAUGUGGAGAGCUGGACGACGGCGGAUUGUUGGAUGCAGCUUUAUGAGAAAUGGUCUAACGUUGAUGAUAUUGGUUCUCUUUCUGUGAUCUAUCAGAUGCUUGAAGCUGAUGCUUGUAAAGGUGUUCUCUACUUCAGGCAAUCUUUGCUUCUCCUAAGGUAAACUAAGUUCUCAAUCAGUUUCAUCCUAAGGUGGUAACCAUGAUUCUAAAAACUGGUCUAUGCAUUAUUUUCUUAAAUCCGUUUUAUACUACUCAAAUCAGUUUAAACCAUUAUAAAUCAAUUUAAAAUAGUUUAAAUAUGUUAAAUUAAGUAAUAAUGUUAGUACAAAUCCACAAAUUGGUCUAAUUUAUUUUGUUUUGUACAACUAAUUUUGAUAAUUCAUCAAAAUAAUCUUAGAAUUAAAUCCAAAAACUAAAAUAUAUUUUCUCUAACAUUUGUGGUAACUGAGCAUCUCAUGUUCUUUUGACCAGGUUGAAAUGUCCUGAAGCAGCAAUGCGUAGCUUACAGUUAGCUCGAGAGCACGCCUCUAGUGACCAUGAACGUCUGGUGUAUGAAGGGUGGAUCUUAUAUGACACUGGUCACUGUGAAGAAGGGCUUCAAAAGGCUAAAGAGUCCAUAAGAAUCAAGAGAUCAUUCGAAGCCUACUUCCUCCAAGCUUAUGCCUUAGCAGAGUCUAGCCUUGAUCCGUCUAGUUCUUCAACCGUUGUUUCUCUUCUUGAAGACGCUCUUAAAUGCCCCUCUGAUAGGUUGCGGAAAGGCCAGGUACGCCUCGUUCACCACCACAUAGUCAGGACCAGGCUAUAAGAUAAUUUAAUAAGAAUUUAUAUAAUUUUUUUAUAAAAAAUUUAGAGGUCUCUCUCUAUACAUGUAAAUUUUUCUUAGAAUUUUGGGGAUCUAGGCUAAUGUUUCAUUAGUCUAUGUUCAGGUCCUGCACUUACUGCACUUAGUACGGAUUCAGAGUUGCUUUAUAUUGUUUGUUUUGUUUCUAGGCUCUAAACAAUCUUGGGAGUGUGUAUGUGGAUUGUGAGAAGCUAGACUUAGCUGCAGAUUGUUACAUAAACGCUUUGAAAGUGAGGCACACACGUGCGCACCAAGGCCUAGCUCGAGUCCAUUUCCUUAGAAACGACAAAGCUGCUGCCUAUGAAGAAAUGACCAGACUUAUCGAAAAGGCUCAGAACAAUGCAUCUGCUUACGAGAAAAGAUCAGAGUACUGCGACCGUGAACUCGCCAAGUCUGAUCUUGAAAUGGUCACACGGUUAGACCCUCUCAGGGUUUAUCCUUACCGUUACCGAGCCGCAGGUUUGUCUUUAACUCAGCUCGUACGCUCUGUUUGUUGUUUGGUCAUCUUGCUGAUAGUGUUUGGUGUUUGAUAGUGUUGAUGGAUAGUCGGAAGGAGAAAGAGGCUAUUGAGGAGUUAUCACGAGCUAUUGCCUUCAAAGCUGAUCUCCAUCUACUUCACUUAAGGGCGGCUUUCCAUGAGCACAAUGGUGAUGUUAGUAGUGCGUUGCGGGACUGUCGUGCGGCGCUCUCGGUUGAUCCUAACCAUCAAGAGAUGCUCGAGCUUCAUAGCCGUGUUAAUAGCCAUGAACCUUGAGUGUCAAGAAAGCUUGAGAUGAUGGUAAAGUGUGAACAGAUUUGUAUUCAUAGUUGUAAACUUAUAUUCUCUCGUUACUCUUUAUUUAUUUUUGUUAUUGUUUUCCUUAAAAUCGGUAUUAAAUUUUCAACCUAUCAUCUUAAACUUCAAAUUUCUGUGGCCUAAAAAUGUGAAAACAAAAGUACAAACAAUGUGAUAGACAGAAAAGUAAAAGUAAAAACAUCGGAUUUAGCUUUACAAAAUCGAUGCCAAUUUAUCAUAAUUUGACUCCUAUUAUUUAAAUCUAUAAGCCAUAUUUUGUCAAAAAUACAAGUGUAUUUUUAGCAAUGGUAUCUCUCCGUAUAUGUAUAAUCUUUUGUAAAUAUUUUAUAAAUUCAAUAAUGUUGAAAUUUUAACAAUUGAUUAAUUUAUAGAAAACUUGUUAAUUAAUAAAAUAAUAUUUAUUAAUUUUAUAGAGAAAAGUCUUUUAGUUUAUAAUUUUAUGAAAAAUUAAAGAACUUAUUUCUAAAAAUAUUUAGACAAAAUUAAAAUAAUAUUAGCGAUUAUAAUAUAGUAAAUUUCUAUGGCAUAUUGGACUAUCUAGAUGACAUAAUCCUAAGUUCAAAACUUUAAAUCACGGUCUCAAAUAUUUAUGAAGUUGAAAAUGAUACAAUAAUAUGUUUUCGGAUAAUUAAGAGCAAAAACUCAAUUAUAUAAUAUGUGUUGAUAUGGGUUUCAAUAACAUUUUAACUUCAAUAAACAAAAAAAACUUGAGUUAUAUUUUAGUAUACUAUGUUAAGUUAUAUUUUUUUUUCUUUCAAAUCUCUCACAUCUAAAAUAAUAAAAAUUAGAAAAAGACAAAGAUAUAUAGGAAAAGACUGAAAGAUACAUAGAUGAGCAUUUCUAAUAAAAAUAUUUAAAAUAUAUAGAAAAUUAUUAAUAUUUAAAUUAUAUGAGUUUUUUUGAAAAAUGCAUACAAUAUUUUCUCAAGUUAGAUAUUUUAAAGAUUUUAGUGUAGAUUUUUAAAAAUUUAGAAGAUUCAUCCAAUUAAAUAUUGGUAUAAUAGUUUUAUUUCAUUUCAAUUUUAAAUACUCAUGUAAGAAGUUAUUCCUAUUAAAAAUGCUCCCAAAAAGGAAAAUAAACGGUGUUUGACUGUUUUCCUUGUCUUUUUGUUUUUUUGUUCUUGUCACGGAAUCUUAAAUUUACAGAAAAGAACAUUAUCUAUUUUUAGGGAAAUGAAAAUAAAGAAAAUAGCGUGAGUGAGGGAGAGAAAGUGAGAAGACUUUGACUUUGUUUUGAAGCGAGAAACAAGGCGCGGAGAAAUGAAGACGAUGAGAAACAGCUGCUGAAACAUAUCACACACCCAAAUUGCAGAAAAAAAAAUGUUCUUAAUCUUAAUCCACCAAUGAAAUAGUUUUUUUCUUUUGUUCCUCGUUAAAAUUAUUCAAAAAUAAAAUCUCGAUUUUUCGUGUCACCUCUCAAGAUCUGUUUCCUUAAUUAUGAGAUUAAAGGAUAAAUCAAAUUCGAAGCGUUGUUGUUCGAAUCGAUAAUCGCAAUUGGGGGUAUCAGAUCGAAGAAUCGGUUCUGAGCAACGUCGUCUCGAAACGGUGGAACGAUGAACUGGGGAACAUUGCUCAAGGACUUCAAGGAUAAGGUCGGGUUAGCUGACGGCACAACCGCCGGAGACGCUUCCCGUGACCUCAUCCCUCCGCCGUCGUCUCCACCAUCGCCUUCCUCGUCCUCGAGCUACGCCGCGUCUCCUCAACGUGACCUCACUUUAUUAUCUCCCACAAGGUAGGCAAUGAAUUGAUUAAUGUUGGCAUAAGCAGUCAAUCAAUGAGUCACUUGUUUAAUUUAAUAGCCGAGAGAGAUAUAACUUGGAGCUGGAGUUUAGGAGAUACUGGGAAGAGUUCUCUUCCUCCACCUCCGAACAGGUUCGUGCUUUUAUCAUUUGUUCAUUGAUGAUAAUCAUUUAAUUUAUAUAUUGUCACACCAGGAGAAAGAAGCAGCCUUGACUAUGACUGUGAAUACGUUUUGUACCAUAGCGAAGCAGCAUGCCAACAUAGAUCAUUUAGUUACCAUGUAAGCCACCCUCCCCUUUUCUAUCUCUAUGGAUUCAUAUUUUUUAUUCAUAUUGAGCUAUUUGCAGGUUAGUAGAAAUACAUGUAUUCUCCUUUGUCAUUGGGAGAGCAUUUGUGACAGAUAUUGAGAAGUUAAAGAUUAGCAGCAAGACAAGGUCAUUGGAUGUAGAGAAAGUUAUUAAGUUUUUUUCUCAAGUCACCGAGGUUUGCCUCUCCUUGUGAGUAUUAGUGAAUCAGGACAUGUUACCUUCUCUUCUAUUUUAAUCCAUGAUUUUGUUUUUUUUUUCCUGCAGGAAGGUAUAAGUCAUGGUGAAAACCUUUUAACUGCUGUUGAAGUCCUUGUAUCUGGGGUACCCUUUUUUACUUUUACUUGUCUUCCUUCUCUUGACCGAAUGAUUGACAACACUUAACUAUGAGUUUUAAGUUUUAGUUGUUUACCAAAAAAAAAAAAAAACUACUCGAGUUUCAAUAUUUGAUAGCUAACUGGUAGUUACCCUCACCAAUUUUGGAGGACGUGGGAAAUAUUUUAGGGUGCUGACUCUUUUAUGGUUUGAAUGCUAUAGACUGUAUUGGUUUAUAUACUCAACCUUUCAUGUGUUUUCUUUUUAGAACAUUGACAAACAAUCUCUACUGGAUUCUGGGAUAUUGGGUUGUCUUAUACACACGCUCAACGCGCUUCUGAUGUAUAGUGUAGCCAGUGAAGGUGAAAAAUCUGUUAGCUUGGAAGAAAAGGUAAAUAUGGCAGAUGUAGUACUCUUUAAGCUAGUCACUUGACGUUCUAUUUCAAUGGUUUUCAAUACAAAUCUGACAUAAGUGUUUCAUCCUUGGUACUGGCCAAAGUGUUUACUCUGCAAUGCCUUAUCUUUGAGACUUUUAACGCAUCCUCAUUCUUGCAGGUGGAGGAAAGCGUUAUCCAUAUCAUGAAAGCACUGGCAAGCCAUCCUUAUGCUGCACAGAGUUUGAUUGAAGAUGACUCCCUUCGGUUGCUUUUCAAAAUGGUUGCCAAUGGUUCCGUUGUGGCUUUCUCUCAAUACAAAGAAGGUCUAGUUUCAUCCCGUAACAUACAGCUUCAAAGACAUGCAAUGCAGGUAAUUUGUUGCUCCCCUGUUCUAAAAAUUGGGCAAUGUGUUUUGAAGCUGAAACAGCUGCGAACUGCACUUUAGUAUGAUCUUUGAAACUUGAGCGGAUGUUGUGAUGCUGAAAGUUUCAUUAUUGAUUCCCUUUGGUGUCUCGUUCAGAUUCUUGGGCAGCUUCUUGUCAAUGAUAAUGGGAGCACAGCAAGCUACAUACGCAAACACUAUCUGGUAUGCCAGUGGAUUCUGUAGAUAGCCUCUAUGUGGUAUACCGGUUCUUGUAUCAUGUAUCGUAAGAUGUAACCCUGAACAUAGGCCAAUCAUAUCGAGCUUAUCUUCAAACUAUCUGAGGUCUCUGUGAUAAGAAAUUUGGUUAUCAGGAGAAUUUAGUGAAUUUUACUAGUAGAGCCUGAGACUCAAACUAAUGAUAAGUAUUGGUUUUGUGCAUAUACUUUAGUUUGCAAUCUUGGCAGUGCCCUAUAUAUCUGCAGUCUGGUAUUUAAGAAGGUCUCUUUUGUGUGCUUAUAGUUAUUUUACCAUUCCACAAUAUUCCUUUUCUUAAAUUAAGGUGUUUAUAUGAAUGCGUGUCCUUGUUUUUUCUGUGAACUUUAAGAUGAAGGAGAUCAGUAAAAAGUGUCACUGGUAGAUCUUGUAACUAAGUACCACUUUUUGGAUUCUGUUUAGUGUGAAAAAGUGGGCGUAUGAAACGUUGCUUUCCUGAUUUUAAUUUUGCUUGCUCUAUUUUACGUCUUCGGAAGUAAUUCUUUGGCUAAAUUCUCCUGCAGGUAAAGGCUCUCCUAAUGGCUAUCAAAGAUUUUGAUCCAGAUUGUGGGGACUCAGCCUAUACAAUGGGCAUUGUGGAUUUGUUACUUGAAUGUGUGGAACUAUCGUACAGACCUGGUAAUUUGGCUUAGAGAAAUACACAAGAACUCAAAAUAUGUCAAUGCCUGUGGAAAAUGUAGCUGGAUAGUAUAAACAUUAGGCAGUCAUCUUCUUGCUUGUGGAUUUUGUAUAACGGCUCUGAGUAUGGUUGCUGAUCUUUUUCAAAUUUGAAUAUGUAGAAAAUGGUGGGGUCAGGCUAAAGGAGGACAUACGAAAUGCACACGGUUACCAUUUUCUUGUACAGUUUGCCCUGGUUCUAUCUUCCAUGCCGAAAAAUAUGGUUUCUGCCUCCAGUCAUUUAUCUCAACACCAAAAUAGUGGGUUGGAUGACUCUGAACUACAGUCACCCCAUUCAGUGAAUAGUAGGCAAAAUGAUGAGUUUGGAUCACAAAGUUUCUCCCCUUCACUAUCAAGAUUGCUUGAUGUUCUUGUCACCUUGGCGCAGACUGGUCCCAUUGAGUUAUCUGGAGGAAGUACCUCACUACUGCCUCAAACAAACCCCACUGGGUAUGAUGAAACAUGGGAACAAGGAAGUGGUAAAGUAAAAGACCUUGAAGCUGUCCAAAUGUUGCAAGACAUCUUUCUGAAAGCAGAAAACAAGGAUCUUCAGGCUGAAGUGUUGAACCGAAUGUUUAAGAUAUUCUCAAGCCAUAUGGAAAACUAUAAAAUGUGCCAAGAAUUAAGGACUGUUCCACUUCUCGUGCUGAACAUGGGUGAAUUUCCUUCCUCACUGCAAGAGAUAAUCCUCAAAAUUCUUGAAUAUGCUGUCACAGUUGUAAAUUGUGUUCCAGAGCAAGAGCUGUUGUCACUUUGUUUCUUGCUUCAACAGCCAAUCAAUUCCGAGUUGAAGCAUACCAUACUUUCGUUCUUUGUAAAGCUGACAUCUUUUGAUGUGCAGUACAAGAAAGUCCUAGGUGAAGUUGGUGUUUUGGAAGUCUUACAAGAUGAGCUGAGGCAGCACAAGCUUCUCAUGGGUCCAGAUCAGUAUAGUGGUGUUUCCAAUCAUUUGAAUCGGUUACCUAGUUCGCCUAGCUUCAAACAACACCUAGAUAGUAAGGAUGCCAUCAUUUCAUCACCAAAGCUAAUAGAAUCUGGUUCAGGAAUGUUACCUAUCUUUGAAGUUGAAAGCACUAUAACUGUUGGUUGGGAGUGUAUGGUCUCUUUACUAAAGAAAUCUGAAGCUAAUCAGGAAGCUUUUCGUUCUGCCAAUGGUGUGGCCGUUAUUCUUCCAUUGUUGAUCUCUGAUGACCAUCGUACUGGCGUUUUGAGAAUUUUGUCAUGCUUAAUCACGGAAGACGCUAAUCAGGUAAGUUUACAUUACAGUAAAAUGUAUCUUGAUUAUUCCUGUUUUACCGUUUAUCUGAUGAAUUAAUCAAAUGAGUUAUAUUAGUUUGGCUAGGUGUUUUAUUCUUUAGAUUAUGCCGCCACUAGUGAGGUUUCUGUUGUUUCGGUAUCAGAAAUCCUCUAGUAUCUUGUAAAGAGUAACUCGUAUCUUACCAUCCAAUCAGGUCCAUCAUGAAGAGUUACAUGCUGUUAUCGACGUGUUGAAGAGUGGAGUGGUCACUGGAAUCUCUGGGCAUCAAUACAAGCUUCAUCAUGAAGCCAUAUGUGAUACCAUGGGUUCUCUGUGGCGUAUUCUUGCGGUUAAUGGCUCUGCUCAAAGAGUGUUUGGUGAAUCCACUGGUUUCUCUCUUCUACUGACCACCCUUCAUACGUCCCCGGAAGAAGAAUGCAGGGAUGAGUCUCAUUUGAUGGUUCACAUCAAAUUGUUCAAACAUGUAUUGCGCCUCAUGACAUCUGCAGUGUGUGAGAAUGCUGUGAAUAGGAUGAAACUGCACAAUGUCAUUAUAUCUCAGACAUUUUAUGAUAUUUUCGUGGAGUCAGGUUUGAUGUGUGUUGAUCUGGAAAGACAGGUGAUACAACUGUUGUUAGAACUUGCACUUGAAGUUUUGCUUCCACCUUUUUUGACAUCAGAAUCUAUGGCCUCACCUGAGAUGGCAGAAAGUGAAAAAGCUAGCUUUCUUGUAAAAACCCCAUCUGGGCAAUUUAGUCCUGACAAGCAGAGGAUAUAUAAUGCAGGUGCUAUAAGAGUUCUGAUCCGUUCACUGUUGUUUUUUAGUCCAAAAAUCCAGUUGGAAUUUCUGAAUCUUCUGGAAAGGCUUGCACGUGCCACCCCAUUCAACCAGGAAAAUCUCACGUCAGCUGGUAAGGUCUUAUGUCCUAGAGUUCCUUGGGCUUAUAUUGUAAUUAGCUAAGUCAACUUUUAAAUCUUGUUGUGCACUCUUGUCGUCUUUACCUGUGAUUGAAUUAUUAUUGAGCAGGUUGCGUGGAACUUCUGCUGGAGAUUAUCCACCCAUUUCUUCCGGGUUCAUCUCCAUUUCUUUCUCAUGUUUUAAAGAUUGUUGAAGUUCUUGGGGCGUAUAGGUAGUUAACAUAGCUAAAAACUAAUACAUAGUCUUAAUGUGACUAAAUUUGUUUCGAGGCUGAUCUUAUUCGGUGUUAUUCUGGUGCAGAUUGUCCCCUUCUGAGCUCAAAAUGCUUUGUAGAUAUGGUCUGCAAAUGAGGGUUAAGAAUUCAGGUCAGGCGAUAGUUGGUAUGAUGGAAAAGCUAAUUCUCAUGGAAGACACAGGAUUGGAACAUGUUUCGCUGGCUCCUUUUGUAGAGAUGGACAUGAAAAAAACUGGGCAUGCUUCUGUUCAGGUGUCCCUGGGAGAAAGAUCUUGGCCUCCUGCUGCUGGUUAUUCAUUUGUUUGUUGGUUCCAGUCUCGUAAUUUUUUUGCAACCCAAGGAAAAGCAGCAGGAGAGUAUGAAGCUGGUGGUUCAUCAAAGACGCAGGUUUUGAGUGGGCAGCAAAGUGAACAAAAUGUUUUCCGGAUAUUUUCUAUCGGUGCAAGUAACGAAAGUCCAUUCUAUGCGGAACUUUAUUUUCAAGAGGAUGAUAUUCUGACCCUUGCCACUAGCAGUUCAAAUUCUUUGUCAUUUUCUGGAUUGGAAAUUGAGGAGGGCAAGUGGCAUCACCUUGCUGUUGUCCAUAGUAAGCCUAAUGCUCUUGCCGGACUCUUCCAAGCUAGCAUCGCAUAUGUUUACAUUGACGGAAAACUAAGGCACAUGGGUAAAUUGGGUUAUUCUCCUUCACCUGUUGGAAAAUCAUUGCAAGUAACAAUUGGAACUCCAGCUACUUGUGCCAGGGUAAGCGAUUUGACGUGGAAAAUACGCUCAUGCUAUCUUUUCGAGGAGGUGCUUUCAUCAGGCUGCAUUGGUUUCAUGUAUAUUCUCGGUAGAGGGUAUAAAGGUCUCUUUCAGGAUGCAUAUCUCUUACGUUUCAUGCCUAAUCAGGCUUGUGGUGGGGGCAGCAUGGCUAUCCUUGACUCGUUAGUCACUGACAUGUUGUCAUCGUCCAAUAGCCAAAAAUUUGAGGAAAGUAACAGGUCAGCUGGUAAGGUCUUAUGUCUUAGAGUUCCUUGGGCUUAUAUUGUAAUUAGCUAAGUCAACUUUUAAAUCUUGUUGUGCACUCUUGUCGUCUUUACCUGUGAUAUGAAUUAUUAUUGAGCAGGUUGCGUGGAACUUCUGCUGGAGAUUAUCCACCCAUUUCUUCCGGGUUCAUCUCCAUUUCUUUCUCAUGUUUUAAAGAUUGUUGAAGUUCUUGGGGCGUAUAGGUAGUUAACAUAGCUAAAAUCUAAUACAUAGUCUUAAUGUGACUAAAUUUGUUUCGAGGCUGAUCUUAUUCGGUGUUAUUCUGGUGCAGAUUGUCCCCUUCUGAGCUCAAAAUGCUUUGUAGAUAUGGUCUGCAAAUGAGGGUUAAGAAUUCAGGUCAGGCGAUAGUUGGUAUGAUGGAAAAGCUAAUUCUCAUGGAAGACACAGGAUUGGAACAUGUUUCGCUGGCUCCUUUUGUAGAGAUGGACAUGAAAAAAACUGGGCAUGCUUCUGUUCAGGUGUCCCUGGGAGAAAGAUCUUGGCCUCCUGCUGCUGGUUAUUCAUUUGUUUGUUGGUUCCAGUCUCGUAAUUUUUUUGCAACCCAAGGAAAAGCAGCAGGAGAGUAUGAAGCUGGUGGUUCAUCAAAGACGCAGGUUUUGAGUGGGCAGCAAAGUGAACAAAAUGUUUUCCGGAUAUUUUCUAUCGGUGCAAGUAACGAAAGUCCAUUCUAUGCGGAACUUUAUUUUCAAGAGGAUGAUAUUCUGACCCUUGCCACUAGCAGUUCAAAUUCUUUGUCAUUUUCUGGAUUAGAAAUUGAGGAGGGCAAGUGGCAUCAACUUGCUGUUGUCCAUAGUAAGCCUAAUGCUCUUGCCGGACUCUUCCAAGCUAGCAUCGCAUAUGUUUACAUUGACGGAAAACUAAGGCACAUGGGUAAAUUGGGUUAUUCUCCUUCACCUGUUGGAAAAUCAUUGCAAGUAACAAUUGGAACUCCAGCUACUUGUGCCAGGGUAAGCGAUUUGACGUGGAAAAUACGCUCAUGCUAUCUUUUCGAGGAGGUGCUUUCAUCAGGCUGCAUUGGUUUCAUGUAUAUUCUCGGUAGAGGGUAUAAAGGUCUCUUUCAGGAUGCAUAUCUCUUACGUUUCAUGCCUAAUCAGGCUUGUGGUGGGGGCAGCAUGGCUAUCCUUGACUCGUUAGUCACUGACAUGUUGUCAUCGUCCAAUAGCCAAAAAUUUGAGGAAAGUAACAGACAAGGGGAUUCCAAGGCAGAUGGUAGUGGGAUUGUAUGGGAUCUCGAGAGGUUAGGAAAUCUUUCUUAUCAGUUAGCUGGUAAGAAACUUAUUUUUUCAUUUGAUGGAACAUGCUCAGAGUUCAUGCACGCGGCUGGAAAUUUUAUCCUCCUCAAUUUGGUUGACCCAUUGUCCGCUGCUGCUUCUCCUAUUGGAGGUAUACAAUGAUCCCAUAUAACUGUAGUUUAUAUUUUACAUUUUUCCGUUUUAGUCUCAGUUGUGUUUCAUUCUACGUUUCUCAAUUAUAUAGGAAUACCUCGUUUUGGGCGCCUGGUGGGAAAUGCAAGUAUCUGCAGACAAAAUGUGAUUGGCAACACUAUCCGCCAUGUGGGAGGAAUGGCUGUUGUAAUUGCACUUGUUGAGGCUGCCGAAUCUAGAGAUAUGUUACAUAUGGCUCUUUCAUUGCUUGCAUGUGCCCUUCAUCAGAAUUCACAGAAUGUGAAGGAUAUGGAAACAUACAAGGGCUAUCAUUUACUAGCUCUGUUUUUACGUCCCAAGAUGGCGCUUUUUGACAUGCAAUGUUUGGAGGUAUUUUUCCAGAUUUCUGCAUGCGAAGCGUUCUUUUCAGAGCCAAAAAAAUUGGAGAGGGGACAGAGUACCAUUAGCAUGUCACCUACGAAGAAUAUACCUGAAAACAACUAUGAGGAUAUUAGUGUGUCAAAGUUUCAAUAUGAAACUUCUUCAGUUGGAUCUCAUGGAUAUAUGGAUGAUUUUUCAGGGCCCAAAGAUUCUUUUAGUCAGUUAUCUGAGCUAGAAAUUGGAGAUAUUCCUGUUGAAACUUCAAACUGCAUAAACUGCAUCGUCUUAUCUAAUGCAGACAUGGUGGAACAUGUACUCCUGGACUGGACUCUCUGGGUGACAGCCCCUGUUUCCAUCCAGAUCGCCUUACUUGGUUUUCUGGAGAAUCUGGUCUCAAUGCUUCGGUACAGGAGUCACAAUCUUACAAUCCUGCGCCGAAUCAACCUGGUAGAACAGUUGUUAGUAACACUUCAACGAGGGGAUGUGGAAGUUCUUGUCCUAGAAAAAUUAGUUGUUCUUCUUGGAUGCAUCUUAGAAGAUAGAUUCCUUACUUCUGAGCUUGAAAAUGUGGUUAGGUUUGUGAUUAUGACAUUUAAUCCACCUGAAAUAAAGUCUCGAAACUCACCAAGGCGAGAGUCAAUGGGAAAGCAUGUAAUUGUGAGAAACUUGCUUUUGGAAAUGCUUAUUGAUCUCCAGGUAACCAUAAAAGCAGAAGAACUGUUGGAGCAGUGGCAUAAGAUGGUCUCAUCAAAAUUAAUAACGUACUUCCUCGAUGAAGCUGUGCAUCCUACUAGUAUGAGAUGGAUCAUGACUCUACUCGGUGUUUGUCUCACUUCUUCCCCAAACUUUUCUCUUAAGUUUGUUACAAAUGGAGGUUAUCAGGGGCUAACACGGGUACUUCAAAGCUUUUAUGAUUCCCCAGACAUAUAUUACAUUUUGUUCUGCUUGAUAUUUGGGAAACCUGUUUAUCCAAGACUACCCGAGGUCCGGAUGUUGGACUUCCAUGCACUAGUGCCGAAUGAUGGAAGCCGUGUAGAGUUGAAGUUUUUAGAUCUGUUGGAUUCAGUGGUUGCCAUGGCUAAAUCUACUUUUGACAGAUUGAUCAUGCAAUCAAUGAUUGCCCACCACUCUGGAAACCUUUCCCAGGUGAGCGCUAGCUUUGUAGCUAAGCUUGUCGAGGGAAAUGUCGAUAUGACAGGGGAGCUUCAAGGAGAUGCUUUAAUGCAUAAAACAUACGCGGCACGGUUGAUGGGUGGCGAAGCAUCAGCUCCUGCUACUGCGACAUCUAUUAUCCGUUUCAUGGUUGAUCUUGCAAAGAUGUGCCCUCCAUUUUCAGCUGUUUGCAGAAGCGCAGAAUUUCUCCAACAUUGUGCUGAUCUUUACUUUUCAUGUGUCAGGUUUGCAUCACGUGCCUAUUAAGUAUAUAUUGAGUACCAUGUAAUUAACGUAGAUGUUUACACACAUUUGUUAUUCCGGAUUCAAAUUACUCUGGAAACCUUUCCCAGGCGAGCGCUAGCUUUGUAGCUAAGCUUGUCGAGGGAAAUGUCGAUAUGACAGGGGAGCUUCAAGGAGAUGCUUUAAUGCAUAAAACAUACGCGGCACGGUUGAUGGGUGGCGAAGCAUCAGCUCCUGCUACUGCGACAUCUAUUAUCCGUUUCAUGGUUGAUCUUGCAAAGAUGUGCCCUCCAUUUUCAGCUGUUUGCAGAAGCGCAGAAUUUCUCCAACAUUGUGCUGAUCUUUACUUUUCAUGUGUCAGGUUUGCAUCACGUGCCUAUUAAGUAUAUAUAUAUAUUGAGUACCAUGUAAUUAACGUAGAUGUUUACACACAUUUGUUAUUCCGGAUUCAAAUUAUGUUUCUCCAUCCCGAUUUAUGACAUAGAUGCAACAGAUACAGGAUUUUGUUUUUUGGUGUUGUAGUUAGAUAUGACCUGAAAGAUAUUUUGCAAAUUUUGACCAAAAGUUGGGUUGUGUUGUAGGGCUGCUCAUGCUGUGAAGAUGGCCAAACAGCUCUCAAUGAAAACAGAGGAGCAGUGUAUAAGUGGUGGGGAUGAUAGCAGCGCACAAGGCGUUUCCUCUAACUUGCCUCAAGCCCUGGACCAAUCCACAAAAACCUCCAUCAGUGCUGAAAGCUACCCUCAAGAGCAGGUCAGUGUGAGUUCUGAAGGCAUGCCUUUACCUUCAGAUUAUGUGGUUACUGAUAAGGUGGAGAAGAUUCUUACAACACCGUCAGGGGCUUCAGCAAAAUCAUUUCAAGAUCGUGAGUAUGUUAAGAAACUGGAUGGUGAUCGUGUUAGCCCUGUAUCAGCUUCCAGUGAACUGGAAUUUCGAGACUGUAAAGGUAAAUCAAGUCAAAUUCAGCCAACAGAUUCUCAGAGUUCUGAAUCCUUCUCGAUGCUGGAGUCUCCCGUUGUAUCUGAAAAAUCAAGUCGCAAAGGUCCAUUCACUUCUUCGCCAUCUCCGCUUCCAUCGCAUAUCUCAGUUAGUGAGUUUGAUGCAUCUUCAGAUCACAAGUCAGGUUCACAAGGUUUAUCUGCUGCCCAUACAUUGUUUAAAAUUAGCCCAAAACUUCUCCUCGAAACUGAUGAAUCGGGGUAUGGUGGUGGGCCGUGUUCUGCCGGAGCAAGUGCGGUGCUGGAUUUUAUGGCAGAGAUAUGUGCCGACUUAAUGACUGAGCAGAUGAAAGCGGUACAGACUUUGGAAAGCAUUUUAGAAAUGAUUCCUUUAUAUGUGGAUCCUGAAUGUGUUCUAGUAUUCCAAGGCUUAUGCCUUAGCAGAGUCAUGAACUAUCUUGAGAGGCGUCUCGUGCGUGAUGAUGAAGAGGAUGACAAAAAACUAGACAAAAGAAAAUGGUCUGCAAACUUGGAUGCAUUUUGCUGGAUGAUUGUGGAUCGUGUCUAUAUGGGCGCUUUUCCUCAGCCAACUGGAGUCCUUAGAACCCUCGAGUUCUUGUUAUCAAUCCUGCAAUUAGCUAACAAAGAUGGUAGGGUUGAAGAAUUCACUUCUUCAGGAAAAGGUCUGUUAUCCAUUGGAAGAGCAACCAAGCAACUAGAUGCAUAUGUUCACUCAAUCCUGAAGAACACAAAUAGAGCAAUACUGUAUUGCUUCCUACCAUCGUUCUUGACAACUAUUGGAGAGAAGAACCUGCUUUCACGUCUGGGCUUGCUUGUUGAAUCUAACGAGAGGCACCCCUCAGAUGAGGAAUCUGGAAUUGAUAUCUCAACAGUUCUUCAGUUGUUGGUUGCAAACAAGAAUAUCAUAUUAUGCCCAAGCAAUCUUGACACAGAUUUGAAUUGCUGUCUGUGUGUGAAUUUAAUCUCUCUGCUCCAUGACCAGAGGAAGAAUGUGCAAAACAUGGCAUCUAACAUUGUCAAACAUAUGCUGGUUCACCGAAGGUCUGCUUCUGAGGAUUUGCUUGUCAGAAAACCACAUCGAGGACAAACCCUCGAUGUACUACACGGAGGUUUUGAUAGAUUGCUGACUGGAAAUCUUCCAGAAUUUUCUAAGUGGCUUGAGAGCUCAGAAGAAACUGUAAAGAAAGUAUUGGAUCAUGGUGCUGUGGUUAUGUGGACUCAGUACAUAGCUGGCUCGGCAAAAUUUCCUGAUGUUAGGAUGAAAGGCAUGGAUGGCCGCCGUACGAGAGAGAUGGGAAGAAAAUCACGAGAUAUUUCUAAGUUAGACGUGAAACGCUGGGAGCAGUUAAAUGAGCGAAGACAUGCACUUGACAUAGUGCGUGAUACAAUGUCCACUGAGCUUAGAAUUGUCCGGCAAAACAAAUAUGGUUCGAUACUUCAUGCCGAGAGUGAGUGGCAAAAUCAUCUCCAACAGCUUAUACACGAGCGUGGUAUAUUCCCGUUGCGUGUUUCCCAGGGAUCUGGAGAUCUUGAAUGGCAACUCUGUCCUAUCGAAGGUCCAUACAGAAUGCGGAAAAAGCUUGAACGAUGUAGCCUGAAAGUUGAUAGCAUCCGUAAGUUACUAGAAGGGAAGUUGGAACUUGAAGAAAUUGAACUACCCAAACCGAAAAACGAAGAUGGCAUAGUUAUUUUUGAUAAGGAUUGUGAGCCAGAUUUCCUGCUAAGUGAACUUUAUAGCGAGUCCUUUUUCGAAGAAGCUGAUGCUCUUAAGGAUAUUCCUUCUGCUAGAAAUGGAUGGGAUAACGAUGGAGGCAGUAGUUCAAGUGAAACGAGUCUUCAUAACGCUCUUGAUUUUAGUGCCAAGUCUAGUGGUACAAUAUCUGUUCUAAUCAGCGAAAAUACAGAUGAAAAAUCAGAGACUGGAUCUCCAAGAGGGUCAUCUUCUGGUAAUAUGGAUGAAACAAGAGAUGUGGAGGAAGAAUCAGAGAAGGAACUGAACGACGAUGGUGAGUAUUUGAUCAGACCAUAUCUGGAACAUCUUGAAAAGAUUAGGUUCCGAUACAAUUGUGAGAGAGUUGUUGGUUUAGACAAACAUGAUGGGAUUUUCCUGAUAGGGGAACUAUGCCUAUAUGUUAUAGAGAAUUUUUACAUUGACGAUCAUGGCUGUAUCUGUGAGAAGGAAUGUGAAGACGAAUUAUCCGUUAUCGAUCAGGCGUUGGGUGUGAAAAAAAAUGUCACCGAAGGCUUGGAGUUCCAGUCCAAGUCUAGCCCACUAUGGAGUACAAAUAUGAAAACCGGAGCAGUAGGGGCAAGAGCAUGGGCAUAUGGCGGUGGGGCUUGGGGGAAGGAAAAAGUGCGUGUGACCGGUAACUUGCCACAUCCUUGGCGUAGGUGGAAGUUGGAUAGUAUUCAUGAAAUUUUGAAACGUGAUUACGAGCUGCGUCCAGUUGCUGUUGAGUUAUUUAGCAUGGAUGGAUGUACUGAUCUCCUUGUGUUCCACAAGAAAGAGAGGGAAGAAGUCUUUAGAAACCUGAUUGCCAUGAAUCUUCCAAGGAACCGCAUGUAUGUCAUCUCAUUUUGUUUUUUUCUCAAUCAAGAACUGAGCACUAUGUAGCUUACUUCUCCACAAGGCCCUCCAAAAUCUUGAAGCUGCUUGUGUAUUAUGUUUGCCAUUUUUUUCUUUAUUGCAGGCUGGAUACAACCAUAUCAGGAUCAGGGAAACAGGAAAGUAAAGAGGGUAGUCGUCUUUUCAAGUUAAUGGCAAAGUCUUUCACCAAAAGAUGGCAAAGUGGAGAGAUCAGCAAUUUUCAAUACCUAAUGCAUCUCAACACCCUAGCCGGACGUGGAUACAGUGAUCUCACACAGUAUCCGGUAUUUCCAUGGAUUCUAGCGGAUUAUGAUAGCGAGAGUCUUGAUUUGUCAGAUCCAAUGUGUUUCCGGAAGUUUGACAAACCAAUGGGUUGCCAGACGCCUGAAGGAGAAGAAGAAUUUAGGAAACGGUUUGUGAUGUGCCUCUUAAUCUUUGUCUAAUGGUACUUAUGAUUGAUUGUGUCUUCAUCAAGUCAUAACUGGAUUAUAUUUUUUCCUUUCUACUUUCUCAUUUCAGAUAUGACAGCUGGGAUGAUCCAGAGGUGCCAAAGUUUCAUUAUGGUUCUCACUAUUCAAGUGCAGGCAUUGUUCUCUAUUACCUCAUUCGCCUCCCACCGUUCAGUGCUGAAAACCAGAAGCUCCAGGGUGGUCAUUUUGAUCAUGCUGAUAGACUUUUCAAUAGUAUUAAAGAGACUUGGCUAAGUGCAUCUGGGAAAGGAAAUACAUCAGAUGUGAAAGAACUAAUUCCUGAGUUCUUCUACAUGCCCGAAUUCUUAGAAAAUAGAUUUAACCUUGAUUUCGGUGAAAAACAGUCGGGAGAAAAGGUAAGGUUAAGUAGUUCUAAUGGUGCUUGUAUAUGUACCUUUUAGCUUCUCCGUUCGUGAGCAAGUUCCUUGUUAAAUUUCAGGUGGGUAAUGUCUUUUUACCUCCUUGGGCUAGAGGGAGUGUUCGUGAAUUCAUCCGCAAGCACAGAGAAGCGUUGGAGUCUGAUUAUGUUUCAGAGAAUCUGCAUCAUUGGAUAGAUCUCAUCUUUGGGUACAAACAGCGAGGAAAGGUACAUUACAUGUUCUCCUUCUGGAUCAUUUGCUUCGUGAAAUAUUGAAUCUUACAUGUUCUCAUUAUUUUCAGGCUGCAGAAAAAGCAGUGAAUGUUUUCUAUCACUAUACCUAUGAGGGGAAUGUGGAUGUAGAUGAAGUUACGGAUCCUGCCAUGAAAGCAUCGAUACUAGCGCAGAUUAAUCAUUUCGGACAAACGCCUAAGCAACUGUUUCAGAAACCUCAUGUUAAAAGAAGAACAGACAGAAAAAUCCCUCUGCACCCUCUGAAACACUCGACGCAUCUAGUUCCUCGAGAUAUACGUAAAUGCUCAUCGUCUAUAAACCAGAUCAUCACUUUCCAUGACAAGUUGCUUGUUGCCGCCUCAAACUGUUUCCUGAAACCGAGAGGCUAUAGGAAGUACAUAAGAUGGGGUUUCCCAGACAGGAGCUUGCGAUUCAUGAGCUAUGAUCAGGACAAGCUCUUAUCCACACAUGAAAAUCUCCACGAAGGCAACCAGAUCGAGUGUGCUGGUGUUAGCCACGAUGGGCGCGUUGUCGUCACUGGAGCAGACGAUGGUCUACUCUCUGUGUGGAGAGUCAGCAAGGAUGGUCCGCGUGGCUCACGGCGUUUACGGUUAGAGAAAUCCCUUUGUGCACACACAGCCAAAGUCACUUGUCUACGUGUAAGCCAACCUUACAUGAUGAUUGUGAGCGGUUCAGAUGACUGUACAGUUAUCAUAUGGGAUCUCAGCUCAUAUAAUUUUGUGAGGCAGCUCCCUGAGUUUCCAGUUCCUGUUUCCGCAAUCUACAUAAAUGACCUAUCAGGAGAAAUCAUAACUGCUGCUGGAAUUUUACUCGCGGUAUGGAGCAUCAAUGGAGAUUGCCUUGCUGUGGUUAACACAUCAUCACAGUCACCAUCUGAUUUUAUAGUAUCAGUAACAGGCUCAACGUUUUCUGAUUGGCUGGAAACAAAAUGGUAUGUGACUGGUCAUCAAAGCGGGUCGCUUAAAGUGUGGCAGAUGGUGCAUUGCACUGAUCCGGUCGGUGCUGAGAUCAAAUCUGCUAGCAACAGAACAGGAUGGACAAAUCUUGUGCCGGAAUACAAGUUGCUUCCACACAAGGAGUUGGAUUGCCAUAAGCAACCGAUCACAGCUCUGCAUCUCACGGCCGACCUGAAGCAAUUGCUGAGUGGAGAUUCGGGUGGACGUUUGAUUUCAUGGACAGUUCCAGACCAGAUACUAAAAGCUUCACUCAAAAAUGCUCUCAUAGCUCAGAAUCUUAAGCAUCAUCAUCUAGAAGCUAGGAUUGGAAUCUAAAGCAAUCACUAAUGGUAGAUGAAAAUCAGAAUGUAAGACCUCAGGACAAACGGUUGGCUUUGUGUGAAUCUCUUACCUCAAGUAUUGAUUCUACCUCUUCUGUUUUGCAGGUUUACUGUUUUCUUAAAUCGAAAAAUUGUGAAGCAACAAAGGGAUGGAGAAACUGGUACAAUAACUUACAGGCUUUUGUAUUGAGAAUUUGUGUAGAUAGAGCUAAUAGGCAAUUUAUGUAAAUUAAUAGUACAGUCCCAUCUCUAAAUUCUCAGAUGAAAAUUUUGUAACCAUUUUAAUGUUUUUUGUUUGUAGCUUAGGAACUUCUAACUUGAACAAUGGCUUCAACAUUAAUGGUGAUAUUUCUGUUUUUAAACUGUAAACCAGACAACAGUUUCAUGUUUUUCUGUUUUUAAACUGUAAACCAGACGACAGUUUCAGGUAAUGGAGUCAGUGAAUGACCUUGCACAGCACAGGUAAUGAAGGACUUAUCAGCUCUUGUGAUUGACCAGAACAUACUUCAUAACACUUUUUUGGUUUAAACAAUUUAUCUCACUAGAGCUCUCUCAACGAAAUGAAUACAAUUAACAUAGCAAAUGUAUGUCUCUGAAGUUCCAAGCAACUUCAAGUUGAUAGGGGUAUAUGCCCUGAAAAAUCUCUCUCUGUGUUCGGUGAAAAUCCAAGAAAACUCUUGCGAAACUCUAUCAAAGAGCCAAUAACGAUCCAAAUAUGAUUUGACACCAAAUCUAUAUAAUUCUGGUGAAAAUAAGCUCUUGUAGCGAUUCUAUUGAUGAUGGAAAACUAGUAACUCUUAGUCUGGAUUUAUAGUGUUAGCAAGCUAUAAAUAAAUUAGUAUGUGAACUCGGAUCUAAGAGUAUUCACAACGGUUAGCACAGUAAUAUACAUAUCUAUUCUAUUAAAAUAGAAGUCAUGAAUUUUUCCAUGUGUGAUUUUUUUAAUUUGGACUAUCCUUUAAAUUUUUUAUUAAAUGUAUUUUAUUAAAACUAGUAACACAUACACAUAGAAUCUAUUCUACUAAAAUAGAAGUAAUGACUUUUUUCAUGUGUGAUUUUUUUUUAAUUUGGACAAUCCUUUAAUUUUUUUAUUAAAUGUAUUUUAUUAAUAACACGUAGAAUCUUUGAACUACUUUAAUCAUAAUAUAUUCUUAUAUCUUUUUAUUUUAGAUAUAAAAAUAUAUAUAUUUUUAAAAAAAUCUAACAAAUCUGUUUGAAAAUAUAUAAAUAAGAUCUUAAUUUUAAAAAAAUAUAUGUACAUAUUUUCACUAAUUUUGUAACUAGUUAUGAAAUAUUAUAUAUAUAUAUAUAUGUCAAUAUCAAUAAAGUUUAAUUAUAUACCAUAUAAAAUAAAUAAAAUGAUUAUUUCGAUUUAUUUACCAAAAACAUGAUUGUAAAUAAACAAAAGAUAUUGGUUUUGAUUUCUGUGUUUACUCUAAUGUAUAUAUUUUUUAUGCAUACAAAUUAUUUUUUUUGUUUUUUGAAACUCAAUCUCUUUAGAUGCAUGGUGUUCUUCUCUAUUACAUUUGAAGCGUAAAUCAUUUUUUAAUAAUCUAAAAUCAUUUUUGAUAUAUAUUACUAAUGAAAUCCAUAUCCCCUAUAUAUUAUUUGAUGAUCAUUUAAAAAAUUGUAACAUCAAUUUUGUAUUAAUUACAAAACGAAGUUGCUGAGGUGUUAUCUCCAAAUUUCUUCUUAAUGCUUAUAUGGUACCCUUACAAUGAUUUUGGAUAAACCUUCGUCUUAUUUAUUUUUCCGUAGAUAAAUUUAUUAGCAUUACAUUAACUAAAACAGUCCACGAUUAUAAUAGAAGACGUUUAUAUUAAAGUUUUAUCUAACGUUUAUAUUUUAACAGAUUGUUAUAAAAUGGAUUAUCCCUUAUUUUAAAAGUAAAUCUAUUUCAUAAUAUAAGGUUGAGUAAAACUCAACCAUUUAAAUGAAAUGAUAUAUAAAACUCAACAUAACUUGCAAGAACAAAUCUGGUUGUAUAGCCCUUCUGACGGUUAUUCAAAUUUUCUUCACCAUUAGAAUUAAUGUAUUAUGAGCGCCUGUUAACUACUAAUUAAGUAUAAUUCAAAGGAGAAAUUACCUACACCGAAUAGAAUAGUAGAACAUCCUGUUUUAUGGUAAAAUUGGUAUCUUCCUUUUACAAACACAUCUAUAUUUCACAAACCGAGCAUUAACAAAACUUUCACUGGUGAUUUCUUUUUUCAUAGAUACCAAAUUCAGUCUAAACCUAAAGCAUAAAAACAGAACCAUGAACCUCGGUCUUUCACUUUUGAUGUUCUUCAAGUCGAGAUUAUAAUCAAUUGUUACACAUAAAUAAUCAAGGUAUGUUUUCAAAGGUUCAUUGUUAGUAGGUCCAUGACAUUUUUUGAUGAGAGAAUCUCUAUAUCAUUUGAAUACUAUAGUCUAUUGAACUAUCAAGUAUCCAUUUUAAAUAUAUACUCGACAGUUAACUAUAAACCGUGCAAUUAACGAGUUAUUUCAGUUUUUCUCUAUUUGUGGUCGGUUAAUAGUCUACAUUAUUUCAAUUGAACUGACGGAUACACAAUGCACAAUUUGGUCGGUAUAAUAAUAGUCUUAGAUGCGAUAUGUAAAUUAGCGUGAUACACAAAUGAAGAAUCAGUCUCAUAUGGUAAGUUUACUUUAAUUGUUUCUCCGUUUAUAACAAUGUAAAUACACUAUUAAUACUUGGCAUAUGGUACGUGAAACUUUGUCACCAAUUAUAUUGUUUCUUACGAAUAUUUUUUCUUGAUAUACAAUUUGGUAUAGGUGCAAUAUGGUAAGAUGAUAUUAAAUGUUUCUAUCGCAUAGUUUAAGAAACUAAGAUAGUUUGUCACCAAGUCUAUAUUUCAGCCAUAAAUUUUCUUAUAUAGCAUACAAAAUCUUAUUAUGCGAUAUUUUCAAGUUGCCAAAUAUGUAAUUACAUAUUUAUUGAUAUUUUACAGAAAUAUUUUUUCGUUGACAAUAAAAAGAUAUGGUUUAUAUUUUCAAAUCUAACUAAUAACCUAGCUCCUAAAAUUACCGACGAUAUAGAGGUAUAAAUCAUCACAUCUCUAAUUCUUACGAUUAAAGGAAACAAUAAUGGCCAGUAUGAAUUAUGUUGCCGAUUUGAGACCAUUCAAAAUGAUGGGGAAUAAUAGGGUUAAAGUAAUCCGACUGUGGAAACGGUACUCAGCUACUGCUGGUGAGAAAAUGUAUGGUCCUGACGUUAGGUCCUUAGAGCAACAUUAUCGGGCGGCCCUUGGCCCGUCCCGAACACUAUUUGGGCUAAAAAGAAAAUCAAAAAGAAAAGAUUUUGUUUGGUCCGGGUCUUAAUUAAGGUCUUUUUUGACGCGUCCCGUGAGCAACGUGGCAGCACAGGAGAGGGAGAUGUAAACGAAGUCGAUGAAACCUAUUCCGUGUGUUUCUCCUCUUUUGUCGAAACUGAAGCGAAAUCGAUUCACCGCUGUCGAUCUGAUUCGCCUCAAUCCGCUUCUCCUCGAUCCGUUUCUCUUCGCUCUGUUUCCUCUCCGACAUCGAUUCAGUCCACCUCCGAACAGUUUCCUUUGGACAUCGAUUCAGAGUCGACCCAAACUUGGGAAGGUAUGUGUCUAACCUCCAUUGUAAUUUUGAGAAACCGAGUAGGGGUGUGUAGAUUCAAUGGUUGUUUGUUGUUUGGUUGUUUGUUGAUUAAAUGAUUGAUUUGAUUCGCUCUUCUCGUUCGUUGUUUGAUAUGCUCCGCUCUUGUGAUUGAAGUGGUUGUGAACGGAAUAGAUAUAUAAAAAUGUAUUGAUUCGUUGGUUCUUUGAUGCUUGCAAAAACUUUAAGAUUGAAUGGCUGUGAAUGAAAACUCGUAUAGAUUGAUCGAUAAUUCGUAUAGCUUCUAAGCUCGGGUCUUCUGUAUAUAUUUGAUGUAAUGGUUGUUUCAUAAUUAAUAUUCGUAUAGCUUUAUUGAAAAUUCGUAUAGCUUCUCUACCUUUCAAAAUCGGAUAGGUUGAUAGAAUUCUUUGGUCUGUUAUCAGUUAAAAUUUGAAGUAUUUUAAACAACUUAGAAUUAUGGUUUACAUCUCUUCACUCUUUACUCAACUAGAGUGACACCUCCUUAAUUUCACUCUUUACUCUAGUAGACUCACACUUCUUUACGUCUUUACUGAACUAGACAAACUAGUUCUACUGUCGUCGUUACUUGAAACCGUAGAUAGGUUAGUAAUAAGUUCAGAUUAGACAUAUAUGGUUUAUGGUUAGUCUUUAUGUAGAAACUUAAUACUCUUCACCAGCUAAUAUUAAACUCCCAUCUCAAUCCCCUUAAAUAUACACACCUGCCUUCUCUCUUCUAUCCAUCUCCUAAUCUACAACUCUCUCUCAAAUAUUUAUCUUGUAAAAGUCGUAUGGGUUCAAGAAAUUUUCAAAGUCAGUCCUCUAGUUACGUAGGACUGCUUAACAGUCAACAAGGAAGUCGUGUGAAUGAAAACUUUCCAUAUGAAAGUUUUCAUUCAACUGUCAACUUUGGAGAAUCGGAGAUCCCUCCCUUUAGUUCACAACAAGCUGAACAGACGCCAGUAGACACAUCAGUGGACCGUAAUGCUAGACGCAAAUGGGGCCCAGCUGAUGACGCGGUUCUAAUCUCUGCUUGGCUUAACACUUCGAAGGAUGCCGUUGUUGGAAAUGAGCAGAAGUUGGGGGCCUUCUGGAAACGGGUUGGAGAUUAUUAUGCUGCAAGUCCUCAUGGGCAACAGGAGGGUGAAAAGAGAGGGGAUCUUACUUGUAAGAAGAGAUGGCACAGAAUAAACGAUCAAGUUACAAAGUUCUGUGCGGCUUACUCCGCGGCAGAGAGACAAAUUGGGAGUGGUGAGAGUGACACUGAUGUUCUAAAGAAGGCUCACGACAUCUUCUACUCAGAUCAGCAAAGCAAGUUUACACUUGAGCAUGCUUGUUCAAGAUGACGAUUUUACUUUUACCGUCAAAAAGGCUAAAAAACCCGGCAAUAUAAUUGCUCGUCGUAAAGAAGUUCGGGAUCCACAUAUCCAUCAACAAUUAAAAGAAGAUUUGAUUGAACAUAUAUGGGAUAAAUUUGGACAUCUUCCAAAUUACAUAUAAUGUGUUUUUGCUUUCUAUGAUUUAAAUAAAAUGUUUCUCUUAUUUUAUUUAUGCAUUUUGUAAUUUUUUUCCACUCCUUUGUAUUUUAAUUUUCAUGUUCUACGUAUUUUAAUUUUCAACUUUUCUUUAUAAUGUCAUAAGUUAUUCGAUAAUUUAUCUUCAAUUAAUAAAAAAAAAAUUAAUUCACUAAGGGACUUUCAUAAGUCCCACCAAUAAUCUAAUUUCUAAGGGAAAAUCCCUAAAUAUGACCUUAACUCACAAAUAACCUUAAAAUAUUCAAAGGGCCAAAAAAUCAAGUCCCACCUAUAAUGUUGCUCUUAUGCGAUAGGUGAUCUUUUGACUUAAAAAAACUUUAAAAAAAGAAUCAUCCCAACAAUACAGUACACAAAUUACAUAAUUAACAAAAAAGACAUUAUUGUAUUUUGGCCAAAAAAAUUAAUUCGAUCAAAUAUAUAAAUUUUAAUUUUCUAAACAACAUAUUUUAAAUAAUUCUUAUAUAAACUCAUCAUGCGCAAGACGCAAAUCUUAUCCUAUUUUUUAAAUAAAAGGUGAUUUCAAGGUUUUAUGCAAAUAUCAUAUCCAAUAACCUUUGAUUUGUAAAAUUUUUUAUAAAUACCAUAUUCAAUAAGGGAGGGUUUGGAUAAAAUCUAAUUUUUUUUAUAAAAUACCUAAUCCAAUAAGCCUCUUUAAUCCUUCAUAGAAGGUCUAACUACCACCGGGAAGUUUUAUAAACAUUGAUAUAUAAUAUAAUUCAAACUACAGAUUGAUAUGAAGAAGAGUAUAAACACGGUAUAUAUGUUAACUAAGAAAAAACAUGAUCAUAUUAUACUUGAUCAAACUGCUUUCAUCACAUGACGCAAUAAAAUACAUGAAAGGGGAACAGUAAGCACACUACUAGCCCACUCAACGUUAGCCCAAACUUCUUCAUCACCAUUCCGCUUCUCAAACGCAAUCAAAGCACACCAAAUAUUCGUCUUCUCAUGGCGAAGACGAGCAUUAUACACAAACUCGUCCCAAAUUAUCAAGAGUUUCCCACCGUAGUUAGCCAUUUCAAUAUGACCACUACCAGCUCGGCAAUGCCUCUCCAGUACCGACAAACCGUUGACCCUUCUCGAGCCAUUAUGCUUCAUACCGUACCAAAUAAAAUUUGUACCAGUGUAACAGUACCUUACAUAGUCUACCACAACACUAGACUCAAACAUGCGUGCUACAACUUCCCAUGUACCUUCUAUGGUAUCAUAAACAUCAUACACAUCCCAAUUGUUGCUUGAAAUAUAGAUCUUUUUCCCCAUCACUUCCACUUUCCUAAGUGUAGAAACACGUAGGAAGCCAGGGUCAGGUAAAGAUUCCCAAGUUUGAGUGUUUGUAUCGUAAACCUCACCCCAAUUCUUGGAUUCAUCUUCGCUACAACCUCCCAUAACGUAUAUUUUCCCAUCAAGGACACAAGCAAUGGGAUCCUCUCGAGCCACAGUCAUCAUUUUGGGGACUUUUCGCCAGAUGCCAGUUCCUAAUGUAGUGACCGACAGAUCGAAAGAUGGAUUACAGUAUCGAUUGAUUGCGUAGCACUCUGAACCAACCUUACACAUGAACGUUGGUGGACGACGACAAUAAGAAGAGGGUAUUGGUACUAACAGAGCAUUCCCGGUAGACUCUUCCUUCUUCUCCAAGUCAUUGGUUAGGGCUUGGUUAGGUUUUAACCAGAGACUGAACCAGGAAGGACUAGGACUUUUAGUGGGAAAAUGAAAACCGACAAGAAGGAUUUUUUCACAUGUUUUUUGAAGAAACCUAGUAUCUUUGAGCUUGGACGAUGAGAUGAGAGAGGCAAAGGUCUUGCUGACUAGAGAGAGUUUAGGGUAGUACGAUGGUGAUAUCCGCGCCAUGCAGUUCAGAAGGAUGUCAUUUGGAAGAGAAAAUAACGAAAGAGAUGGAUUCAAAUUCUUCUUCUUUUUCUCUGAUGGUUCAGAUUCGGAGUUCAUAGCUGCAGAGGCGGCCGUUGUACCACAAGUAGAGGGAGUUUUGUAAAACUAGGGUUAUACUAAAACAUUAUAUAAGUGCUAGAUUUUUUAUGCUAAGGCUCUGAUUGGGGUUUGGCUUUAACAGCUUUGAUUUAAUUUUAAAGGUUUUUAUGUUUUUUUAUUCAUUAAUAGCAUAAUCCUUAUACACUAAGGAAGAAACAUUGUAAUAAAUAUGUUCACACUACAAUAGACACGUGACAGUUUCACAGCGAUUUGAAAAUGAACAUACUGACAUGUCACGUGUAGAGAGAUUCUCAACCAAACUCUACAUAAAUGUGUUCACACUAUGUAUUUUACGUUUUGUUUUUAAAUAUAAAACUCACAUGUAAAAUUCCAAUAAAAUUCACACUAUCCAGAUUUUUCGAUUUGAAUCGAAAGUCAAUUAUACAUAGAUUAUACAGAUAGGCUGAGCAAAAUAUUUGUAAAUUUUAUAUUCGAUUUGUUAUUCAUUUUGAUUCAAACUUAAACAAAAAAUCAGGAUAUUUGUAGUCCUACGAAACCAUAAAACACUAAAAUGCAAUAUCUGUAAAAAAAAUGAAGCAAAUCACAAAUACUAAUAUUUUUAGGAACAAAUGUACAAUUUGAUCCAUUAUAUGCAUAUAUACAUAUAUUUAAAGAAUUAUAAAUGUAUAUAUUAUAGUUUAUAUAAUUUUUACAAUAAUUUUAUGUAUUAAAUUUAUUAUAUUAGGCAUUAGAAUUUAAAAAGUUAAAUAAUAAUUUAUUUUUGUAAUGAAAUAUUAUUAUUUUAUAUUAUUUUUAGAUUUUUUAUUUAUUUUCAAAAUUUUAUUUUAUUUACGGAUCAAAACCGGAUAUCCAUAAGAAAAUUUUAAAAUUUCCGGAUAUCUGAGACAUCAAUAUUCGGGUGGCUACAUAUCGAAUCGAUACUAGUACCUCCAAAUACUUGGAUAUCAGAUCCGUGUCAACCCCUAUUUACGGAUACAAUUUUAUUUUCUUUAUAUAAAAGAAAAUUCACUAAUUUCUAGGGUUAUUUUUUUAGUUAGUUUUAUUUUAAAAUUUUUAUCUUUCAUGUGUUAUUUUGAAUAAAAAAUAUCUUUAUAUAUUUACCAACCGCUUUUAUAUACUUUACAUACACAUACAUGUGGACAUUGACGUGAGUACCUAUAUAACUAAAUAUUCACAACAACUGAAGUAUUUAAUUCUCUUGGAAGUUGAAAUAUUUCUUUUUAAAUGAUUCUUUCACUAUCCACCAAAUUGUAGUGAAAUGAUUUAUUUUAAUAAUUUUAUUUUCUUUUUAUUGAAUUAUUAUAUUUUAUAAUAUGAAAUCAUUGGUUCGACGUAAGGACUAUCUAAAAUUCAUAUAACCUGAAACCAAACAGAUAAUAAUAAUUUUUUCAUAUAACCUAAAACCAAACAGAUAAUAAUAAUUUUUGGUUAGCACCCUGAUAAUCACAUUCUGCGCAAGGCGCGGGUUUUACCUAGUUGUAUAUUUAUAAUGAAACAUUUCAAAUAUUGUUUACUGUUUUUAUGGUUUUGAUUAUUAAUUUUUUUUUCAAUAUUUAAAAUAGUACUAACAGUUUUAACAUUCAAAAUUUCUACAGCCAAAAGCCUAAAUUAAGAGUGUAAAGCGCAAGUUCAUACCAAUCGAACCCUAAAUUUUAUUUGACGUCUUUUACGCUAAAUUUUUUUUUAGAAAAAAAAGGAAAGCUACCUUUUUGGUUCAAAAAUGUACUUCCUUUUUGGUUAAAAAAUACUUACUUCACAUAGGCACAAAGUUUUUAGUUUGGUUCAAAUAGUCUUUGUAGAGUAUAUUGUUUUUUUAAUUGAUGGCAAAAAAAAAAAGCUCCUAUUGCGCCAAACUAUAACUUUAUUAACUUGAACAUACAAAAUGAGACUUUAUUAACUUGAACAUACAAAAUGAGAUACAAUAUGUGUAUGUUAAUCAAAGAGCUGGGUAAACACAAAAGAAUAUAAAAUUCCUUUAUUAGCUAAUUGACAGAGUUGCGGGAUUGUGAUUUUUGUUUGACAAAAAUCAAUGUUAAGCAUCUGAAUUUAGACUCCCACAACUUGAUAUGGUUAAUAUCCACAAAUGAUCCAUGUAAGAUCUUAGCCAGGAGCUGACAAGACCCCUUCUAAGGAAAGGCAACCACGUUGAAACCCAUGCAUGAUGCCAUUGUGUUUGUGUAUACUGCAUACCUAUUAACAAAUUGCUACGCUUCAAUGCUUGGCGAGGCAUCCGGUAUUUUUUUUCUAAUAUGAAAUGAUUAUUAGAAGAGGGGGGAGGGGGGGGGCAGUAAUGUUAUUAGGUGGCGAGAAGGAGGGGUAAUAUAGUCAAUUUAGUGUUUCUGACUUUCAAGAUAGUGAUUACGAACGAAUCUGUCAUCAAUCAAAUCCAAGGAGGAGGAGAAAGGUAAAUGAGCUUUGUUCUCCUGAGCUUGAUUUUUCAGAUGAGGAAUUGAUUAGGGUUUGUUCUACUGUGUGUGUGGUGUAGUUUUGAAUCGAAAUAUGGCUGGGAGAGCUUCGAUCCCUGCUCGCAACUCUGCCCUCAUCGCCAUGAUCGCCGAUGAGGUAUAACCAAAUUAAAUCAUCGCUUUGAUUCAUUAGAUCAAUGUUAAUGCUUGGUUUGGAUCUCUGAGAUGUGAUCUGAACUGUAUCAAAGCGUAGAGAGUUAGUUAGUUAGUUAGUUAGUUGGUUUGCGAAAGUUGGAAUCUUUCUGUUAAGUGAAAUAAUUUUGAAGAUAGUUUGACCUUACUUGUCUCUAAAAUGGUUGAUGUUUGUGUACACAGGACACCGUUGUUGGCUUCUUGAUGGCUGGAGUUGGUAAUGUUGACAUCAGGAGGAAGACUAACUACCUCAUCGUCGACUCAAGUACGCUUUCUUUUUUCUAUUACUGUAGAAUUGUAUUAUUAAUUGAUUUUUCCUUUGUCUUUUAGAGACAACUGUGAGGCAAAUUGAGGAUGCUUUCAAGGAAUUCUCAUCCAGAGAUGAUAUUGCUAUCAUCCUCAUCAGCCAAUAUGUAAGUGCUUUCUUCCAAAUCCAGUAUACUUGCACUGUUAUAUUUACAAAACAUUAACGGCUGUGCCUGUGUGGUGUUAUUUGUGUCGUUAUCAGUGAGGUCAUGGCUUGCUUCACCUUUUAAAUAAUGGAUCAAAGUUACUGUUAUUGUAGGGUAGUUUUUGUUAUCUUGUUCCCAUUAGCUGUGUGACUGAACAUAUGAUGAGGCCACUUUGCAUCAGCCUUUUAAGACAUACUAUUCACGAGUUUGAAAUUGAUUGAGCUCAUAACUUAUUCAAAGUCUGUUUCUUUCUUUAGUGUCAAAAAAAACAUGAUGAGAAAAUAUGGCAUAUGCGUGUAGGUUGCCAAUAUGAUCAGGUUCUUGGUGGAUAGCUACAACAAGCCAGUUCCUGCAAUCCUGGAGAUCCCUUCCAAGGACCAUCCCUAUGAUCCUGCUCAUGACUCUGUUCUCUCCCGUGUCAAGUACCUCUUCUCUGCGGAAUCUGUGUCACAGCGUUAAACAUAUACACAUUCUGCAAGCUCGCCUGAGCUUUUAUAUCAUUUCUUUGUUUUUGACAUUCUUGUGUUCCUCAGUUUUCAAUAAUGUGUAUCUCUUGAUUUUUGUUUGGAAAUGGAUGUUAUAUCAGUAAGAAGCAAUGAUAACACCAUCUAGUUCUUUUUGCAUUGAAUAAAGAGAGUGAGUCAUUGUGUAUUCAAGAGUCAAGAGCAGACUUUAAAGGUUUAAGUGAAGACUCCAUCUAUUCAAUGUGAAGCAUUUUGAGUCAGAGAAGCAACCAAAAGGAAGUUCAAAUCAGGUCCACCUGGAUUUAAGAAGAAGAAUAUAAGUACAAGGUGGACUUGGGUUCGCUAGCCAAAACACAUGUUAGUCGGAUAGAAUCAAAAAUUGUCCGAAUGUUUUAUUUAUCAAAUAUCCAGGCCUAUUUGUUCUUGGCAACCACAAAGUUCCAGCCCAUUUACUGUUAUUUAUUGUUUCUGGAAGAUAAAGAAGAAAUGGCAAAAGUGAAAUAAUCAGAAAAAGCAAGGGCCCUUUCACAAAAAAAGAUAAAUUUUAUAAAAACCAGAGCAUAAAGUUUCACACUUUUGUUCUGCUCCUUUCUCGUCUCUGUCUUCUUCGUCCUCGUUCAUCCUAACUCACCAAACAGCUUUAGAUUUUCUCUUUCAAAUUUCGAACUCGCUACUCAUUAAAAAAAAAGUCCAUUCUUUUUAAAAAUUCGAAACCAAAUGGCUAGUAACAACAACCCGCAUGAGAACCUUUCAGACCAAACACCUUCUGAUGACUUCUUCGACCAAAUCCUCGGUCUUCCCAACUUCUCUGCUUCUUCAUCCGACGGUGGGUUAAGCGGAGGAGGAGCACCGCCGAUGAUGCUGCAGCUGGGCUCCGGCGAGGAAGGAAGUCACAUGGCUGGGCUAGGAGGAAGCGGACCAAGUGUGUUUCACAACCAGAUGUUUCCUCUAGGGUUGAGUCUUAACCAAGGGAAAGGACCUGUCUUUCUUAGACCUGAAGGUGGUGGUGUUCAUGCAAGUGUGAAUCGAUCUUCUUCUUCUUCUUCUAUGAAAGGACCUGUAAGGAAUCAAUUUUUUUGUUAUGCUUUUUCUAUGUGUUCUUACAUCUUUUGUCUUGUUGUUGUAAGGUUUUUCAUGGGCAGCCGAUGCAACAGCCAGCUCCAGCAGCGCCACAUCAGCCUACAUCAAUCCGUCCUAGAGUUCGAGCUAGGCGUGGUCAGGCUACUGAUCCUCACAGUAUCGCUGAAAGGGUAAAACUUUUACUUCAGAUUCUCUUUUUGUGUGUUUUGUGGAAGGGGGUAAAGCUGAAAGAUUUGAACUUUGUUACAGCUACGUAGGGAAACACUGUUAUAUUUACAAAACAUUAACGGCUGUGCCUGUGUGGUGUUAUUUGUGUCGUUAUCAGUGAGGUCAUGGCUUGCUUCACCUUUUAAAUAAUGGAUCAAAGUUACUGUUAUUGUAGGGUAGUUUUUGUUAUCUUGUUCCCAUUAGCUGUGUGACUGAACAUAUGAUGAGGCCACUUUGCAUCAGCCUUUUAAGACAUACUAUUCACGAGUUUGAAAUUGAUUGAGCUCAUAACUUAUUCAAAGUCUGUUUCUUUCUUUAGUGUCAAAAAAAACAUGAUGAGAAAAUAUGGCAUAUGCGUGUAGGUUGCCAAUAUGAUCAGGUUCUUGGUGGAUAGCUACAACAAGCCAGUUCCUGCAAUCCUGGAGAUCCCUUCCAAGGACCAUCCCUAUGAUCCUGCUCAUGACUCUGUUCUCUCCCGUGUCAAGUACCUCUUCUCUGCUGAAUCUGUGUCACAGCGUUAAAACAUUUACACAUUCUGCAAAGCUCGCCUGAGCUUUUAUAUCAUUUGACAUUCUUGUAUUUCUCAGUUUUCAAUAAUGUCUAUCUCUUGGUUUUUGUUUGGAAAUGGAUGUUAUAUCAGUAAGAAGCAAUGAUAACACCAUCUGGUUCUUUUUGCAUUGAAUAAAGAGAGUGAGUCAUUGUGUAUUCAAGAGACUUUAAAGAUUUAAGUGAAGACUCCAUCUAUGUGAAGCAUUUUGAGUCAGAUAAGCAGAAGCAACCAAAAGGAAGUUCAGAUCAGGUCCACCUGGAUUUAAGAAGAAGAAUAUAAGUACUUGGGUUCGCUAUGACUAUUACCAAAACACAUGUUAGUCAGAUAGAAUCAAAAAUUGUCCUAAUGUUUUAUUUAUCAAACAUCCAGGCCUAUUUGUUCUUGGCAACCACAAAGUUCCAGCCCAUUUACUGUUAUUUAUUGUUUCUGGAAGAAAAAGAAGAAAUGGCAAAAGUGAAAUAAUCAGAAAAAGCAAGGGCCCUUUCACAAAAAUAAAAAGAUGAAUUUUAGAAAAACAGAGCAUAAAGUUUGACACUUUUGUUCUGCUCCUUUCUCGUCUCUGUCUUCUUCGUCCUCAUUCAUCUUAAAGGCAUCACUCACCAAACAGCUUUAGAAUUUUCUCUUUCAAAACUCAAACUCGCUACUCAUUAAAAAAAAUCCAUUUUUAAAAAAAAACUCAAAACCAAAUGGCUAGUAACAACAACCCGCAUGAGAACCUUUCAGACCAAACACCUUCUGAUGACUUCUUCGACCAAAUCCUCGGUCUUCCCAACUUCUCCGCUUCUUCCUCCGACGGUGGGUUAGGCGGAGGAGGAGGAGGAGGAGCACCGCCGAUGAUGCUACAGCUGGGCUCCGGAGAGGAAGGAAGUCACAUGGCUGGGUUAGUAGGAGGAAGUGGACCAAGUGUGUUUCACAACCAGAUGUUUCCUCUAGGGUUGAGUCUUGACCAAGGGAAAGGACCUGUCUUUCUUAGACCUGAAGGUGGUGGUGUUCAUGCAACUGUGAAUCGAUCUUCUUCUUCUUCUUCUUCUUCUAUGAAAGGACCUGUAAGGAAUCAUUUUUUUAGUGUAAAAAGGUUAUGCUUUUUCUUAUGUGUUCUUACAUCUUUUGUCUUGUUGAAAAGGUGUUCCAUGGGCAGCCGAUGCAACAGCCAGCUCCAGCAGCGCCACAUCAGCCUACAUCAAUCCGUCCUAGAGUUCGAGCCAGGCGUGGUCAGGCUACUGAUCCUCACAGCAUCGCUGAAAGGGUAAAACUUUUACUUCAGAUUCUCUUUGUGGAAGGGGUAAAGCUGAAAGAUUUGAACUUUGUUACAGCUACGUAGGGUAUAAUUUUUUUAAAUAAAUAUUUUGAAAAUAUUAUAGCAUUAUCUUAAUUUUCAAAAAAUUUAUGUAAAUAUUUCAACUAAUUUUGUAAUUAGCAAUGAACUAUAAUUAUGCAUUAUAUAUAUAUAUAGUAAUCAUUUAUAAAAUAAAAAAAAUACAUUUUUAUCAUUUUAUAAUAAUAAUAGUUCAUAUUAAAUGAUUUUAUUAUAUUGAACUAAAUAUGAUAUAACCCAGCCAGUUCUUAUUCUUUCCUGUCUGUUCAUAGGAUUAGAGAUAUAAAAAUCAUGUCUUUGAAAUAACUUAGUUAUGUUAAAUUCUCCAUAUUGAUUUUUUUGGUCUUAGUUAUGGUCCCACCAUCACCUACCCUUCAACCCAAAUUUCAAUCUUGUUUUUUUUAAUGUGGUAAAGAAUAAUAUAGAAGUCCAAAAUGCUUUUGUUUCUUUUUUCUUUGGCACUUAGUCUAUCUUGUAAACACUUUUUGUUUUGUCAUAUAGAGAAGGCUAAUCAUGGUUUAGGAUUAAAAUAUCUGUAUAAUCAUCAUGCUCAGAUUAUAAUAUAAUCUCUUAGAUCAAACGCUUCUUAAUAUCAAAAUGCAGUCGGUUGCUUAAAGAUAAUGGAGACACUUUAGUAUGCAAUGAUGGAUUUCUGAAAAGAUGUUGACAAAAAAAGGAUUUCUGAAAAGAUAAUACAUUUUUUAUUUAUUUUGUGUGUUUCUUAUGAAAACCUUCCAUGCUCAUCUGAUAGUGGAGAAUGCAAUGAUGUAUUUCUGAUAAGAAUAAUAAAUGUUAUUUUUAUUUUAUUUUGUGUGAAAUCUUACAUGCUCAUCUGAAAAAAAAAGUAAAAAGUUUAUUUUCAUGGGAUAAAGCUUAUCUUUGGUCAACUUUUGGUAGGUUUUGAGCAUGAGUCGUCUUGGUGGAGCCGGUGCGGUUGCUCCACUUGUUACUGAUAUGCCUUUGUCAUCAUCAGUUGAGGUAAAUAAAAGAAAACAUCAAAACUUUUUAGCAAAGUGGGUUUCGACUCAAAACUGAUUAUUGUAAUCUCUCUCACUAGGAUGAAACUAGUGACGGUGGAAGGACACCACAGCCUGCGUGGGAGAAAUGGUCAAACGAUGGGACUGAACGUCAAGUGGCUAAGUUGAUGGAAGAAAACGUUGGAGCUGCUAUGCAGCUUCUUCAAUCUAAAGCUCUUUGUAUGAUGCCAAUCUCAUUGGCCAUGGCUAUUUACCAUUCUCAGCCUCCAGAUACGUCAUCUGUGGUUAAACCAGAGACUAAUCCUCCUCCACAGUAGGAUUUUUCGUGCAAGCAAGGGUUUGUACAGCAACUCAACGGGGUCUAAUAUGGCUUUAGUUUCUACUACUACAUCUCAUGACUGCUGGUUUCUUGCUGUUUCGUCUCCCUCCCACACCCACUUGUAUGGUAUGAUUGAAAGGUAAAACAAAAGGCGUUGGAGAUGGAAUCAAUGUAGGAUUUGCAAGGGAGAGUUUGUCAAAAAGCUCACUUGAUUAAAUAUGAUAUGUUAUCAUUUUAGGUGGACUUUGAUGAAAGCACCUUUUUGUUUUCAUGACUUUAGUGGGAGGUUGAGGAAGGAGCUUUAAGGGGUGUUUUAGUUGUAGUGGUGGUGGGAAGUGUGUGGGACCUGGUUGAGUUUAUGUACAAAUUAGAUGAAUAAUAAAAUAUUUGAAUUUGUUAACCGUUGUAUCUUAUAUAUUAAAAGAGAAGUCACAACCUUGAUUCAUGUGUGAUUUUUUUAAAAUUGGACCUAAUGGACCUAUUACUAGAAAAUCAUGUUACAUUUAAUUCUAAUAUUAUCAUUAUUAUAGAUCUAAAUAACUCAGUUUCUAUAUUAUAGGAACUAAAUAAUAUGUCUACUACAUUAUAGGAACUAAAUAACUAUCAAUCUUUAAAAAAAAAAUGAUCUGGAAACAACCAAUUCAAUACAAAAAAUAUACGAUAAAAUUAUUAUGUUUUAGAAAAUGAUAGACACUCAUAUAUAUUAAUAUAUACUAAUGUAGAAAUGAAAAGCAAUCAAUUUUACCGUGAUCUCGACCAUUUGAACAUAGCUAGAUCUCACAGGUAGAAAUAUUAACCCGUUGAAGAUUAACAUAGGAUAUAAUUCGUUGAAGAUUAACAAAGCUAGAAAUAUUUAAAAAGAUUCUAUGAAGAUUUUAACAAGAUUUUGUUAGAACAUUUUAAAUAUAUUCAUUUGUAUUUCAAAUGAAAAGAUAAAGAUAUUAAAAGAUAUAAUAAUGAACUUACGUAAAAUAUGAUAUUUUUUAGAAAUGGUCCAAACUAAAAAAAACACACAUGAAAAGAAGUCAUGGCUUCUGUUUUAAUAUAUUAGAUAUAAAUAAAUAUAUACACAUAUAUAUAUAUAUGUAUAAUUUUUUAAAUAUAUAUUUUGAAAAUAUUAUAGCAUUAUCUUAAUUUUCAAAAAAUUUAUGUAAAUAUUUCAACUAAUUUCGUAAUUAGCAAUGAACUAUUAUUAUGCAUUAUAUAUAUAUAUAGUAAUCAUUUAUAAAAUAAAAAAAAUACAUUUUUAUCAUUUUAUAAUAAUAAUAGUUCAUAUUAAAUGAUUUUAUUAUAUUGAACUAAAUAUGAUAACAUUAUAUUAAAUUAAUAAAAUUAUAAAAACAGUUUUUAUAAAUAUAAAAUAUUUAUGCUAAAAAUAUAAUACGAUGAUAUAACGACUUAACAUUCAAAACUAUAUAAUACAUAUAUAAAAUCGACAUAUCUUAGACUUUUGUAUAUAAUAAUAUAUUAUCUGAAAUAAAUAAAUGUAAAAAUAUUGCUAAUAGAAAACUUAGUUUUCAAGGUCUGUGGAUCAAAACUGAAUAUAAUUUUAAUAAAAAAAUAAUAUUUAAUAUGUUUUUAAUGCAUAUAUUAAUUUGUUAAAAAAUAUAUAUAUACCAUAAAUGAUGUAAAAAAAUAUUUAAAAUGAAAAUAAACACCCGCACGGUUGUGCGGGUCGAGAUCUAGUUAUUAUUUUAUUUGUGUGAAUUGGAGUGUAAUAGAUGAUCAAAUAAUAUCACUAGUUCCCUUUACUAAAACAGUAUUUUUGUUGAUGAAUUUGUCAAAUUUAUUGCUAUAGAAUUAUCCUGUUAUAAAAUCAUAGAUAUAAAAAAAUUCACAAUCUGCAACAGAGUGAUAAAUCAAGAAAAUAGAUAAUCAAAUAAUAUCACUAGUUCCCUUUACUAAAACAGUAUUUUUGUUGAUGAAUUUGUCAAAUUUAUUGCUAUAGAAUUAGUCCUGUUAUAAAAUCAUAGAUAUAAAAAAAUUUCACAAUUUGCAACACAGUGUGAUAAAUCAAGAAAAUAGAAACACUUACAAGUCUUUAUUACAACAAUUUUAAUUUCACCACAAACCUUGGAAUCUUGGAAGUGAGAUGAUAACAAAAGAGAACUCCUUUUGGUCAUUUGUUUUAAAAUGGGGUUUAACCUCCAAAACCAAGAAGACAGACUACAAAGAGUAAGCAAACUCAGUUUGAUGCUAUAGGCUUCAAACAUUCAUUAUGGCCUUUAGCGUUGUUAUUGAACCACAUAAAAAUUGUCGGCUUAAAAGAACUUAAGCUUAGCAAGCGUCAAGAUCACGGAAUUGUGGUGGCUUUGGCUCCCCAAGCAAUGUCUUGUUUCCCCCUUCAGGUCCGCACUUGAUCCUCUUUGGGUUUUGAGUUCCAUGCUGAAACAAAAGUUACAUAAUUAGAAUUUAGAUUUGGGUUUUGUGUUAAACAAAGAUUAAAGUAUACAAAUGCAAUGGGUUACUUCAAUGUCUUACCGGUGGCUUCUCUCCCUUUCUCAGCUUCUCAACAAUCUCUACAACUUUCUCAGGUGUAACAUCUUCCUGUUUAUUGUAGCAAUAAGACACAUGUGAAUACCAUUUUAACUCUUUGUCGUCUUACACAGUAUAAACGAAGGAAAAUAAUGCGGGAUGAAAGAGAAGUUAUUGGACAUACGAAAUAGUUAUAUGUAUAUCCUUCUGAUCCAUUGGAGUAAUCUGCCACAGUGAUCAUGGGCGCAUUGACACAGCAUCCCUGUCAAUAAAACCAAUUGUACAUGAGAUCAAGAAGUAUUAAUCUCGGCUAUGGUUAUGAAUUUACGGUUUCAGGAAAGUAAAGAGGUGAUAAGUAAUCCUUACCAUGCAUUCCAUCUCUCCAACAGAGAACAAACCAUCCUUUGUGACUUCUGCAACAUACAUGAUAAAAGCCAUAGAUCGUUAUGACUCAGGAACCAUAUGAUUUUGUUCAUGAAAGGUUGGUUAUUAGAGCUUUACCACCGCGCUUCACUCCCAAAUGGUCUAGCAAAGCUGAUUCGAUAUCUCGUGAACCACGGAUCAUGCAAGGUGUUGUGCCACAAACUAGGAGGUGGUACUUUCCGACCUGUAGGAGCACAAUUAAAGUGAAAAAAUGAGGGUGAGGGUGUUUGAGGAUUAAAGUAGAGACUUUACCAGAUGGGUAGUAAGUACUUCUUACCUUUGCCCUGUUGAACAUGGAAUAAAAUGUUGCAACCUCAUAAACACGAAUAGGAGCCACUUCUAUAACUUUAGCAACCUGCAAAAUUUUAUUGUGUUGUCAUUCAUGAUGGUAAAAUCAUAUCAACAGAUAUUGUAUUCCCAAAAAAAAAAAGAACUACAGAAAAUAAAGCUAACAGCUACAAUCAAACAAAAACGGAAAAUGGAAAAGAGAAAGAUAAUUAUAGAUGGUAAGAGUAUAGCUGAAAAAAAUAAUAACAAGAACGUACGGCAUUCAUAGCUGAAACAGGGAGCCAGCCUCCAUGCUGUUGUUGGGCGAGAUCCAGAAGGGGAAUCACAGCAGACUGCUUGUAGUUUGAUGGAUAGUAAGAGAGUAUCUCCUUAACCUAGAGAGUUUGAACAAAAUAAAAGAACUUUAGUAAAUCAUGUGGAAACAAAUUUCACUUGCUAUGCAAGAUUAGUGCAGCCAGACACGAAAGAAGAGUAAACGGGAACUAAAUGCAGAUGAAUAGAUUAGUAUUUUUUUUAUACUCUCCCAACAGUAUUUCCCCUACUUAUGUAAGUAGUUCCUUCCAAAACAGCCAAUUAAAAGCAAGUCAGUUAUUUCUAUCAUUUCUAGGGAACGCUAACUCACGGGAUCGUGAUGCCUGAUCAGAAGCCAGGGACUAUGUAUAAGAAGGGUACUGAAAAGCAUGUUAAACAUAUUCAGAGCUGCAUCUGGUCUGAGAUAACUAUUAGUAUUUUACUCUCCACAAAACCAGUUUACUAAUAAUCCCACUGACAGUCUUUCUUCUUUAUAUAUCAGUUCCUAAUUGUCAGAAACUCCCAUUACUAUUUUAUGAUUUAUGUAAGAGGGAACUGAAAGCAGGUUAAACAUAUUCAGAGCUGCCUCUGGUCUGAGCUAUGAGCUAUCUAAUCAGUAGGGAAUGAGAGAGCUCAUAGCUCAGACCAGAGGCAGCUCUGAAUAUCUAUCUAAUCAGAGCUACAUUUAUCCUAUAAAGAGUAAAAACAUUAUUUCCCCAUCUAUACUUUUUUUUCUUCUUAAAACACGAAUUUGGAUAAAAUUGCAAUUAGUUCAACAACGCAAAGUAACCUUAGAUUUGUUAGCGUCAGAGAACUCCCAUGGAAGAUCCGGUUUGUUGUCAGGAGAAUCCAGGUGCUAUAAUCAACAAAAAUAAUCAGAUUACUUAAUUAAUUAAUUAAAAAAAAGGAUAGAGAGAGAGAUCAAUCAAAAUAUCACCAAGACUCACGUAGUUCAAGGCUGUCGAGAAGCUUCGAGACGCCUAUGCAGAUAUAAAACACGAAACCUGAGGAUGAGAUCGGGAAAACGACGGAGAAAAAAUCUAAGGAAAUUUUUAAGAAAACCUGAGUGGGAGGUUGGCGGAUCUCGAGAAGACGCUUCGCAGCGAGCCUAGCCAGCAUUUUCGACGACUUUGACAAAACGAGAGACGAACGAACGCCUGGAUUUGAUUUGAUUGAAGAAUAAGAAGAGCCAAAGAGGGACACACGAGGGAGCUAGCUCACUAUCAUCACCUGCCUCAGGAGGAUUGACCACAUAAAUUUGGGCCUAAGCCCAUUUCUAGUUUCACUGUCAAACCUACUACUAUUGGAUUAUUAUUUCUUGGGUAUUCUAUUCAUUAUAGCCUUGUACGCCCAUUUGUAUUUAAAGAUUAGUUUAUUGAUUUUUUAUAAUUCUAGCACCUCCUUGUGAGCUUAAGAAACACUUUUGCGUCAAUGAACGUGUUCCUACCUUUGUUCAGUUAUGUCUAGAUAGGUUAAGCAUAUGAUGAGGAGGAUAUUUGGACCAAAGUUCAACUUAUCCCCAAAAGAGCAGCCAAUACCGAUUACUCUCUGUUCCUGAGUUUUCUAAUGAAGCUUAAGGGCAUAAUUUCAUCUUCCUCUUCUGUGGAGUUGGUAACGACUAACGAGGCGCCACUGGCUUCUGAAAUUUCUGCUAUCGCUUGUAUUUCACUUAGUUACGCAAAGUGCAAUAAACUCCAAACAACAUUUAUCAAAAAGGGAUAUGAACGUAGCUAAAAGCAGAUAUUAUCAAAUUCAUUAAGCCAUCUCCAAAUUCAUAUCCAAGAAACCAAAACCCCCCACAAGGUAGUUUGCAUCCCAAGAAAAAAAAAAAAGCACAAGACCGAAUGUCAAGGAAAUAACCAAAAAAAAAAAUUAAAAACAAAGUUUUUACUUAGGGUGGAAGUAUCCAAAUGAGAUUCUCAUAUACAAGCAGGAGAGCAGCUGAGAUGCUUCGAUUCAUUACCCCUUUCUUUCAUGAGUCAAACCACCUCCAUAGUUGUUUCUUUCCUUCUAAGCCAAGUACCUAAACAUGUUAGCGUUCUCCUUGUCCCUCUCCAAAUAAUCCCUCGUUAUCAAAUCCUCCAUACGCUUCUUGAUGGCUUUGAUAUCAGGCUGCAAAACACACAUAUCCAAUCAAGUUCCACGAAAACAUCAUCACUUAACUAUCUCCACAUGUUUCCUUAUAUAUAUAUAGAACAUACGUACCUUGAACAUUCGGCUAAGCUGCUCAACGCACUCGGAUACAAGCUGUUGAUGUCCCAACACUUUCCUGCUCUUCAUGAUCCUCACGAUCGCAGCAUCAAUCGCAUAGCGUCUGUCUUUGUCCACGUCUUCCACUACUUUCUUCCUUUCAUCGACAGGUGGGAGAGGGAUCUGUGAUGCAAAACCACAUAAAAGUUUAUAAUCUAAGAUAAUAACCAGUAGUAGUAACACAUGAAGUUUUGUGUGUUAAUGUUUUACAGACCUUUAUUCUGCGCAUUCUGUCGGUGAAUUUGGCAUUGAAUUCAAAUGAAUCAGUCUGGGAAACAAUCUUUGUGCUUGGCUCCUUGACAAGGAUCUUGUAUCUAGCACAUGACAAGGAAUGAAGCAACCUCACUAGAUCUUCAUGGCUUAGGUUCAGUUGAGUCAAGAUGUCGUUGUAGCUCAAUUUGUCUGUUGUGUUAAAGAGUAGAAGCACAGCAGCCUGAAAGCAAGUAACAAUUUGAAAAUUAGUAUCAGAAUUCAGAGGCCGUUUAAAGGAUCCAAUAUACCAACAGUUUCUGAGAAUACAAAUGAUACCUGGUAAGUCGACACAACUAACUCAAUGGGCUUGUGAUCAAACUUGCCGUUGAGGUGACAGGUUCCUAGUGAAUAGAUCCAUGUAAGUUUCCUGUGUUUCGUUUUAGUUUCAUAAAACCCUUUGAAAACUUCAACACACUUGACCUGAAACAAAGAAAUCGAUGGGAUUAGCUUCGCCUGGAGCAAACGUUUUUCCUUUUAGACAUACACUCAACAGAUACUUACCAUUUCACUGGGAAGAUUUAUGUCGAAUGAUUUGUAGCUUGGCCAGAAACCAGUUGUAAGAACAGUAACGGUCAAAUCAAUCCCUGGGUUUGCAGCGGGGUUAUUGCCUAGAUAUUCCUCGAAACUGGUUUGGUUUUCUCUGGCCAGUGUAAGAUCUGUCACCUGUAACCAAACAAAUCAAAUUUAUAGAAAGCAUAAAUCAUCAGAAAAAUCACCGUUCUGAGACAAUAAACAUAGGGACACGCAAACUAACCAUGCCCUCCAUCUUAGAAGUAAACUGCCCACCACAUUGCUGCUUGAGCUUUGUAAGAAUACUUCUCUCAUGAUCAUCAUUAGCACUGCGAUCAAAUAACAGCCUGCGUGCCAGCUUCUUCCUGAAAAACAGCCAAAAACAAAACCGCAUACAAUUUAUCCCAAUUUUGGUAAUUCCAUACUAUAUUAUUGGAAGGGACCUUAACAAAGAGCUAGAAUCAACAAACCAUAUAAGCAAAAAAAAUAUUAGAAUCCAAGGUAUAUAAAGAAAUAUAAGAAUGAGAGAUGAACCUGUAGAACUCGGCAAAAAGAUCCUUGUCGCUUAUAUAGGCAAGCAAUUUGACCACCUGUAACAACAUAAUAAGAUUAAACACCGGUUUAAGGAGAAACUGAAAAUGAAUAUAGCAAGCAACUUGACAAAAUACAAACCUUCUCAAGCGUGUCUUCAAUAGCUUCAUCACUCAGCUUCUCACUACCCCCCUUCUUGAGGAUGUUGUCGCAGAAUGUUGCAAGCAAUUCUGCACUUGAACUUCCAGCGACUGUUUUGUUACAGAAUAUCUCAAAUGCCUCUUUCAGAGCCUACAAUAGAAGAAACUUAAGUUAAUACAAACAAAUACACGCAUGCAAGAAGAUAUAUGCAUGACUAGUAUGCAGGAAGCACAUUAAACCUUGUGGAAGAGGGUGUGGUUCUGGAAGCACUCAACGACAUAGACCAUGUAUUUAUCAUGUAGCUCAAUCACUUUUCUGAUGAGAACCUGAAAGCAUAGAAAGAAAACGUGAAUUACUAAGUUCGAGAACAUCUUCACUAGUAGAAACAGUUGACACUGUUUUUACCUGUUCCUGCACGCUAGCAGUAUUUGCAGCCUGUGGAGUAAAAACAAAUCUUAGCGAUCACAGGCAAAGCGCGGAAAAGAUUUCAGAGUAAAAAACAAAAAAAUAUGAACCUGAUUAGUGGCCGUGUCUUCCGCCUGUUGGACGAGUGCGUUACCCUCGGCUGUGACAUGCUAUAUACAAAUUACACGAUGGAGUUAAUGCAGAACAGUAUUUAACAGAGUAAAAGUACACAAGGAAGAAAUGACUUCGCCAAUCUAAACCAUAAUAAUAAAGAUAGGUAAGCAACCUGCUUGAAUAUGUUUGCAACAGGUUCUAAACCUUUAGCAAUUUUAUGAUAAAGCCUGUACAUCCGGGAGAGAUCAUCAACCUGAAAGCACACAGAUACUCCAUCAAAGACAGAAAUAGAAAGACAAAAUAAUUAACAAUGAAACAAAGAGUAAGUUGCUCCACCUUGUCAUCUCUCAGCAAUGCACGGCACCCUGAGUGCUCUUUUUCUAGAAGCUGAUUUGCAUACACAACCAACAGCUCAUGUUGUACUUUCUGCAUCCAACAGAUUAAUAUAGAAGUCAAAUAGAUAUCAAUCAAAAUUAAUAUAUACUUUUCUGCAGAAGCAGGGUCUAAAAAGCAUGUCUCUAUGAAUAAAAAUGCAAAAUCAUGGCUUCUGUAAGUACACGCAUAAUGAAUGCUAUGCAUAAAGUCAAAGUGUCGUGCAUGAGGUAUCAUCAUAACUAACCUCAACCAGCUUUGGCUCGCUGCUUGAAUGAAGGUAGUGAGCCACUCUCUCCCUCUCCUUCUUCAGACAUUCUUCAGACUGCAACAUGAGAUUUAACAAGGAUACAUCAGACUAGUUAACAUAUGCAUUUUACUAAUUUGGAAUGACAACGCAAUCUAGAAAAUAAUAUAAGUAUUCAUACCUUCAGCAUGUAAUCAGGGCAAGAAUCUUCCUGGAUCCAGCUUGAUGCUUUGCGAGAAUAGUAAGAAGCUGAAUCCAAAAGCAUGAAGCUUUCAAAAUCCACUUCGUAUCUUUCCAUCUGUCCCAUUCCAAUCUCUACAUAGAUGUCCAAUACGUUUUUCAGAAGAGCCCUGUCAAUCUGCUCGCCCUCCCGUUCUUUAUCAACCUGACAUAGAAACAGCUCAUGUUAGACCUUGAAUAAGGUAAAAGCAAGAGUUGGAACUAAAUGUACAUUAUACACGCCACACUUACAAGUGCUAUUACAGCAUCUUUGACCUUGGAAUGCAACUCGUUAUAAACCUGAAAUAACAAAAUCAAUCAAGAGUUAAAAUAUCAUUGACGCCAUGUAAAGCCAUACAUAACAAGAACGAGCGCCAAACCCGGUCACGGAAGCAAGUCAGGCCAACUUCAUUCAGCGGUGGAAGUGAUCUCCGAGCAAUGAAGUAACGGUCAAGAUAGUAGAAGAAUCGGGAUAGCCAUCGAACCAUGACUUUAUGGUUAGACCAUCUCUUGACCAGCUCCCGCAGCAUGUACUCAUCAUGCUUCUCCUUCAAAGCAGGCAAAACCUAAUCACAAUAAAAAAAGAAAGAACGGUUUGAUCAACUUAUUGGCAUAUGAAACCAAGCACAAACCUCAAAAACUACAAAAUUGAUGAAUCAGACUCACCGUUGAGUUAAUAUACUCCUCAAACGCUUCACGAUACUUGUCAUAAAGCUGCUGCGAGUAAUCAUGAGGAGGCUUCUGGGUGCACAUGUUGUAGAUAGUCCUGAGAACCACACAAAACCCUCAACUUUCAUCACCAGUUACAAACAAAGCAAACACCUCUAAGACAACUCAAAAGACUAUAACAGAACGUACGUAUAGAGCAUCAUGUACUGCUCAGAGUCGAAUUGCGGCUCAGGCAAUCCCUCAAGAAUCCGUUUCAGUUUAGUGAUACCAGUCUGCAUAUAGUCCCAUCCUUGCUCCAAAUCAAUCGUCUUCCGCUCCAUUCUGAAAGAUUGAUUCCCAAAGCGCUCCUGGACCUAAGAACACGGAACAAAAUCGAAACUUUAGGGCAACAGUUUCCACAUUAUAGAAUCCCAAUCAAACUAUCGGAUGAUGAUAAAACGAACAAUCGAGAACGCUACACAAAAGCAAUCGACGUAACCCUAACAAUCAGAUCCCUAAAAAACUCGAAAACUAGGGAGCUAGACGAGAUCUUAGACCCUAAUUAGAGAAAGACGUUUCGCUUAACCUUGAGGAUUCCCGAUUCGAAAGGAUCGGGAGAGGUUUUGCGAUCGAGAGAGAAAGAUCAAAACCCUGAGAGAGUACGAUAAGAGAGAGGAAGAGGUGGAGACCUUUGAGCAGGACGGUGAACGAGGAAAGGAAAGGAUAUUUAUAACCCCCUCUCUUUUUUAAUCGCCUAUAACUCCUCCUCUAUUAUUCAGGCCGUAGAUUUUUAUCAUUUAUUUAUAAUCUUCGUUUAAUAUCUAUAAAUGUUUAUUUUCUAUUUAACCUUUUCUAAUUUAUUAGCCUGUUCAUUUUCCUAGUUACGGAUCUAUAAUCCUGUUUUAAAAAUCGGCUGCAUAGCUGUAUAGACGGCCGUCUAAACGUUACGCUUCACUCUUUCGUCCCAAUUUAUGAAAAAUUGGUUUAAAAAAUUAGAUAUCCGAUUUUUUCUGUUUAGACCGUCUAAAUAACCGUCUAGCCGCAUAUUCUAUUUUUUUAAUAAUAUUUUAUUUAUUUAUUUGAUCUGAAAUUUUGUAAAUAUCAUUUAUAUUCAUAAUUUUGAUGAAAAUUACAGUAUAUUAAUUUUAUAUAUUCUAUUUGUGUGUUUUAUACAAUCUUAAAUAUGAAAAUGUAUUAAUGUUAUACGCUAUUAAAGAUUACAUGUUUUACAAAAUUGUAAACAAUCUAAAAAUUUUGCCUCGCAUAAUUUCUGAUUAAUCCCCGAAUAACUGAUAUUGACUGUAUACAUAUGAAAAUAAUAUUUAGUUUUUUUAUAAGUGGUUAAAGUGUUUUAGUCCAUGUUCUCAAACGCGAACUCCUAACCGAGUAGGCGCUCGGCGGCACAAUUUUUUUCUCAAACAAUUAUGAUGAAAUACAUAUGUUACAUAGUUUGUGGAAAAUGCAUCAAUGGAAAGAGUUCAUUUUGAAAUUUUUCUUGUAGAACUAUAUACUUGUAAGCAGAUGCAGCUACUGAUUUUUCACAUAGCGUGAUGGAACUAACAUCCAAGGUGAUCAGCUGGUUUAAAUUUCAAAAAGAAGAAGGGAUUUGAUCAACAAAAAUGUUAUUAGAAAGACCGGAGAAAGUGAGCUGAAAAAGGUUUCCUACUAUAGGCAUACUCGGACCACAGAAAAAAAAUAUUAAUAGAAAUGUCGAGUUUGUCAAGAUAAUAAAGGUUUUCAAUCCAAGAAAGAAUAUGAUCCAAAAUUUUAUUAAAUGAAAUGUCAAAAGAAACGAGAUGAGAAAGAUUUACAAUUAAAGAUGGAAUCCGACUCAAAAACCAAAAAAAAAAAUAUUAUCGAAGAAAAAAUGCGACAGGUGAAAAACUAUCGUGCGAAAGGUCGAGCGACGUGAGUCCAGAAAGAUUUCCAAUUACAACAAGUCGUUAUUAGCCCAUGAGUCCGUCUGGGUUUAGUAUUGAUAAUAUAACUGUAAAGAAAGAGUUGAGAACCUUGGACUCGUUUCUGAAAUCGACAAGUGUGACCAUUUGCUCUGGGGCCGCAAACACGGCCUCGUAAUUAUAAACGAACAAGAAAAAAAAAAGACAAAGAGUGAUAGAAAUGGUAUUCAUUCCUUUCUGAUAGAAGAAAAGAAGAAGUGUUGAUGGUAUUAUUAGUAUAUAAACACGCUUCCAUGCCCACCUAUAUACACAAUAAUCUACAAAGAAAAAUUCCAAUCAGUUUGACUCAGUACUUUUCACACAUUUUUGGUCCCCGGCGGCUACAUUGAUUACAAGAUCUUUCCAAUCCAAACAAGAAAAAGUUACGAGUGUCUUAUUUUGCUCUAAAUAACAGCAUUUACAAGCUUUUUACAGUUUUUUUCAAAGAGUCUGUUUUGCAUUGUUUCGUGAUCAUCACAUGCACAGUCUUUCGUUUUGUUUUUCGGUAUAUGUUAAAACUUUAGUUUUUUUGCCAGCAAAGUUUUAAUUUGGGUGGUAAAUGUUUUUUCUUCUAAUUAUUAAAGAAGUUCAGAAUUGAGAUUCUUAAAAAGAUUGGUUAGUAAGACUGAUUCCAGCACCACUUGAAGUUCUAAACGUCUCAUGACAAAUAGUCAAAUAUACAGUUAACUGAAAGAAACCAAAGAAAUGCAAGCUAUGGCUAGCUCUCUCAAAAGAUUAUUUUAGCUAUUGGAUCUAACCUGAUGAUUAGGUUGCCUCAUUACAAGCCCUUAGUGUUCACUUAAUUCUUAUUUGGUUUCUAAAGUUAGUGUUCCCGUUCCAUUUUUGCAGAGCAAUUUUCAAGGCAAAACCUAGUUAGUCAUGCAGUUGCUAGAUUUGAGUAUAUCCAGCAGUGAUGGUAAUCAUCAAAGGAACAGUCAAGGGACAAUCCCUUGACGUGCUCCAUCAGCAUAUAACUCGCUCACUUUGCCUCUCUCAGAAAGAGACCAACAACAAACUAUGAAAAUAGGACAAGUUAGUUCAUCAGAGUCGAUCUAAAUAACCGUCUAGCCGCAUAUUCUAUUUUUUUAAUAAUAUUUUAUUUAUUUAUUUGAUCUGAAAUUUUGUAAAUAUCAUUUAUAUUCAUAAUUUUGAUGAAAAUUACAGUAUAUUAAUUUUAUAUAUUCUAUUUGUGUGUUUUAUACAAUCUUAAAUAUGAAAAUGUAUUAAUGUUAUACGCUAUUAAAGAUUACAUGUUUUACAAAAUUGUAAACAAUCUAAAAAUUUUGCCUCGCAUAAUUUCUGAUUAAUCCCCGAAUAACUGAUAUUGACUGUAUACAUAUGAAAAUAAUAUUUAGUUUUUUUAUAAGUGGUUAAAGUGUUUUAGUCCAUGUUCUCAAACGCGAACUCCUAACCGAGUAGGCGCUCGGCGGCACAAUUUUUUUCUCAAACAAUUAUGAUGAAAUACAUAUGUUACAUAGUUUGUGGAAAAUGCAUCAAUGGAAAGAGUUCAUUUUGAAAUUUUUCUUGUAGAACUAUAUACUUGUAAGCAGAUGCAGCUACUGAUUUUUCACAUAGCGUGAUGGAACUAACAUCCAAGGUGAUCAGCUGGUUUAAAUUUCAAAAAGAAGAAGGGAUUUGAUCAACAAAAAUGUUAUUAGAAAGACCGGAGAAAGUGAGCUGAAAAAGGUUUCCUACUAUAGGCAUACUCGGACCACAGAAAAAAAAUAUUAAUAGAAAUGUCGAGUUUGUCAAGAUAAUAAAGGUUUUCAAUCCAAGAAAGAAUAUGAUCCAAAAUUUUAUUAAAUGAAAUGUCAAAAGAAACGAGAUGAGAAAGAUUUACAAUUAAAGAUGGAAUCCGACUCAAAAACCAAAAAAAAAAAUAUUAUCGAAGAAAAAAUGCGACAGGUGAAAAACUAUCGUGCGAAAGGUCGAGCGACGUGAGUCCAGAAAGAUUUCCAAUUACAACAAGUCGUUAUUAGCCCAUGAGUCCGUCUGGGUUUAGUAUUGAUAAUAUAACUGUAAAGAAAGAGUUGAGAACCUUGGACUCGUUUCUGAAAUUGACAAGUGUGACCAUUUGCUCUGGGGCCGCAAACACGGCCUCGUAAUUAUAAACGAACAAGAAAAAAAAAAGACAAAGAGUGAUAGAAAUGGUAUUCAUUCCUUUCUGAUAGAAGAAAAGAAGAAGUGUUGAUGGUAUUAUUAGUAUAUAAACACGCUUCCAUGCCCACCUAUAUACACAAUAAUCUACAAAGAAAAAUUCCAAUCAGUUUGACUCAGUACUUUUCACACAUUUUUGGUCCCCGGCGGCUACAUUGAUUACAAGAUCUUUCCAAUCCAAACAAGAAAAAGUUACGAGUGUCUUAUUUUGCUCUAAAUAACAGCAUUUACAAGCUUUUUACAGUUUUUUUCAAAGAGUCUGUUUUGCAUUGUUUCGUGAUCAUCACAUGCACAGUCUUUCGUUUUGUUUUUCGGUAUAUGUUAAAACUUUAGUUUUUUUGCCAGCAAAGUUUUAAUUUGGGUGGUAAAUGUUUUUUCUUCUAAUUAUUAAAGAAGUUCAGAAUUGAGAUUCUUAAAAAGAUUGGUUAGUAAGACUGAUUCCAGCACCACUUGAAGUUCUAAACGUCUCAUGACAAAUAGUCAAAUAUACAGUUAACUGAAAGAAACCAAAGAAAUGCAAGCUAUGGCUAGCUCUCUCAAAAGAUUAUUUUAGCUAUUGGAUCUAACCUGAUGAUUAGGUUGCCUCAUUACAAGCCCUUAGUGUUCACUUAAUUCUUAUUUGGUUUCUAAAGUUAGUGUUCCCGUUCCAUUUUUGCAGAGCAAUUUUCAAGGCAAAACCUAGUUAGUGAUGCAGUUGCUAGAUUUGAGUAUCCAGCAGUGAUGGUAAUCAUCAUAGGAACAGUCAAGGGACAAUCCCUUGACGUACUCCAUCAGCAUAUAACUCGCUCACUUUGCCUCUCAGAAAGAGACCAACAACAAACUAUGAAACCAGGACUAGUUAGCUCAUCAGAGUCGACAACAAUCAAUCUUGACAACUUGUUAGGGAAUCAGUAGGAUAAAUGGGCACAGCUACAUCAGCUUCAUGGAGGUACCAGCAGAGUCAGAAUGGUUAUUACACAUCUUAUGCUAAGGGGAUUGUGUCCAAUAUGAUGCACAACCAAGUAGAAACCACCCUAACAUGAUGCACAACAACAACCAUCUAGAAAACUUGCUUCUCAUCAUCAUCCUUGUUGUAACCAAAACAGAAGUUGGCGUUAAAUCAUAUACAAUGAGACACGAGUUCUUUUAAUACCAAAUACUUGGAUUUCACGAUACAGCUAGCGUCUUGCUCCCUUGAGACACAAGUUUACAUGUUUAAGAGAUGACAGUAACCGGAACAUCAGUGAUUUAGAUAGAUUGUAAGAAUUGGCCUCUCAUUUUAUUGUCCACCCGAUUUCAAAGUGCAACUUCGUUGGUGAGGUCCUCAAGAAAAUUCUCAAAAGUUGAAUAUUCUUAUUUUAUUGGUUAUUUAUAAAUAAAAUAAAUUUUAAUUAAAAACAAAAAAAAAUAGCCAAUAGACCGCAAGUAGUCAAAGAGGAGUUCUGGGGUGAAAACCCAUUGUUGUACAUGAUCUAUUAAGACGACUUUCAGAUCCAUAAAUAUCUAAUUCUGAUGCUUAACAGUGCUAAUUAGCUGAAAAUUCUCUGUAAACAACCGUGGGGUAAAUGAACAAGUUCGUUUUUCGCUGUCCGAAAGAUAAAUACUUUAUUUCGUCCGUGCUCUUACGUUGCAAGUUAUGAGUCAAGGUAGAAGGAGCUUUAAUUUAGACUGUUGAAUUUUGUUAUAAUAAUUUCCUAUUCAGUUAACAAAAAUUCGAUUGUCUAAUAAUACAACCGUGUCCUAAACAAUCUAUGUCCCAACUAACAAAAGGAUUGAGUAAGGAGAUAAGAUAAAAGAAGCCAUUAAGAUCAGAUAAUUGUAGUCUGAGUUUUAGUCGACAUAAUAUUUCCGAACAAUCGUUAUCAUCAUGUCAUUGGCUCUUUCUCAUCCGAACUCCAAAGAGAAAUCAAAUUAUCAUCAGGAAAAAUCAAUUAAAAAGUUGAAAGUGAAGGCUCAGAAGGAUCCAUUGGUAAAAUUUCUAAUCAGAGAUUUACUCAUAAAAUAGGUAGAUUUUCAUCAUCACUGCCUUCACUAGUAACCAGAAAUCGAAGAGAUGAGAAUUUUUCCCAUAAAAGCCAAAAUUGAAAACAGUUUAACGAAACAUUGAAACAAGAAUGUGGAAUGAAAGACGAGAUGUAAUGGCUGGAUCAGCUUUAAAUUGUAAUCGCUGAGUUGGGAGAAGUCGCGGACGGCAAUAUAUAUAAGACGAUGGAGGUAGCUAGGGUUUUACGUUUUGAAAAGAAUUGGGUCGGGCCUGUUGAGACUCCAACUCUUGGAUAUGGGCCUUGUAAAUGUUUCAGUUUUUAAAUCUACUAGCAUGGAGAAAUAUAAGUUUUUUAAAAAAAAUCUUAUAUAUUAUGUAUUAUAAUUAUAAAAAAAAUUACAUAUACAAUUUUACAACAUAUAACUUUAUAUGGUUUAUGCGAAUCAAAUUCACAUCUAACCAAUUUUACUUACACCCUUAUGAAGAUCACAUGUAAGUCUUUCAUCUGUAAAUAUGCAUAAUUAUUUAAUAAAUCGUGUUCUUCAAUAUUCAAAACCCAAAAAAUUAAUAAAUCUUCGUUAAACCAUCAAAUUACUGAAACUUUCACCAAGAAAUUCAAGACUGUGAAUAAAAAUGAAAAAAAUAUGAGAUUGUGAGAGCAAGUGAUGGGAGGAAAACACAGCCUAGUCUAUCGAAAAAAAAGAUUGAGACAAUUAUACAUCUUUGUUGUGUGUGUAUUGCAGAACUUGGUUGUUGUUAUUUUAUCUAUGUAUUGAGAAAAUUGCAAAGCUUGUAACAGUAACCUUAACAAUCAGCCGUCUUCGUAGUUAGUAAUUGGUUUGAUCCAAUGCCUCUUACACUAAAUCCUAGUCUACUUUUGUUUUCCAUUUAUUCUCUUCCAAAACUACAUGAAGUAGUAAUCAGAACAAACUGAUGGAGAAGUUUUACUCUUCUAAGGACAAAUGUGCCUUCUCUUUGCGUUGUUUCCUUCAUAGUUUACUUGGCUUUUCUCCAACGUUACUUACAUGAGUAAUCAGAACAAAUGGAAAAGUUUAAAUUCUUUUGUGAACAAAUUUAAUUUCUAUUUUUGUCAUUUUCAUCUUGGUUCCCAAACCUAAAAGCAUUUCUUUUUGGUUUUGAGAACAAUGAUAUGUAAGUGUAUUUUUGAAGCUCCUUCUUGUGUUCUAAUGACAGUUGAGUUCAAGCCCGUAUGAGAAUACAGAAGUGGAAACAUUCAACUCCUCUCUUAUUACAUCAGGUUCGUUCUUCUUCUCCUUUCUAACUUAUCCAUUCAAAAGAGUUUAGUUAUCCAUUUAAAACAUAGUAAAGAUCUUCUUGAAACUUGGUUUUAAUUUGCUUACACAGUGAAUAAGAACCGACAUAGAGUUAUCUAAGCUCGCGUUUAUGUCAUCGGCUAGUGCAUUUGAGAAAUGGACAAGCUUGACAGGUCUUUUAGGACAGCUUAAGGGAAUCUGAUUGGCUACCAAUUGUUUACUUUUCUGUUGUCGUCUUGUGUAUUUUUCUACAUAUUGUCAACAAAAGAAUAGAGAUAAAGGAAAGCAAACCUUUGAAAACUUCAUCCUCUUUAACAUAUUUGGUUAUCAUUCUUUAUUCAUUUUUUCAUACUAAGCCAAACCACUUUCUUCAACACUCCAGUAACAAUUGUUAUAUCAAAAUGAGAUCUUUUAAACCGGAAUGGGAAAGCCCAUAGACUGAACCGGUAAUAACCAAGCGUCAAGAGAUGUCAUGUUACUACUAGAUGAAGCUUGCUUGACUAUAAGGGGGCAGUUUGAGUCAUUUGGCAGUUACUACAGACUUGUUUGAUCUUUUCUCUGAUGACAUUAAAUCCUUUAUCUAGAAGAACAAAAAAACUUCCAUCAUUAUAACCAAAUGUGAAAACAAAUAUACAAACGUUAAUCAAUCCAAUUCAACUUUGAAAAAUCAUCCAAGCAGACUAGUCAAUAUUGAUGGCGACGGUCUUAUAGAGGCAUUACUUAUCUGUUAAAUAAUACUAUUAACAUUAAUGAGAAUGCAAAAAAUGCUCUGCCUUUUACUUGUAUAAAUACCAGCACUACUUGUGUCUUAUUUCAUCACCUUCACCUUCAACAUCAAACACAUCACAUCUCUCAAAGAGUUUCUUAGUAAUCAAAAUCAAUGGCAGGUAUCAAAGUUUUCGGACACCCAGCUUCCGCUCCCACCAUGAGAGUCCUCCUCACCCUCCACGAGAAAAACCUCGACUUUGAGUUCGUUCAUGUCGACCUCAUGGGAGGUGAGCACAAGAAAGAGGCUUUCCUAGCCCGCAACGUAAGUAUAUCUAUCUGUGUUGUUGUGAGACAGGAUAAACACUCAGAACCGGGCAAAAAAUUAAGCUCCUAUAAUUAAUGUUUAUUUAAUUUUUUUAACUUUUAAAAGUUAAUCAGUAAUAUUUUUGUAAAUUUCAUGAAAAAAAAACAAAACUAUACACAUAAAAUAUUUUGGGUCAUUUCAGUCUAAUUAAUCAAACUUUAAUUUUUGUAUAAAAAUAAUGUAUAUAUAUAAAAAGUUGAACUACUUAACUACUAGGAUUACAUGAAGACAUGGAUUUGAGCCCGGAGCGGCCAUACCGUUUGUCCCCCGAAUUAGCUGCCCGUUUUUGAUGAAUCUGGUCUAAAUCUUGAAUGUUUUGCGUUUGAUUGAUAUUGCAGCCUUUUGGUCAAGUUCCAGCCUUUGAAGAUGGAGACCUCAAGCUCUUUGGUACGAACGUUUUCGCAGAUCAUCUCAAAUAUGAUUUGACAAUAUGCAUAAAAAGAAGAAGAAACAUUCACUAACAUGAUUUGUUUCUUUUGUGUAGAAUCAAGAGCCAUUACUCAAUACAUAGCUCACCGAUACGAAGGCCAAGGAACCAACCUUCUCCCAGCUGACUCCAAGAACAUAGCCCACUAUGCAAUCAUGGCCAUCGGAAUGCAAGUAGAAGCUCACCAGUUCGAGCCAGUGGCUGCAAAGCUUGUUUCUGAACAAGUAUUUAAGCUCAAGAAAGGCUUGACCACAGACCAAGCCGUUGUUGCCGAAGAGGAGGCUAAGUUAGCCAAGGUCCUUGAUGUCUACGAGGCUCGGCUCAAGGAGUUCAAGUACUUGGCUGGUGACACUAGACGUGUACGAGGCUCGGCUCAAGGAGUUCAAGUACUUGGCUGGUGACACUUUUACUUUGACCGAUCUUCACCACAUUCCUACGGUUAAAUACUUGCUUGGAACUCCCACCAAGAAGCUCUUCACCGAGCGUCCACGUGUCAACGAGUGGGUGGCUGAGAUCACCAAGAGGCCAGCUUCCCAGAAGAUCCUUCAGUGAUAAGUUACUAAAAGCUUCUGCUUCAGUCGCAGUAAUAAUGCUCAGAGUUAAUAAGUUACUGCCUCAUUUCCAAUUUCUCAGUACUCUGUUUUUAUUCUCAGUUAUAACUAAGUGUGUGUUCUUGAGAGAUAUUUCUUGAAUCAUAAACUGUCUAAUCUUCAAGCUCUUCUAUAAUAAAAAGAUUAGUUACUUAUUUAAUACAAAGGUUGCAAUGUCUUGACUACAGAGUUACUGAUUAGUGAGCACAAAGACUUUGUUUGAUUAGUCUUUGCAAAUUUUUACUUUCUACCUUUGCAAGCUGACCUAAGACUUUGACUCCAUAAACAAUAGUAAAGAGUAAAGACACAUGAUGGAAAGAGAAAUCUAAAAACAAAGCAUAGCUCAGAUCACUCAAAUUGGAUUUGCUUUUUACCUUAACCCCUUUUAAGACGCUAGGUGAAGCAACCCAUCUCAUCUUUAGUCUCCAUUGUGUUGCUUGACUCAUCCCUCACUUUGACUUUACAGCUACCCAAUGAAUCGAGGGCAGAGACUGAGACAUAUACUUACAGCAUCUGGUCAUCCCAAAGUUAGAAGCUUUACAAUACUCACAUAUUGACUUUACCAAGAAAUAUCAUUUUUAGUUAGUAGAGUUUGUACGUCAUCAUCCCGGCCCAUGGCGUUCAAGGGACCAAAAAAGAAUAAUGGGAGAUCAUAAUAUCGACAUAGAUCCAACGGUCAAGAAUAAUGAUAGCAUUAAGAAGAUAUAAAGAUAUUUGAUAGUACAACAAUAUUUUUUGAAAGCCUAAGUUUCAAAAAAAAAAAAUUGAAAAUAACUACCGAUAUUGUACUAUUUUAUAUUAAUUUAUGAAAUUAGUUUUACUCAUCUCUAAAUAAAUCAUAGUAGGUGAUUAUCUCUCGCUCAUGCACAAGGAUAUAAAUAAUUAUAAAUUAUAAUAAUUUAUUAAAAUUUAAGAUUAAAUUAUUUUGUAAUUUAUAUGUAUAAAAUAGUACUAUGUUAAUUUUUUAGACAUGUGAUUUUGGAUAUAAUAUUAAGUAUGUUUAAUUAUUAUUUAUGUAUAUUGGAUUUUAUUUACUUCUUUAAAAUCGACCAUAGUAAUUUUUUAUUUUCAUUUAGUUUGAUUGUUAUCUCAUAUCUGUAAAUAUAUAUGUUGUUUUGAGAAUCAAAUAAAAAAAAUUAACGUAUUGAUUAAUAAGUUACAUGAAUUAAUAUAAAUAUAAUCUUGUAAACAGUCAGGCAUGUAUAUGAAUUAAAAAAAUAAAAUAAACUGUGACAAUUUAUUAAUAUGUUUAAACAAUUCCAUAAUUUAAAUGUAUAAAAUUAAUAAAAUAUUACUAUAAAUAAUAGCAUAUUAAUAUUUGAGUUAGAUAUUUGAUUUUAGGUAUAAGAAUUUGUAUUAGUCAAGUUAAUAAUUUUGUGGAUUAUAUUGAGUUACAUAUGUUUUUUUAAUGUUAAGAACAUUAGUUUAGUUCUUCACCGUAAAUGCGUAAGAUUCAGAAAAAAAGAAUGUGUAAGUUUACUUUCAUAAUUUUUUGUAUUACUGAUAUUUGUUUUUUAAUAAAGAAAUUCUUAAAGUAAAACUAAAAAUGAUCAAUAUGAAGGUGCAUAAAUGAAAAUAACUAAUAAAUUUUUAAAAGAUCAUGAAUGGAUAUCAAUAUUUUAAAAAAUUAUGUAAAAUAGGUCUAUAGUAAAAAUAAUAUUUUUAGUUUCACUUUCUAAUAUAUGACUUAUUUCUUAAAGUCAAUUUCAAAAGCAACAACAUUAUUUAAUAUUUCUAAAAUAAAUACUUUUUGAGAAAUCAUGUUAUGUAAGUAACUUUCAAAAUUUCUUUAGAUAUUUUCAUCAGUGUAGUACCGUAAUUGAAUAAAAGUUAUAAGAAGUUUGAGUCAUUUGGCAGUUACUACAGACUUGUUUGAUCUUCUCUCUGAUGACAUUGAAUGCUUUAUCUAGAAGGAAAAAAACUUUAUUCCAUAACCAAAUUUAUAAACAAACUUCAUUCAAUCCAAUUUAACUUUAAAAAACCUCUAGAAAAACAAGUCAAUAUUGGUUGCGACGGUCUUGUAGAUGCAUUGUGUAUAAGUUGAAUAAUAUGUAACAUUAAUGAGAAUGCACAAAAAUUCUCUGUUUUUUACUUGUAUAAAUACCAUCACCACUUGUGUCUUAUUUCAUCACAUUCACCUUCAAACAUCAAACAUCACAUCUCUUAAAAGAGUUUCUUUGUAUCAAUGGCAGGUAUCAAAGUUUUCGGACACGCUGCUUCCAUUUCCACCAGAAGAGUCCUCCUCACCCUCCACGAGAAAAACCUCGACUUUGAGCUCGUUCAUGUCGACCUCAAGGACGGUGAGCACAAGACAGAGUCUUUCCUAUCCCACAACGUAAGUAUAUACUUAAUCGUUUCAUUUUAAAUCCGUUUCAUUUUAAAUGUAGUUGUAGAAUUUAAAUUUUAUUUCAUUAUAAAUGACAUUUUAUAUUUUCAGUGCAAAUUUUUGAUGGUUUUUUCACUUUUAAUUCCUAUCUUUCAGCACAUUAAUUUUUAAAAAAUAAAUAAAAUAGUGUACUAAUUAGGGAUAUAAUAGAAAAUUUAAUGAUUUUAUUAAUUUGUGUGAAAGAACCUUAACAACAUAUGAAACGAAACGUAGGGAGUACAUAUAUAUGUUGUUGUAAGACAAGAGUACAAGACCAGCACUCUGAUGAAUCUGGUCUAAAUCUUGAAUGUUUUGCAUUUUUAUUUAUAUUGCAGCCUUUUGGUAAAGUUCCGGCCUUUGAAGAUGGAGACCUCAAGCUCUUCGGUAUGAACGUUUUCAUGAUCUUCAAUCUUAAUCUGAUUUGAAAAUUAUAUGCGUAGGAAGAAGAAACAUACACUAACAUCAUUUGGUUCUUUUGUGUAGAAUCAAGAGCUAUUACUCAGUACAUAGCUCACCGAUACGAAGGCCAAGGAACCAACCUUCUCCAGCCUGACUCCAAGAACCUGGCCCAAUAUGCAAUCAUGGCCAUGGGAAUGCAAGUAGAAGCUCACCAGUUCGACCCACUGGCGUCAAAGCUUGCUUGGGAACAUGUAUUUAAGCUCAUCUAUGGCUUGACCACAGACCAAGCCGUUGUCGCCGAAGAAGAGGCUAAGUUAGCCAAGGUCCUUGAUGUAUACGAGGCUAGGCUCAAGGAGUUCAAGUAUUUGGCUGGUGACACUUUUACUUUGACCGAUCUUCACCACAUUCCUGCGGUUCAAUACUUGCUUGAAACUCCCACCAAGAAGCUUUUCACCGAGCGUCCACAUGUCAACAAGUGGGUGGCUGAGAUCACCAAGAGGCCAGCUUCACAGAAGAUCCUUCAGUGAGGAAUUUCUAAAAGGCUCUGCUUCAGUAACAGUAAUAAUGCUCAGACUAAAUAAGUGGCUGCUUCACUGCCCAAUUUCUCAUUAAUCUGUUUUUCUUUCUCAGUUAUGUGUGUGUGUGUUCUUGAGAGAUCUUUGUUGAAUCAAAAACUAUCUAUCUAAUCUUUAAGCUCUUUUAUAAUAAAAAGGUUAGUUAAUUAAUACAAAGGUUGCAAUGUCUUAACUGCAAUGUCUUAACUGCAGAGUUAUUACUGAGAAUAUUAUACAUUAUACAAAGACUUUUAAUUUUAGUUUGAUUAGUCUUUGCAAGUUCUUAGUGUCUACCUUAUUUUUAAAGGAGCUAAGCUAAGACUUUGAACGUUCUUAUACUUAACAGUCUCCAUGUUUUGUGCCUUUGUGGGAUCUGAAAUUUUAGACUCAAAUUUUAUAAACUACAUUAAAAUCGGCUGAAAGGCUUGACCACAGACCAAGCCGUUGUCGCCGAAGAGGAGGCUAAGUUAGCCAAGGUCCUUAACGUCUACGAGGCACGGCUUUAGGAGUUCAAGUACUUGGCUUUACUUUGACCGAUCUUCACCACAUUCCUGCGGUUCAAUACUUGCUUGAAACUCCCACCAAGAAGCUCCGAGCGUCCACGUGUUAACGAGUGGGUGGCUGAGAUCACCAAGAGGCCAGCCAGCUUCCCAGAAGAUCCUUCAGUGAGACAUUUCUAAAAACUAAAAAGAAAACAAAAUAGUUCUGCUUCAGUUACAGUAAUAAUGCUAAGAGUAAAUAAGUGGCUGCUUCAUUGCCCAAUUCCUCAGUACUCUGUUUUUUUCUCUGUUUUUAUUCUCAGUCAUGUGUGUGUUCUUGAGAGAUCUUUGUUCAAUCAAAAAUUAUCUGUCUAAUCUUCAAGCUCUUUUAUAAUAAAAAAUAUUGGUUACUUAAUUAAUACGAAGGUUGCAAUGUCUUAACUGCAGAGUUAUUACUGAGAAUAUUAUACAUCAUACAAAGACUUCCAGUUUGAGUUUGAUUAGUCUUUUUUUUAUGCACAGUUUGAUUAGUCUUUGCAAGUGUUUUUACUUUCUACCUUAUUUUCUCAGCAAAGAAGCUAAGCUAAGACUUUGAACGUUCUUAUCCUUAAAAGUCUCCAUGCUUUGUGCCUUUGUGGGAUCUCAAAUUUUAGAAUUAAAUCUUAUAAACUAUAUUAAAAAUUUAGGUUAGAUUUUUUAAAAAAAUAUGCCAAAUUUAUUGAAAAUUUUCUAAUUAAUUUUUUCUGUAUUCACAUUUUGAUACGCUGAAGGUAGAACUAAAGAGACCCAAAUGAUGCUAUAAAUUCCCAAACCAUAGUAAGUCAGUACUCUACUGAUGUAUCCAAUAUGCUUUUGACAUCUUGUAUACUGAAAGAAUCAAUUAUUUAGUUGUUAGAUGGUAGAUACAUUUGAAAGCAGGUUAAAAAUGUUCUUCAAUUAACAUUGAUUAUUAUUGAUUUCUGAAAUAUGGAUUAAAAAAAAAAGAAAAAAAAAAAGAGAAAACAAACUGAUGUCUAUGCACAAUACUUUUGCUUUCACCCAUCUUACAACAACAAGCAAAGACAUGAAUAUAGCUAGAAACAGAACACAAAUUCCUAAACGCCGCAGAUCCGAGUAUUCAAACUUGGUUGGUUUGUUGUACCUUUACAGCCUUAAACGCCGGGUGAAGCAACCCGAGCUCGUCUUUCAUCUCCAGCGGAUUGCUAGUCUCGUUCCUCACUCUCUUUACUUUGCGACUAGCCAAAGAUUUAUGAGUGAAACCAUAUAUUUGCAGAAUCUGGUUAUCCCCAAAGUUAAAGGCUCUGUCCAUCUGUUUUAGACACCGUUCAACCGGGUAGUCCCCAAACUUCCCGCAUGGUUUGCAACCGACAAAGUGAGUCACCAAUGGCCACCGGUGGUCACCUAGACCCGGGUGGUAGUUUUCUAUCAUUUCUUCGUAUCGGUCCACAAGUAUUCCCCAGUAACCGUGAAGAUAGUACCCAUUUUCUAGGUAUACCUAUAACAACAAUGCAGCAGCUCAAAUAAGAAUAAAGCAAAACCAUAACAAAAUGCAACUCGCAUUGUGAUCUGUGAUGAUAAAUAUGUGAUGAAGAAACGUUAUAAACAUAACAAGAUGCAACUCACAUUGUGAUAUGCAGUGAUAAAUUAAAACUUUAUGAUGAAACAAAUUAUAAACAUAACAAAAUGCAACUCACAUUGUAAUUUGUGGAUACAAAUUACAAUGCCUAUGUGAUCAGAGACGUUAUAAAACCACAAGAUGCAACUCACAUUGUGAUUUGGAUGAUAAAUUAAAACUUCUUGUGAUGAACAAACGUCAUAAACUGACAAUAUGCAACUCACAUUAUCAUUUGCGAAUACAAAUCCAAUUCCUAUGAGAAUAUGCAACUCACAUAGUGACUUGUAAGUGAAAAAACUCAUACUGAUAUGAUCAAGAGACGCUAUAAACCAACAAGAUGCAACUCACAUUGCAAUUUUAUGAGCGAAAAACCGAUCUUUAUGUAAUCAAGAGAUGCUGUAGAUUUUUAUUGGUUGAACAACUAAGGUAAUAUGUAUCUCAAAUCAAAUUUCUGCUCUUACCUUAUUACCCCAAGUGUCUCGCUGAGUAGCCAACAGAUAAACCAUAGCAGACUGAUCAUCAGCUUCGAAAACCGGCCUACCCUUAAGCUCACGGGUCAAAACCUUACCCGCUUCCUCACGGAUCUUCCCUUUAGGACCCAUAGGAGCCCAAGUGUCAAGCAAAUCAAGCGCCCACUGAUUAUUCCUAAGCAAGAAACUCCCAGUAUUCAACCCAAUCCAAUUCUUGUCAUCAUAAACCAUCUCAUUCCAUCCAUGCAUCACCAAGUUAUAAUCCUUAUACCUCUCCCACGGAAGCUCAAACGCCAUGUCCGUAAACAUGGCAUCACUAUCCAUCCACCACAGAAACUCAAUCUCGGGGUGAGACAGCAAAAGCUUCCUAAUCAACGGCAGCUUCGCCCAAAACCCAGCCAUCUCAGCAUCGAGCAGAGCCAUGUUGUAGAAGAUCUCGAUCCCGUGAAGCCUACAGUAAUCGAUCUUGUUCUUGAUCGACUUCAAGAGGUAAUGGUCUCCCACAGGAUUCUCACACGGCUUCGGAGCAGAACCGGUCACCAAGAGGACACGUGGCUUGUUUGGUCCGAUGAAGUUGGGGAAGCUAGGGUUCUUCCCUAACCAGUCGGAUCUUUGCUCGUCCCAAUCGGAUAUCUUGGGUCCGAGAGUGUACGGUUUAUUCGGGUCGGGUUUCUCUUCUUCUCCUUCGUCAACGAAUAUCUUGUUAAUGUCAAACGUCUCAUAGUUAUUGCUCCCGGCGCCGCCACCGUCGCCGGAAUCUCCUCCUCCGCCGCCGCCGGAUUGUAUUUCUUCGAGUACACGGUGAGGCUCAGCUCGUUUACGAGAUGUUUGGAAAUGCUGACGGAUCUCGUCCAGGUCUUGCUCCGGUGUACCGAACUUACCGGCGCCGAUUGUGCCACGUAGGACGACAACGGUGAGAACGAGGCAGAGAACCGUUACCUUUAAGUGGCGUAAAGCUCUUUGGAUUCUCCGGCACCGGUAAGCUCCUAAACAUCUCUCGAUCAUCUUUAUCCAAUCUUCUUCUUCUUCUUGGUAGAGAGAGAGAAUCUCUCUGUUUAUUAUUAUCUAAUUGAGGUCAAGAGAAGAUCUGAGUUUUUCCAUUAAUGAAAGAUUCGAAUUUGAUUAAUAUUUUUUCGGACACUGUUACUUGUCAAAGCUACUACAAGAGUUUGCGUUCGGACAGUACUACUGUUAGUAACUUUAAGUUGUCUGGUUUUUUACUCGGUUGUGUCGGUUGUGGUUGUGUGCUAGUGUAGUGUUUGUCACACGUGGCGAUAUAUCAGGGUAUGUGACUUGUGCUAUAUAUGGUCCUGACCGUUGAUGCAACAUGGAUCUAGAUAUCGGAGCGCGUUGAAAAGUCAACUCGUUAAUACUGUAGUUCUUUUUUCGUGCAACAGAAAUACUGUAGUUUUUUUCUUAUAAAUAGAAAAAAGGUUGAAAACAAAAGGGAACAUAAAUAGGAAAAACGAAUUCAACAUGUUGGAUAUGGUUAAACAGGGGUUGACCAAAAAAGGGCUAGAGAGGGCUGGGCGCGGAUCAAAUAUAUGAGUUUCUCGAGGUAUUCGCCAUCUAAUCCAUUUUGUUUGAAUAACCGACUAUUCGGUUAUAUUCGAUCCAUAGCUAUUCGAAUAUUCUGUGUCUAGAAUUUCUAGAAUUUCUUUUUGUAUUUUUAACAUAUAUCCGAUUCGAUUAGUACAAAUAAAAUUAAAAUUAAUAAAUAAAUAAUCCUAAAAUUAAGAUAAAUAACAAUUUUUAUUACAAAAAUAAAAAUUUCUUUACUUUUUAAAAUUAUAAUAACUAAUAUAAUAAAUAUAAUAUUAUAAAACUUAUAUAAAAUAUUAUAUUUACAUAUUAUAUUUAUAUGAUUAUUUAUAUAUAUAUAUAUAUAUAACCGAUCGGAUUAGUUAUCCUUCUUAAAAAUAUUAGUAUUUGUGAUUUAUCUCAUUUUUUAUAGAUAUUACAUAUUAAUAUUUGCUUUACUUCAUAGAAUUAUGGAAAUUUAGAUUUUUUUUAUUUGAGUCAAAAUAGAUAAUGAAUCGAACCAAAAUUUAUAGAUAUUUUGUCCAAUCUUAUGUUUAAUUACUAGUUAAAGUUUACUGUACUUCUUUUUUUACUUUAUUUAUUCUCCUGUUUUAGGAAUUGUUUUUUUCAUUUACACCAAAAAGGUUUAUGUUAUAAAAGUCAACUAGGAAGUAACCCUCGCCUUGCGCAGGAUGAAGUUAUUAAUUUUGUUAUUUUUAAGAUGUUAAAAUAUUAUGUCUGUUUAUUUUGGAUAUUAGUUCGGUUUUGGGUUGGUUUUUCGGGUUUUAAUAUCUUCUUAUAUAUAACUAAUUUCUAAAUUCAUAUUUAUUUUUGUUUGUUUGGUUAAAAUGGUUGAGGAUUUUUGGUUUUCUGGUGAUAAACCAAAGUCAAUUAGUAUUUGUUUGGUUUCAUGUUAUCAAAAUUUUAGACAAUCCUGAUGUCAACCAAUAGCUUCAUAUUAUAAUUUCUAAACGAAUUUAUAAUAAAAUCAAAUCUAGAUAAUUGUUAAGAAAAACAAAAGAAAAUUAUAAAGACAAAUCAUUUCGUUACAAUUAGGUUAAUGGUGAAUGAAGAAUUAAAAAUAAUAAUAUUCUAUAUUACAUCUGAAUUAGAAUCAUCACUUACGGUCAGUGGCGGAACUACAACAUGGGUAAGGGGGCAGCUGCUGCCCACCAUAAAAUUUUAAAAUUAGUGUAUUUUUGUACUGAAUUUUUAUAAUGCAAUGGUUGAAAAUUCAAAAUUAUAAAUAUAUUACAGUGUUUUAUAGUUCUGUUCCGGACAACAAUUAUUUAUAGAUCCUCCACUGCUUACGGUGAAUAUUUAGUUAUAUAGGUACUCACUUCAAUGUGCAUAUAAACAUGUAUGUAAAUAUUUUAAAAGUGUUUCACAAAUAUAUAAAGAUAUUGUUAAUUAAUAUUGAAAGAAAUUAUUGUUCAAUAUAACAAAGAAAUAUAAAAUUCUUAAAUAAAAUCUAUUAAAAAUAAAGUCAUUACCAAAUAAUUUUUUUUAUAUAUAAUGAAAAUCAAAUUGUAUACAUAAUAAUACAUAUACAAAUUGGGUUUGCUGAAUUUUAUUCUUACAUAGUGUUACACCUUGGCCCAAUCAGAUUUUAACAUUCAUACAUUAUGCUUCAACAUCUAUAUUAUUAAAACUGAAAUACAUUUGAGAAUUAUUUAGAAACAUGUAUAGUAAUAUACAAAAGGAGUAUAAUGUUGUUUGGAAACAUGGAUAACUGUAUAUUAAGAAAAAUAAUAAUGGCUUUUUGCAAAAUUGAUCUAGAACUCAAAGUUAAACACAAAACUAAUCUCCUUUCUUUUUGGAAAUUAGUUUUGCCCUAUUCACCCCACAAGUUCAUAUAAUUCACGAAAAUGUCAUCAAUUUUUUUUUUUUUCGAAAAUGACAUUUUUACUCUCUCACCCUCGUCAUCUUCAAGUAAUUACAAAAUUGUCAUUGUCAUCAAUACCCCAACCACCAUGAACAACCAAUUUGAAGCUCUUAAUACUCCCAAAAUCGAUUUACCCUUCUUCUUUUUCCAUUCUUAUGAACUAAACACAACAUCUCUCUUACUUUCUCUCCACAUUCAGCUAAAAAACCCAAGAUUUUGAUUCUACAUUUUUUAUGGUUCAUAGAGUCAUAGAAGCUAACGAUUAUGGGUGGAUCACUUUCGUUUGAGAUUAUGUGUGCUUGGAGAAGCCUUAUGUGUGCUAAGGAAGUUAUCUCACCAAUUUAAGGUAUGAAAUCGAGUUUUUUUUCCAGAUCUGUUCGUCCAGACGACUUCCCAGGUAAGUCGUCUGGCUGUAGAAAGACGACUUACCUGGAAGUCGUCUGGUCAAUGCAGAGGUUAUUUUUGCAAUUGACUAUGAAAUAUGUUUUCUGAGACGACUGAAAGUUAAGUCGUCUGCUUUUGUUUGGUUACAAAAAAAUCUCCAAAGAACCUAGGCAACUUACAUGUAAAUCGUCAUAGGUUAGUUUUGCAUUUGACUGGAUUUUGUCGGAAUUUUGACUUUCCUGGACGACUUAUUUUUCAGUCGUCUGGUAGAAAAUUGAAAUAUCAAUAUUUUAUUAAAAUUCGACGACUUACAUGUAAGUCGUCGUAGGUUAGUUUUGCCAUUGAAAAAUAAACUUCAAUAGUUAAUUAUACCCAGACAACUUACAAUUAAGUCGUCCGCCCGACGACUUACAUGUAAGUCGUCCAUAAUUUUAUUCCGAGAUUCUGGUCAAACCUCGUAAAUCCUGGACGACUUACAUGUAAGUCGUCGGACGGACGACUGAAUUGUAAGUCGUCUAUAUAUAAUUAAAUAUUGAAGUUUUUUUUCAAUUGCAAAACUAACCUAUGAUGACUUAAUUGUAAGUCGUCGAGUUUUAAUAAAAUAUUGAUAUUUCAAUUUUUCACCAGAUGACUGAAAUGUAAGUCGUCCAGAAAAGUCAAACUUUUGAAAUAAUUCAGUCAAAUGCAAAACUAAGCUAUGACGACUGAAAUGUAAGUCGUCUAGCCUUUUUGGAGUUUUUUUUUAACCAAACAAAAGUAGACGGCUUAUUUUUCAGUCGUCUCAGAUAACAGAUUUCAAAGUCAAUUGCAAAAAUAACCUCUGCGUUGACCAGACGACUUAUAUUUUAGUCGUCUGGAAGACUCAGAUUGAAGUGAUCUGCGUCGAUCUUUAAUAAACUUUCGUUUUCUUUGUUCUAUGUUUGCUAAUGUGUUUUAUUUUGACUUUUUCAGAUGAUGUGUCAGUUACAUGCAAUGUACGAAGAAUGGUUGUUGAAAGAUGGAUGUUGGAAUAUACAAGUCAACGAAAACUCUCUUUAUGGCAACAUGUCGUGUUAGUGGUUGUCAAUGGAAGAUCAGGGCAAGUGUGAAACAUGGUACUAAAACGUUUUGGGUAACUAAGUUUUACUAAAUUUGACUAAGUUUUUCAACACAAACUUGUAAAAAAUGUGAUAUGAUUUGACUAGUUACUAUUGUUUGUUUCCAUCUCUUAAGUAUUAUUGUUAUAGACAUCAAUGAUGAUUAUUGUUAUGAGUUGGAAGAAGGGUAAAAAUGCUUCUUAAAAUGUUAUAUCAAUAUGAGGCUACCAACAUUCUUGUUUACUAAGAUGGGAAGAAGGUCGUUGAAGUUUAUUAUUGCAUAUGGGAGAUCCAAAGAUAAGAAAAAAGCUAUUGAAGUAUAUUAUUUUAUUGAUUUGUAAAUGUGUAAACACAUAGUUAGCACAUAUAUUACAUCUUGGGAAACAUUAUACUAAUUUUACAAAAAAUUUACAAAUAAAAGAGUAGACAUACAAAUCACAAAACAAACCACAAACAAAACUAUUAUAGAUCUUUCAUCUACAAAGACAAGGUUGAACUCCACUUGAUAUGAAAGAAGACUUCCUGGAAGUCGUCUGGAAGACUUCCUGAAAGUCGUAUGGAAGACUUCUUGAAAGUCGUCUAGCGCAUUGUAUUUUAGACGACUAACAGGUAAGUAGUCCCAGAAGUCUUCUAGAUCUGAAAAACCUGUAUAUCUGAAAAACCUUCAUAUCAAAAAUCGUUCAAAUGGCUUAAAAACAGAGAAAUGAGUGAAAGAUUAGAUAAAUCUACCUUUAAAUGAGUGGAAGAUGAGAGCCAUCUGAUUAAAAACCUCCAAAAAAGAUAGAUUAGUGAGAAAGGCAUGAGACAAAACUGAAAAAUUCAUAUAAAGUUUGGUGUUUUCAAGUCAAAGAGAUUAGAGUGGGUUUGAAGAGUUUUAGUUUGAAAAAAAAAGUAAGAACUUUAUACAAUAUAAAGUUACCAAAUGAAGAAAAAACAGACAUAAAAACUUACCAAAACGGUCAGAUCUGUUAUGAAAUGGAGAGACAUGGGAGAAGACUCCGUCAGAUGACUUUCAGGAAGUCCAGACGACCUCCUGGAAGUCGCCUGGAAGACUUCCUGGAAGUCGUCUAGCGCAUUCUAUUUUAGACGACUAACACGUAAGUUGUACCAUACGUCUUCCACAUCUGAAAAACCUGCAUAUCCAAAUCCAGAUCUGAAAAAUCUGCAUAUCCAAAAACGUUCAAAUGGCUUAAAACAGAGAAAAUUAGUGGAAGAUUAGAUAAAUCUACCAUUAUAAAACACACAAAAAUACAUAUCUAAAAUUGAUAGAUUUACCUUUAAAUGAGUGGAAGAUGAGAACCAUCUGAUUAAAAACAUGCAAAAACAAGAUAAAUUAGUGAAAAAGACAUGAGACAAAAACAAUAAAUUGAUAUAAAGCUUAGUGUUUAUAAGUUCAAAGAGAUUAGAGAGAGGUUGAAGAGUUUUAAAAUGAUGAACAUUACAUUUUUGUUGCAGCCAUUUGAGAGAAUGAAAGAGAAUGUGUAAUUUUUUCUUUAUAUAGGGAGACAAGAAAUCCAAUUAGGUUAAAUAUUUUUGAUUCAGACGACUUCCUAUUCAGGCGACUUCCUAGACGACUUACUUGUAAGUCACCCAGAAGACUUUAAUAUUUUUAGCUGGAAACUAAAAUAGAAGACUUCCUAGACGACUUACAAGUAAGUCAUUUGGUUUAAAUUAUUUAAGCGGGAAAAUAUUUUUUCUUAAAAUUUUAGGCGGGAAUAUUUGGACGACUGAAAUAUAAGUCGUCUGAGUAAAAUUAUUCACCAGAAGACUGAAAUAUAAGUCGUCCACAUCCUAAACAUAACCCCUAAACUUAAUUAUCUAAUUAAACACUUCAUAAAAUCAAAUCAAACUUGAAAAGUGGUUACUAUACACAGAAAUAAAUAAAUAUAGGUGGAAAUUAAUUUUUGAAAAAAGCAUUUCAGCUUUUCCAAAUCUAACCCUGAGAAUACAUACAAUACUACAACAUAUGUUUGCCAAACCCCUAAACUAAAGAAUAUCAUGAUUCACUAUUUCCACUCAUCUAUCUUGAAAACAAAUCAAUUUUAUCAUAUCUUAAUUUAUAUCACUUAAAACUGUUUAUAAUUACAAGAUUUUUAUUUUUCACUCAUCAAAAUAUUUUUUACAAAAUUUAUAAACUAUUUUUAAGAUAAACUGGUACCAGACGACUUACUUGUAAGUCGUCCAGACUACUUCCAACAUCUCAGACGACUCAGACGACUUACUGAGGCUAUAUUCGUAAAAAUGGCUUCUGUUUUUUUGUUUGGUCACAAGAGGCUGAAUUGUAAUUUCACAAGGCUUUUAUGUUAGUUUUGCAUUUGAUUCAAGUUUGGGUAUAGAUUUGGGGUUAAAAUCAAGUUAUGGGUUAGUUUUGGCAAAUUCCCCAAAAAAUAAUGGGCUUAUGCUAUUAAGAAAAAUUGGAAGUCCAUUAUAUUAUGAAAAAUUAUCUAUUUAGGCCAACUUUAAAAUAUACGAAAAUAGUCCAAUCUAAUCUAUAAUAUUAUUUGCGAAGUAAAUUUUAACAACGGAGCUCUCACGUUGAAAGUUAGAACGGUUAAUAUCUAUACUACCCUUAAUGAAUUUUAUAUAUAAUUUAUUAUAUAAUCAAAAACGAAUUUUUAUUAAUAAUAUUUUUUAAAGAUAAUUCCUAUGUAUUUUGUUGUUAUCUUAAAAUAUAUUUUCAAUUAUAAAAUUUAAAAGUAGGAUAUAAAACAAUUUAAAAUAAAUUAAGUGGUUAAAUUCAAUGUUACCCUUAAUGAAUUUUAUAUAUAAUUAAUUACAUAAUUAAAAACGAAAUUUUAUUUAUAAUAUUAGAUUUUUUUUUAAAUAAGAUAAUUCUUAUAAAUUGUGUUGUUAUCUUAAUUUUUUUUUCAAUUAUAAAAGUUAGGAAAAUAACAUAUAAACAAUUCAAAAUUAAAUAUUAAUCAACUAAAUUUGUAUAAAGAUGUUUUUUGAAAAUAUUUCUAAUAUGUGAAUGUUUUCUUUUAAAAUUUUUUCACAAUAAUAAACAUAUAUAUUUUAAUUAAAUUUUUCGUCAUAUAUAUAUAUAUAUAUAAUUUUAUGUUUGAUUUAUUUUUUUGAAAAUAUAAAUAAUAAGUUAUCAUGUUGAUUUUUUAAUUAAUAAAAAAUAAAUUAAUAAAUAUUUUUAAAAUGAUUAAGUCCGCAUGUGCGGGCAAAACACCUAGUUACCUUAAAAUAUCUUUUGUUUAAAAUAAUCAUAAAACAAAAUUUUAAACUUUAUAUACAUAUUUCAAAUCAAAAUAAUAAUUUAAAAUUGAUUUAUAUCAAAAAUUGAUUCAAAAAUAUACAUAUGUUUAAAAAAUAAAUUUUACUAAAAUAUUUUCCAAUAACCAUUAUUAAAAAAAAUGUUUCAAUAUAUAUAAGAAAAAUACAAUACAAAACCCAAUUUUAAAUACCAACUUAAAUUAUGGUUUUUAUAUUUGACAUUAAGUUUUAAAAAUAUAAUAUAUAUGAUUAUUUAUAUGAUGAUAGGUAUAAAAUACUAUUAAAUUAUAUGAUUACUUAUAUAAUGAUACGUAUAAAAUACGAUUAUAUGAUGACACAUAUAUGAUACAUUAUAGUGACGUAUAAAAUAACAACAUAUUUUUCAAAAAAAUACAUUAGUGCGUGCGCACAUAUUAAAAUCUAUUAUAUUUUACAAUUGGGCUUGUGUAAAAUCAAAGAAAACAUAAGAUUCUAAAACAUGUUUGGACAUCAGGGCCCGUAACAAAAUAGUGAUGUACUACUUAAAUCUCAAAAACGAAGACCGAAAGCAUAUAGGGUUUUGUCCUCACCGCAAUAGACCACCUAACUUUGCAAUAUUUGAUAUGUUUAGUCGAUCCUUUUGAAUCAAUCACCACAAGUUAUUUAGGGCCCAUAACAAAAUAGUGAUGUAUUAGAUCUCAAAAACGAAGACUGAAAGCAUAUAGGGUUUUCUUGUAGUGCUCGUCUUCGAUGUUGUGUAUGUGUGUCAUGCGAGUUGUCGUGUGGAGUUGGGGCUCUUGCUUCGCCGGAUUUUGGUAGGUUAUUCUCUUUGCUUUCUUUGUGGUGUUGCUGAUGUGUUCUCUGGUGGUUGCAGCGUGUGGGGCUUCUUGGUGGCGGAGGCGUCGGUCCGCCUCUCCGUGUUCCCCGGUGGUAGCGGGUUGGUGCUUGAGCUACUCCGGUUCGCUAUUGCUCCGUCUUUUGCUCUGGUCAUUGCUCUGCACUUCUCGGAUCGAAUAGUGGUCGGUGAUAGUGGCAUGUUGCGUUCCUCACUCUUCUCAAAUAAUCUCAGCAGCUUUGUGUUCUUAGCUUGUGGUCAGUUACGGUUCAAGUGGGUCACUUGGUGCGUUAGUUGGACAACAAGUUUCAGAUUUUGGCUAUAGUUUUGUCUCUUCAUGAGGAUUUUCCGUCUAUGAUAUGUCAUCUUUAUAAGGGUUAUGUGUGAAGAUGAAGCAAUAAGAAACAAGAUGGUUGGUUAAGGUCUCAAGACAAUGGAGAUACCACUACAAGGGACAAGCAUGCAUGGUUGGUUAAGGUCUCAAGACAAUGGAGAUGCCACUACAAGGGACAAGCAUGCAUGGUGGGUUAAGGUCUCAAGACAAUGGAGAUGCCACUACAAGGGACAAGCAUGUAUGGUGGAUUAAAGUCUCAAGACAAUGGAUUAUUAGUUUAUCAUAUCUCAUCUACCAUUUGCCAUACUUGUAACCCUUAUAUAUAUGGGAUGUUCCCAUAAGCAAAUCAAUUAAGCAAAUAAGAUUCUCCUUAUUUACUCUAUCUCUCUCUACUUUCUAGAUUAAACAUCUCUCUCUCUCUUGUUCUUCACUAUGUUCUUCAAUUUCUAACAUGGUAUCAGAGCAUCCAAGCUCUUGAACACCAAACUGCUUCCGCAAAUUUACUCUAUUCACCUUACUCUUUCACUUGUUUGGUUUACUUUCUUCAUUUCUAGAGAACAUAUCUUGGCUUCCCUUGUUUUCUCUCUUGCCUAGCCUCAGAAAUUCAAAUUUCUCCUUGGCAAAUUUUUUAUUUUUUACCCGCUAGACAAUAGCAAGCAAAGAUGGAGCAGCACAAGCUAGUUAGGAUUCCAGUCAUCCUGAAAGGUCCUAACUACAUUACCUGGUCGAGAUUGACCAGGACAGCUCUUGGAGGAAGAGGUCUAUGGGAGCACAUCACCACAAGUGAGGCCCCAAGACAAAUCACCCAAGGAGAAGAUGGCAAGGAGGUUGUAGUGGUAGAUGAAGGCAAAUGGGGUCAGGAGGAUCUCAUGGUGCUGUCUAUCUUGCAAGGCUCACUUGAUACUCCUAUCAUGGAGUCUUACUCACAUUGUGAGACUGCAAAGAAGCUAUGGGAUACCUUACACAAGGUAUAUGGCAACACUUCAAACCUCACCAGAAUUUUUGAGGUUAAGAGGGCAAUCAACAACUUACAGCAAGAGGAGAUGGACUUCACCAAGCACCUUGGGAAGUACAGCCAGCUGUGGUCUGAACUUGAGAUGCUGAGACCAAGUACCACUGAUCCUAGUACACUAGAAGAGAGGCGUGAGCAAGACAAGGUCUUUGGAUUGCUUCUCACACUCAACCCAAGCUUCAAUGAUGUACUUAAACACAUAUUGAGAGCUAAAGAGCUUCCAAGCUAUGAUGAUGUGUGUGCUCAACUUCGGAAGGAGCUAGGCUCAGAUGGUCUCUUUGGUGGAAAAGGGGAACUGUCUAUGGCAAACAAAGCUGAGAAGAUGGAGAGUGCUUCAGUCAACAAAGCACACUUCAAACCAAGAAGAGGAGGAGACAAGUCUGUGACUUGUGAGCACUGCAAGAAUCUAGGCCACUCCAAAACCAAUUGUUGGAUCCUCCAUCCUCACCUCAGACCUGCUUCAACCAACAGAUACAACCAGGCCAAAGCACAUGAAGCAAGAGCUCAUGAAACCACAGUACCAGGCUCCAUGCGCAUAGGAGAAGAUGGAAGAGCUAUGAUCUCAACCACCCACACUGGUGGAUCCACAUCCCAUGCCAUGUCCCAGCCAUCCCCUGAUGAUGCCUUCAUCCGCAAGUCAGACAUUGAAGCCCUUAUCAAAGCUAUCAAUGCAAACUCUGGUAACAUCAGUGUCAAUGCUUUAAAUUCUAUUCACAGUGCUUCACAUACUACUAGACCUUUGAUCAUCGAUUCGGGAGCUUCUCAUCAUAUGAUUAGGGAUGCUAGACUGAUUAGUGAUGUUAAACCUGCUCUAGGGAGUGUAGUGAUUGCUAAUGGUGAUAGAAUUCCAAUUGAAGGAGUAGGAAACUUGAAACUGUUUGAUAAGGAGUCUCAAGCUUUUUAUAUGCCUACUUUCACAUCCAACUUAUUAUCUGUUAAGAGAGCAACCAAUGAUCUAAAUUGCAAUGUUAUUUUCAGUCCUAAUGAUGUGUGCUUUCAGGAUAUUAAGACCAGGAAGAUGCUGGGAAAGGGUGUGAGCAAGGGAGAGCUUUACUUGCUUGAAAACACCAAGCUUUCAAAUUUAUCUUGUGCUUUCAAUUCUGCUUCUGUGUUAGCUAGUGAUGUUUUAUGGCAUGCUAGAUUAGGUCAUCCUCAUUAUCGUGCCUUAGGACUGAUGUUACCUAAUCUAUCUUUAAAGAGUGGAAGUUGUGAGGCUUGUAUUCUUGGUAAACAUCAGAGAUCUGUUUUCCCUAAUUCUAAGACUAUUUAUGAAAAUUGCUUUGAUCUUGUGCACUCUGAUGUUUGGACAGCACCUUGUAUGUCUAGGGAGAACCAUAAAUAUUUUGUUACAUUCAUAGAUGAAAAAUCAAAAUAUACAUGGCUCACCUUGAUUCAAACUAAAGAUAGAGUUUUAGAAGCUUUUAUUAACUUCCAAAACUAUGUAUCUAACCAUUUCAAUUCCAAGAUCAAAAUUUUUAGGUCUGAUAAUGGCGGAGAAUAUACAAGCACUGCUUUCAAACAUCACUUAGCAAAACAUGGCAUAAUCCAUCAAACAAGUUGCCCAUACACACCACAACAAAAUGGAGUUGCUGAAAGGAAGAAUCGCCAUCUUAUGGAGGUUGCAAGGAGCAUGAUGUUCCAUACCAAUGUUCCAAAGAGGUUCUGGGGAGAUGCUGUGGUCUCAGCAUGUUAUUUGAUCAACAGGAUCCCCACCAAAGUCCUCCAAGAUAACUCUCCCUUUCAGGUAUUAAACAAAAUAAAACCUCCAAUUGAUCACUUGCGUGUUUUUGGGUGUGUGUGCUAUGUCUUGAUACCAGGGGAACAGAGAAACAAGCUUGAAGCCAAGAGUGUCAAAGGCAUGUUCAUAGGAUAUACUCAUGCGCAGAAGGGGUACAAGUGCUACAUACCUGAAUCAAGAAGAGUUAUGGUCUCAAGGGAUGUUAAGUUUGUGGAAUCAAAGGGAUACUAUGAUGAGAAGAGUUGGGAAAGCCUUCAGGAUCUCUCACAAGGAUCUUCAGAUAGGGCAAACAACUUGAGAAUCAUUCUGGAAAACCUAGGCAUCAGCCAGCCUCAAACAAGUGGCGUACCGAGCACUUCACAUAUACCUCCAGUUGUGGAUGAAGCUACAUCAAUUGAAGAAGCAGUCCAUCCUGAUCAUGAGGGGGGAAACCAACCUAAUUUGCAAGUUAUCCAUGAGGAAGCUAUCCCUGAAGAAGAUAUCCAUGACGAAGCUAUCCACGAGGAAGCUAUCCAAGAAGAAGCUAUCCAAGAAGAAGUUGUUAAUGAUCAAGAUGGAAUGCAACAAGAAGUUCAACCAUUAAGGAGGAGUACAAGGGUGAAGAAACCAUCUCAGUGGAUGGACACCAAAGUAUACUUCAACAACAAUGCAGUAGCUCAUCCUAUCCAAGCAACAUGUUCUUUUGCGAGACUAUCUGAAGAGCAUGUAGUCUUCAUCAGCAACCUAGAUCAAGAGUAUGUACCAAAGACUUAUGAAGAAGCCAUGAAGCAUGAAGAGUGGAGAGCGUCAGUUGGGGAUGAAGUUGGUGCCAUGAUCAAGAAUGAUACUUGGUAUGAAACUGAGCUCCCCAAAGGAAAGAAAGCUGUUACAAGCCGUCUACUCUUCACCAUCAAGUACCUUGCCAAUGGGAAACCAGAAAGAAAGAAAACAAGGCUAGUUGCAAGAGGAUACACCCAAGUCUAUGGAGAAGACUAUCUGGAUACAUUUGCACCAGUAGCUAAACUCCACACCAUAAGAAUUCUACUCUCAUUGGCAGUGAACUUGGAAUGGGAUUUAUGGCAGAUGGAUGUCAAAAAUGCUUUUCUUCAAGGAGAGCUGGAGGAUGAGGUUUACAUGAGGCCACCUCCGGGUAUGGAAGACAUGGUCAAGCCAGGGAAUGUCCUAAGGUUGAAGAAAGCAAUAUAUGGGUUAAAACAGUCACCAAGGGCUUGGUACCACAAACUGAGUACAACUCUCAAUGGAAGAGGGUUUGUAAAGUCAGAAGCUGAUCAUACACUCUUCACACUCACAAGCAAGCAAGGAAUUGUGGUGAUUCUUAUUUAUGUAGAUGAUAUUAUCAUCACAGGAAGUGACAAGGAAGGUAUUAUCUCAACCAAAGUCUUUCUUAAGUCUACUUUUGAUAUUAAAGAUUUGGGUGAGCUAAAGUACUUUCUAGGGAUAGAAAUAUGCCGCUCUAAAGAGGGGCUUUUCUUAUCUCAAAGGAAGUACACACUUGAUCUUUUGAAUGAGGCAGGAAAUCUUGGAGCGAAAGUAGCCAAGACUCCACUAGAAGAUGGGUAUAAGGUGCUGCGUGAGGGGGAGAUUGAAGACAAGCCCUAUACUGACGUUAAACACUAUAGAAGAAUUGUAGGAAAGCUGAUAUACCUCACCAUCACCAGGCCUGAUGUAUGCUUUGCAGUUAACCAAGUAAGCCAGAAUAUGCAAGCUCCCAAGAUACACCAUUGGAACAUGGUUGAAAGGAUCCUAAGAUACCUAAGAGAGGCGCCAGGGCAAGGAGUGUGGAUGGGAUGCAACAAAAAUACAGAGAUAGUUGGGUAUUGUGAUGCUGAUUGGGCAGGAGACAGAGUGGAUAGGAGAUCCACUACCGGCUAUUGUACAUUUAUUGGAGGCAAUCUUGUCACUUGGAAGAGCAAGAAACAGAAGAUAGUGUCAUGCUCAAGUGCUGAAGCUGAAUAUAGGGCAAUGAGGAAGCUCACUAGUGAGUUGAUUUGGAUCAGAAACCUACUUCGAGACUUGGGUAUAGAGACAUCAACUCCAAUCACCAUGCAUUGUGAUAAUCAAGCAGCAAUACACAUAGCUUCCAACAGUGUGUUCCAUGAGAGGACUAAACACAUUGAGGUGGAUUGUCAUAAAGUUAGGCAAGCAGUGGAACAAAGGAUCAUCUUACCCUGCUACACAAGAAGUGAGGAUCAACUAGCUGACAUCUUUACCAAGGCUGCAAGCACCAAGGUUUGCGAGUUCAUACAUUCCAAGUUAGGACUCGUAGAUUUUUCAUCACACUAAUCCUCUUAGCCAUGAAGUGUUCUACUCUUUUUCCUUGGCUUGGUUUUUAUCCCAUGAGGUUUUUCCAAGCUAAAGGUUUUAAUGAGGGAAUGCUUCAUGGUUUCCAAGUUUGACCAGUCCCUAUGGUCAAGCUUGGGGGGGAGUGUGAAGAUGAAGCAAUAAGAAACAAGAUGGUUGGUUAAGGUCUCAAGACAAUGGAGAUACCACUACAAGGGACAAGCAUGCAUGGUUGGUUAAGGUCUCAAGACAAUGGAGAUGCCACUACAAGGGACAAGCAUGCAUGGUGGGUUAAGGUCUCAAGACAAUGGAGAUGCCACUACAAGGGACAAGCAUGUAUGGUGGAUUAAAGUCUCAAGACAAUGGAUUAUUAGUUUAUCAUAUCUCAUCUACCAUUUGUCAUACUUGUAACCCUUAUAUAUAUGGGAUGUUCCCAUAAGCAAAUCAAUUAAGCAAAUAAGAUUCUCCUUAUUUACUCUAUCUCUCUACUUUCUAGAUUAAACAUCUCUCUCUCUUGUUCUUCACUAUGUUCUUCAAUUUCUAACAUUAUGGUUAGAUGGAUGUAUACGGUCGUGUGUUGGUUUCCCGCAUUGACCCCUAAACACUAGGUGGACUAUAGAUGAGGUAAUUUCCGGCUUAAACGGCUGAACAACGACUUUAUAGGCUUACAGCUUUUCCUUGUACCGCUGGUGAGUUCAUUUAUCUCGCGCGCCUGCUUUGGGCUAGUGCUUGAAUUCUUCAUUUGGGAGCGUUUUGUGUAGCUGUUGGAAGCUAUAGGAACCAUAGUAUUCAAGGUUAAAGGGUCUUUUUCCGAGUUUAUUCAUCUAGUUUCCGAGUUGGUAGGUCUGAGCCCGUCUCAUUAUCAAUCAUGUUAUCAUUGCGCUUUUUUGCUUUGGUCUAUUACUUUGUUGUUGUUUGUAGCAUUUUUUUUGUUUAACUGUCCGUAGUUGUUCUUGUAUUUUGUUAUUUUUUUUAUUUCUGCGACUGGUUCAAAUUUGUAUCGUCUGUCAAAACUCAAAAAUGUGGUAUAAUAGUUAACAUCUUACGGAAAAAAAAAGGAAUUUACAAAAGGUCACGUGAUGUACCAUGCAUGGAUCAAUGGAUGUAUACACGCACACGUGCCUAACACAACAACAACAGUUAGACGAGGCCAGACCCCAAGUGGUGUUCAUCGAGACGUGUGUAGUAGUGAACCUGUCCGGUUCUUUCCCGUCUAUAAAAGAUUCUUCCCGCGUUCGUGUAACUGGUCAUUGGUCAAACGUUACUGAUUUUACCCACUGAAAUUCAAAAUCAAUGUGUGACUUACAGUUGACUUUUUAUUUCAGCUAAAUGUUUUCAAAAAGAGUAGAGCUUGGCUGAGAUUUUCUUCCAACAAUCCACAUAAUUUUUAUUUAUUUUUCUUUCUUAUCGGUUACGCCUUUGUUGGAGUCAAAACCGGUCACGACGGAAUCAAUGCCUGAAAGUUCCCGGAAAACCAACUCUCGAUCGAUCCUUGAAAACUAGACAUUCCCAGAAAACGGUUAAUCAAGUACAAGACAGUUUUUCGCGGAUGCGAACCGAGGAAUGUCGAGAAGAGGAUCAGUCUGGAUGAGGUCUCGAUCGUAAGCGAGGACCGUCUCAACCGAGGUCACCUCGUUUAACUAUACGGGGAAUUGGAAUCCUUUCGGAAAAACCAACGGCUGUUUCUUAGGAAAAAUCGUAAAAACGUCUAAGUCCCAAAACGGCCCAAAAGGGGCCUGAACCGCGCUAAACGGCCCACUUACGAUUUUAGAACAUGAUCGAGCCUAAGGCUGAUAUGACGGUCUAUUUUUUAUUCACAAGAAAAGAUAAAUGUCAAGUUUCCGAAGAUAAUCAUGAAGGGUGACGAAAAAUGGAAAAGUCCGUCUCGCGACGAAUCCGGCCCAGGAAAAGGUACAGACCGACCUAGAGAGAGUAUAUAAGGAGGGCUUAAGGCGAGGAGCAAGAGAGAGCUUUCUCAGAGCAAACUUAAUAUUUAGAGCAAUUUAGGCAUUUUUUUCCGUUUUUACUAUCGAGCUGCGACUCGACUAGGUUAGAACUUAGGUGGCUAGCCUAGCGAACGCACCGACAGCUCUCGUGGCCUAGGAUCUUACCUGUUGUUCACGCUCAAACGCGAAUUCGGAAAUAAGACAUCUUUGUUCUCUUUUCGCUCUUUUACGAUUUAUUAGUUUCGACUCUUUCAUAUUGAUUGUGUUGUGUGUGACAAACAGAUAAUCGGGACCUUUAGAGAAGGCUAGGUUAACUUGGAUUUCCUCCGAUUAACAAAUCUCGACGGUGUAAAUUCCGGUUCCCACAGCCUUCAAACCUAUUUACCCGUAAAAAGUAUAUAUACAUAUCUCAACAUUGAAUGUCAGUGUUAAAAAAAAACAUUCAAAACACGUGUAUCUAUGUUUAUAUAAUGGUCUAGUAUGCUUAGAUAUAAAAGAAAAAGUUUUGACUACACUGAUUCAUUGUGUUUAUGUGGUAAAGUAAAAAGGUUUGACUUAGUGUAGUCGAUCUCCAGAAAAAGCAAGUAGAAGAAUCUUACCUUCUUAUCUGUUUAUAUAAAUGCAACGUAUUGCACAGGUGGAUCUAACUCUCGGUUUUCUUCUUGAAGAAACUAGUAAAAACCGAAUUAUUAGUUUCUUUUCUUUUCCCAUGGAAUCAUUGUAACCUAGUGAUUAAGAUUUAAAAGCUUUUAUAUCCAGGUUUGGGAUUCAAAUCCAGACUAUACAAUUUUUUUGCAGAUUACGGAAAAUUCAGGUUUCAAGUCUCGUAAAGAACGAUUUAUUAAACAAUUAUACACUUACAAAAGAUCUCCAACAUGGUGCAAGUAAAUCUGGUCAGACGUGAAUCUUAAUAGGACGAUUCAGGUGAUGCAGUUAGGCGUAGAUCUUCAUAAUACAGAUAGUGUUAUCAGUUGUCGAAUCGUAUAUGUAAUAUUUUUCAUAUCAUAAUUGUAAUAUCAUAAUAAAUCAACGUUAAAAAGAAUCAAUGAAAAAAAAAUCAAUUAUAGAAAGUAACAAUUGCCAUAGCAAUGACUUAUGAUGUACAAAUCAUAGCCAUCGAUUACUGUUAAGCUACACUUUAGCCUUAUUUUAUUUUUAUUAAUUGGAAAAACAGAUAUACAACAUCAACCACACAAAAUGAAUAUGGAAUAAGUUUUAAAAUUUUCUCUUACAUUGAAAUGAUAAUUGAACGUGUAUAUAUUGGAAUGGAAAACAUUAAAUUUAAAAUGUGGAUAUAAAGACGGUCAAGUUAUUUUUAUGUUUGACUAGUAAUGUAAUUUAACGCACAAACACAUAAUACAUACUACAUCUGUAGAAUAAAGCUGCAGGUUAUAUAAAUUGACCUUAGGAGUAAUCAUUUACACGAAGUCUCUCUGAUUAUUAUUUUUUUUCGUUUUCUCGAUUUCGUCUCUAUCCUUCUCCUUUCUCUCUAUCGGGAACAAGAGAGGCUGAGAAAAAAUCGUGAGAUAUGGUUGAGACGAGACGUAGCUCUUCCGCUUCCAAGCGUUUCUGUUCUUCUUCUUCAUCCCCUGAACCGUCGUCGUCGUCUCCACGCCCCACCAAGCGAUCUAAAGUCAAGAUCGACGCUGCUAUUGAAUCUGUACGUAGCUCUUGUUCCGAAUCUGAGUUUUUUUUUUGUUUUUAAUUUCGAAUCUGAUGUUUUGAUAACCUAGGCGGCGGCGGCGGAACCGGCGGGGUCUUCGUCGGCGAGCGAGGUUCCGAUUGAGAAUCAAGGACCCGUUUCGGAUCCUGGAUCGGAAUCUGGAGAGCCGGAGCUUGGAUCCUCUGAUCCGCAAGGUGUGGAUGCGGAGAAGCCUGUUUUAACUGAUGUGCCUGUGAUGGAGAUCUCUCCUGAAGCCGACGCUAACCCUGAAGCUGAUGUCUUGGCGACACCUACAGUAGCAGGUUUGAUGUUCUGUCUCAUGCUUUUGUCUAUUUCUUUUUUUUUUCAAGAAAGAAUUAUCCUUUCUAAUGUUUUUUUUUUUUUUUUUUCUAAUGUCUUGAUUGUGGUUUUAGGUGAAGUGGUGGUUUGGACUCUUUUAAUACUUUUUUUUUCUCUUGACUACGUUACUUUUGUUUCUAACUGUCCCAAUGCUUGUUUCUCUGUGAUUUCAGAACCCACACCGUAUCAUGAGGGGCCCUGUAUUCACUGUUGGACGCCGGGGAUGUGAUUUAUCUAUCAAAGACCAAUCUAUGCCCAGCACCCUGUGUGAGCUGAAGCAGUCUGAUGUAAGUACAUCUUAGUUGCCCCCUUUUUUUUUUAUCUCAGUCUCUUAAAAGGACAAAAGCUUCUUUUUUUUCUUACAAUAAUGAUUAUGCAGUACGGAGGUCCAUCUGUUGCAACAUUGGAGAUAACAGGGAACGGAGUUCUCGUUCAGGUGAAUGGCAAGUGUUACCAGAAAAGUACUUGUGUUCAUCUUCGUGGUGGUGACGAGGUCAUCUUCACCAAUUUUGGGAGACAUGCUUACGUAUCCUUUAUGAAGUUGUGUGAAAAUUUAUUAUAUUCGCUUUUAUGCUAUCUAUAAUGUUCUUGUCAUUUAUCAUUAGUCGGAAGACAUUCCAAACUCUUCCAAACUCGGGUCAGGUAGCCAAACUCGGGUCAGGUAGUGUGGUAACAGUCCAAAGCCGACUGAAUCAGCCGAUAGGGCAUAUAAAAAAAUUCAAUGGUUUCUCGGUAACUUUUCUUUAACGGAUUUCUAGAUAUUUCAACCUCUUAAAGAUGAAAAUCUAGCUGCUGCUCCUGAUAGAGCUUCUUCAGUGACUGUAUGUGAAGCUAGAGGUGCACCUCUGAAAGGAGUCCACGUUGAGACAAGAGCAGGAGACUCCUCAGCUACUGAUGGAGCCUCUAUAUUAGCAUCUCUGUCAAAGUACCGCAACUUCCAUCUCCUACCACCAAUUGCCAAAUCUGCUAAAAAGCAGCAGAAUCAGGAGGCUCCUGUGGUACCUUCCAGCUGCAACGAUUGCGUCUCAGAUACCGAGAUGAACGAUGCUGAUAGUAACAAUGAUCAUGCUGAUAUUGCUUCUGUGGAGAAAACUGCUGAUGCCAACGAGAAUCUGAAUGCCGAUGGGAGUGGAUUGGAUCCUUUUCAAGAAGCUGCUGAUGGAAAUGCUCCUGGUUCUGGUUAUGAGAUUAGACCAAUCUUGCGCCUCCUCGGGGAACCUUCUUCAGUUGAUAUAAGGGGCAUCUCCAAACUGCUGGAUGAGAGAAGAGAAGUGCGAGAACUCCUUAAGGAAUAUGAUCUUUCAUCUACCAUAUCAACUAGACGCCAGGCGUUUAAGGAUAGCCUGCGAGAAGGAGUACUCAAUGGUCAAGAUAUAGAUGUUUCUUUGGAGGACUUCCCAUAUUUUCUUAGGUCUUGCUGCUAUAUACAUUAUGUUAUAUCUCUACCAUAUAUUUUUUCCUAUGAUGGUUUUGAUGAUUUAUAGCCUAAACAAUUUGUGAAUUUUUCCUCAGUGCUACGACAAAGGAUGUUUUGAUAGCGUCGAUGUAUGUCCAUAUGGAGGUUGGAAGUAAGUUUGCAAAGUAUGCAUCAGACUUGUCUACUACAUGUCCACGUAUCUUGCUCUCUGGACCAGCAGGUAAUGAGGCUUUACUAUUAGUACUUGGUUUGAGAUGACUAUUAUUCUAACAACGUUUUACCUUAUGAAUUGUAUUUAGGAUCUGAGAUAUAUCAGGAAAUGUUGGCAAAAGCGCUUGCAAAAAGGUUUGGGGCCAAAUUGAUGAUCGUUGACUCUCUUUUGUUGCCCGGGGUAAUAUUCCCUUUUUCCCUUUACUUUCUCUUUAACGUUGUUUUAGUUGUUAAAAUAUUUCAUGUCAAGUUGGUUAUUAUUGGAUAGAAGAUUUUUGAUCCAAAAGCUACACUUUUAAAUAAAAAACCAAAAAAAAAAACAGAAUUUAAUACAUCAAUUUUCUAGAUUAGAUAAUUUUUAAUAUUAAUUAUAAUUUAUAUCUAUUUUAAGAUUUUUAAAUGUUUUUUUAAAAAAUUAACUUUAAAAUUAAAAUUUGUUGGAUGCAUAUUAGUCCGCGGUCUUCAUCUAGUUAUUAAAAUAUUUCAUGUCAAGUUUGUCUUAAGCGGUAUUACUGACUUUUCUUCCCAAAUAGCUUAAGAUGUUAUAUCUGUCAGUGUUUAUCCGUCAUUGAUUUGUGCUGUUUCUGGAUGGCUAUAGGGAUCACCCGCAAAGGAAGCCGAAUCUUCUAAAGACGGUUCUAGGCGUGAGAGGCUCUCUAUGCUUGCUAAACGAGCUGUUCAGGCCGCACAAGCAUUGCAGCAUAAGAAACCAACUUCAAGUGUGGACGCUGAUAUAACAGGUGGCUCAACAUUGAGCUCCCAAGCUUUACCAAAGCAAGAAGUGUCAACAGCAACUUCUAAAAGUUACAUAUUUAAAGCAGGCAUGUUGCUUAACAUUCUUUGGUGUACCAAUCUUCAUCUGUUACUGAACCUGCAUUUUUCUCAUUUUUAGGUGACCGAGUAAAGUAUGUAGGUCCUUCAUCUUCUGCUAUUUCUUCUCUUCAAGGCCCACCGCUUAGGUAUUGUUUACGAUUUUUUCGAAGUCUUUCACAGAUUCAAAACUCAGAUCUAACACUUCUCUUUGGUAUUUAUUAAUAGGGGACCGACCGUAGGUUUCCAGGGGAAAGUACUCCUUGCAUUUGAAGACAACUGCUCAUCAAAAGUUGGGAUUAGAUUCGAUAGGCCUGUACCAGAUGGCAAUGAUCUUGGUGGCCUGUGUGAAGAAGACCAUGGCUUUUUCUGUGCUGGUAUGCUAUUUCCAACUUUGACCCAUCAUAUUAUUUUUACUAAUAUCAUUUUGUGUUUGCAGCUACCUCACUUCGGUUAGAUGGUUCCUCCAGUGAUGAUGCUGACAAACUCGCCGUUAAUGAAGUCUUUGAGGUAUAUAUUUUACUCUCUCAGUUAUGUGGAGUGCUACUCUAUCCACUUGUUGACCACUUGACUUAUUUUAUAGGUCGCACUUAGUGAGAGUGAAGGAGGGUCGUUGAUACUGUUCCUGAAAGAUAUUGAGAAGUCUUUGGUUGGGAACAGUGAUGUGUAUGCAACCUUGAAGAGCAAGUUUGAGAAUUUACCGGAAAAUAUUGUUGUCAUGGCCUCACAAACCCAGUUGGACAGCCGAAAGGAGAAAGUAAGAAACUCAUUUAAAAUCUUCUCUGCUUCUAUUUUGUUUUUACUGUACUGUUAACUAAAUUUUUAUUGUUGUUUUUUCAGUCACAUCCUGGAGGUUUCUUGUUUACCAAGUUUGGUGGCAACCAGACAGCAUUACUAGAUCUUGCAUUCCCGGUAUGGACCUAACUUAACUUAUCUUUGUAUCUUUUUGAGAGGUUGAAACUGAUUUUGAGAUCAUCUUGCAGGAUAAUUUUAGUAAACUGCAUGAUAGGAGCAAAGAAACGCCUAAAUCCAUGAAACAGAUAACUCGGCUGUUUCCUAACAAAAUCUCCAUCCAGUUACCUCAGGUCUGAACCUUCUUCUUACUUUGGUACAUUUGUUAUUUUUUGUUUUCAUUAUCUUAUGCUCUCAAGAGAUAAUAGGAUGAGGCUUUGCUCUCGGACUGGAAGGAGAAGCUUGACCGUGAUACAGAACUUUUGAAGGUUCAGGCUAAUAUAACAAGCAUCCUAUCUGUGAGUAUCUUCUCAACAAGUCCUUCAGCGAUCUAACCGUUCCUAGCUUCUUUUUUUUGUUAAUGUUUUUUGUUAAUAAAUCCCCACAGGUCCUCACUAAAAAUCGUCUGGAUUGUCCUGACCUUGGAACCUUGUCCAUCAAAGAUCAAACCCUUCCAUCUGAAAGUAGGACUCUUAAUAUACCUUUUUUUUUUUUAUGAUUUGAUCUACUCCUUGGUACUAAACAAUUACUGAUAUGUGUGUUCUAGGUGUUGAGAAAGUGGUUGGCUGGGCUUUGAGCCACCAUCUUAUGAACUGCGCAGAACCUACAGUUAAAGACAACAAGCUUGUUAUCUCAGCAGAAAGGUAAGCAUCCUUGUAUAUACUGAAACACUGUAGCUAAAAUCCAGCUUAGAUUUUGCAAAUAACACUUUGGCAUGUGUUGCAGCAUUACAUAUGGCCUGCAGAUGUUACAUGGCGUUCAAGAUGAAAACAAGAGUCUGAAGAAAUCCCUCAAGGUAUUAUUAUGGAACUUCAUAUCUUUUCUUCUAAGUUAGUAAGUUACGGAUCUAAGAGUUGUUCUUUGCUAUGCUGUUUCAGGAUGUUGUGACAGAGAACGAAUUUGAGAAAAAACUCUUAUCAGAUGUCAUUCCCCCUAGCGAUAUAGGUGUGUCCUUUGAUGAUAUUGGGGCUCUUGAGAAUGUGAAAGACACACUGAAGGAGUUGGUGAUGCUUCCUCUUCAAAGACCUGAAUUAUUUGACAAAGGCCAGCUAACUAAGGUACCUUUCAUUGCUUUACGGUUUGUUUCUCUGUCUUUUUCUGGAAGUCAAAUAUAUAAAUUACGUUUUACUGCAGCCUACGAAAGGUAUCCUGUUGUUUGGACCUCCUGGUACCGGGAAGACGAUGCUGGCAAAGGCAGUAGCAACUGAAGCUGGUGCAAACUUCAUCAAUAUCUCAAUGUCCAGCAUUACUUCAAAGGUAUCUCUCCAACAGUGGUCUGAAUCUUUUGUUUAUGCUUUCUUUUGAAGAUUGUAUUUGACCACCUAACAAUUUGAAUGCUUUGUAGUGGUUUGGUGAGGGAGAGAAGUAUGUUAAAGCUGUCUUCUCUUUAGCAAGCAAGAUCGCUCCAAGUGUCAUAUUUGUUGAUGAGGUAUGUUCUGUUUCGCCACUUUGAAGCUAAGCUUUUAUGUAUUUUCUUAAUCUCUGAUGAUUGCUGAAAAAACAUUAUUAUUUAGGUGGAUAGCAUGUUGGGAAGACGUGAGAAUCCAGGAGAACAUGAAGCUAUGCGUAAGAUGAAGAACGAGUUCAUGGUAAACUGGGACGGUUUAAGAACAAAGGAUAGAGAACGAGUUCUGGUACUCGCUGCUACCAACAGACCAUUUGAUCUCGACGAAGCAGUUAUUAGACGGCUUCCCCGGAGGUAAACCUACAUUGUGCUGUGUCUCUUAAUGAAAGAUGAUUCCUCAUGUCGUAACUAUUGCUGAAUUGCAUACUUCUAUGUUUCAGAUUGAUGGUGAAUCUUCCAGAUGCGACUAACAGAUCAAAGAUCUUGAGCGUUAUUCUUUCUAAAGAAGAAAUAUCACCUGAUGUUGAUUUAGAAGCGAUUGCUAAUAUGACAGAUGGUUACUCAGGAAGUGACUUAAAGGUAUGUACUCAUCUCAUUGAAUCUCAAUCUCCUUGGCUUGUAAAAUGCUCACAUUCUCUCAUUUGGUUGCAGAAUCUUUGUGUAACUGCGGCACAUCUUCCAAUUCGAGAAAUACUGGAGAAAGAAAAGAAGGUUAGGUUUCCAACUUAGUGCAUUUACCACUGUUUUAAAAAUCAUUGCCGGCAAAUCAUUGUACGAAAUAACGUUUUUAGAAACAUUGUUAUAGGCGUCUGCCUAAACAAUAAUCCUUUAUAUAACACCUAAUUUCCUCUUAGAGAUACUUUGAACAUUUACUCAUUUACUUGCUAAACUUAUCAACUCAUCCUUCUCUAUAUACUGAGUGUUGUUUUGACUUCAGGAAAAAACCGCAGCUGAGGCUGAGAACCGUCCAACGCCUCCAUUGUAUAGCUGCACAGACAUUCGUCCACUGACAAUGGCAGAUUUCAAGGCUGCACAUGAACAGGUAGCUCGAAAAGAACAAUUGUUUUGUGUGCAUUGUGUUUAUAUAUAGAUGGAAAAAGGACUAAAUGAUCUUAAAUACAUGUAUAGGUAUGUGCUAGUGUGUCUACGGACUCAUCGAACAUGAACGAGCUUCAGCAAUGGAACGAGCUCUAUGGAGAAGGAGGAUCAAGGAAGAAGACGUCCUUGAGCUACUUUAUGUAGAAGAGACUGGAGUGAGAGAGGAGAGAUUUGUUGGUUUUUAAUCUCAUUUUGGUCCUUUGUUUAAUUUAUAAAAAUUUAUGUACAGAAGAGAGAAAAGAGUGUUGUUCGGUUUAUUUUCUAAUUCAUUCUCUUUCUCAACAUAAGAAGCUAAAAACAUUCGCUGUAUAAUCUAAUACAUGCGUAUGUAUAGAGGUUCGGAUGUUUUAAGGAUACAAACAUGCUUCUUGUUUACUUAUUUAAUUAGGCAGAUCUUAAGACCUAAUCUCAACUCUGGGAGAUAGAUAACCAUGGUGAAUGUUCGGUUAGCCGUAGAUGAGUUGUGCAAGUCUUGCAUCCCGAGCAUGCAGAUAGUCUGUGGAUGAUUGGAGAACCGUUCAUUAGUGGUAUAAUGAAGAUGUACGCUUCACCAUUCUUCUACAUGUCUUAAAAUGUCUCGGUAAAUCUUCUGUUUCCGUACAAAGAACAACAAAUUUUGUUUUUUUUUUGGGUUUUGUGGAGAUAGUAGAACAUUUGGAAUCUCCUUGUAUUUGUCGACACGGACGACCAACGAUGAUGAUGCAGUCAAGCUCCUUUUCAUGGUUAACAUUUGAAGGACCCUCGAUUAUAACUACGUUUUGUAAAUAUAAAAUUUAACCCUGUUCUAUUAUAUUAGUCAGUGGCAGAGGUUUCUAAAAAAAAAGUCAGUGGUUACAGCAGGUCGUCAAUCUAUUAUCUAAAUUUAGCUAUAUAUGAAUAGGAAAUGAUAAAUCGAAUUAAACCAUAUCUUGACAAGAAUACCAAAAUCAGUUAUACAAUACCAUCUUUCUUAUUAUAUAAAGCUUGGUUCUUCAAAAUUGCUAAUUAACAUGAAAUUUUUUUCUUUUUUAAAAUUCCUAAACAAGAAAUCUUAUUAUAUAAAGCUUGGUUCUUCAAAGUUGUUAAUUAACAUAACGAUGACACAUGGCAAUUAAAAAUUUAAGAUGGUGACAUGUAUUAAAAUCUAUCAUAAUUAAUAAUAUAAAUAUAAUAAGAUAAUAACACAAAAGAAUUAUUUAAUGGUAAUUUUCCUUUUUAAAUACUUAACAAAGAUAAUAAUAGCAAAAAAUUAUUUGAUGGUUUUUAGUUGACAAUAAUUUUCUUUUUUUUAAUUUUUUUCUUAAUAAUAUAAAUAUAAUAAGAUAAUAACACAAAAGAAUUAUUUAGUUAAAGCUGUCUUCUCUUUAGCAAGAGAUCGCUAAUUAACAUGACGAUGAUACAUGGCAAUUAAAAAUUUAAGAUGAUGACAUGUGUUAAAAUCUAUCAUAAUUAAUAAUAUAAAUAUAAUAAGAGAAUAACACAAAAGAAUUAUUUAAUAGUAAUUUUCCUUUUUUUAAAUACUAAACAAAGAUAAUAAUAGCAAAAAAUUAUUUGAUGGUUUUUAGUUGACAAUAAUUUUCUUUUUUUAAAUUUUUUUCUUUUUUAAAAUUCCUAAACAAGAAAUCUUAUUAUAUAAAGCUUGGUUCUUCAAAGUUGUUAAUUAACAUAACGAUGACACAUGGCAAUUAAAAAUUUAAGAUGGUGACAUGUAUUAAAAUCUAUCAUAAUUAAUAAUAUAAAUAUAAUAAGAUAAUAACACAAAAGAAUUAUUUAAUGGUAAUUUUCCUUUUUAAAUACUUAACAAAGAUAAUAAUAGCAAAAAAUUAUUUGAUGGUUUUUAGUUGACAAUAAUUUUCUUUUUUUUUUUUAAUUUUUUUUCCUUUUUUUAAAUUCCUAAACAAAAAAAUGUAUAAUAAUUUACUUAAUACUAAUUUUUCACUUUUUAAAAUCGUUUUUUAAAAUACUAAAUAAAGAUAACAACAAAAGAUUAUUUGAUAGUUUUUUUAGUUGACAAUAAUUUCAUUUUUAUAAUUUUUUUUUCCUUUUUAAAAUUCCUAAAAGAAAAUGUGUAUAAUUAUUUACUUAAUACUAAUUUUCGUUUUCUAAAAUAAAAAAAAAUAUAAUUGUGAAAAUUAGUUUGAUAGUAAUUAUCCGUUUAUAAAAUCUUCUAAAAAAAAAUUGUUAAAGAGUGUUUAAUUGUAGUUUUCUUUAUUUCUUCUUCAAACCUACAAAAAAAAGUAAAAUAAGUAUUUCAAAUAUUUUCAUAUAAUAAUAGACUAUUAUUUAAAUAGUAAAUUUUCUGUUUAAGAAAUCAUAUUGAAAAAAGGAUUACAAUUUUUUUUUGUAACUAAAAGGAUUACAAUUAUUCACAUCUAUAUAUAAUAUUAAACUCUCCUAUAUUUUAUCACCAAACAUAAUUGCUUAAUAUAUCAUAAUUAAUAAUAUAAGUAUAAUAAGAUAAUAACACAAGAAUUAUUUAAUAGUAAUUUUCCUUUUUUAAAAUUCUAAACAAAGAUAAAAGCAAAAAAAUUAUUUGAUAGUUUUUAGUUGACGAUAAUUUUAUUUUUUCUAUUUUUUUUCCUUUUUACAAUUCUUAAACAAAAAAACAUGUAAAAUAAUUUACUUAAUACUAAUUUUUCUUUUUCUAAAAUCAUAAAGAAAAUAUAAUUAUAAAAAUUUGUUUGAUAGUAAUUAUCCUUUUAUAAAAUCUUCUACACAAUAAAAUUGUUAAAAACUGUUUAGUUGUAGUUUUGUUUUUUCUUCAAAUCUAAACAAAAAAUGUAAAAAAAUUAUUUCAAAUAUUUCCAUAUAAUAAUAAACUUUCUUAUUUAAAUAGUAAAUUUUAUGUUUAAGAAAAUUUUAAUUUUUUUUCAUUUUAAUUUUUACUUUGGUUGAGUUUAGUUUAAAUAUUUAGGUAUGAGUGUUUUCUCCAGCCUUAAAUACAAAGUUGAUAACAAUUUACCUAUCCACCAUAUUAAAAUCAGAAUCUCUCUCAUACAAGAAAAACAUUAGGUGUGGUUUUUUAUUAUAUAACUUUAUAAUUAUCGUAAAAUAUGAUAUUAUUGUGCGUAAGUUAUUGACACAAUUAUGUGUGUUAGUUCCUAUAGACGAUAUAAAAUUGGUUAUUCUGUCAUAGUAUGUCAAUGUCAACAUCAAUUUAUUAUGUUACGUCAAAAACGAUUGAUCAAUGCAGUAUAAACGGUUUAAUAUGGUUAUGCGAGUUAGAUAAUAAUUUUAAAAUAAACAACAAUUGUUAUGAUUUUGAUUGUCAUUAGGGUUUAGUCAAAAAGUUUACUAGACACUUCUUACAAUAAGACUAUGUUUGAAAAAAAUAUAUUUACUAUUUUCUAACUGAAAUUGUUAUUUAAUUUGCUAUCAUGCAUUAUCAAGGAAACAAUGAAUUCAGAAGGUUAUUUAACACUAAAUCAGUUUAAAAUAUUAAAAGGUAAGAAAUUUGAAAAAAGAAUAAUGAACUUAUAGGAAGGGAUAUCUCAUACUUAAUAAAGGUAAUUAAAAAAAAAAUCUUUUAUAAAUUUUUAUUCAAAUUGAUUUUUUAUUAUAUAGGAAAAUACAAUCAAUGUUGUGUGCAUCAUUCUAUUCUUGAAAAGCUUGGAGAUGAACUAUGUGAAGGAAUUAUUAUCGACAUCUUUUAUUUAUAAUGUGCAAGAUUGAAGUAAGAACUAUAAAAUCUCUGAUCAUAAAUUUCAGAUAGGAGUGAUUGAGAGAACAACAACCUCAUAUUUGUGAAAUAACCGUUACCUCAAAUACUCUGUGAAAAAAAUUUGAUUUCAACUACAAAGAUUUUGCUCAACUUAAAGAUAUCAGAAACUAUUGAUUAGAUGAUAAUAUUCAUGCAUUUUAUAUAUAUAACUUUUUGUUACAGAUGUGUAGUUGGUAUAUCAAUAAUAUGAAUAAUCUGAUGUUCAAAUAGUUACUCUAACUUAAUUGUUAAGGAGGUAUUUUUCUAUAAAUAACUGUAGCACUUUUUCUCUAUGAAUUAUUAGUCCAAUUCCAUUAAGCAAUUUCAGUUUUUUUUUUCUACAAAAACUCUAUUUUAUAUAGUGAAAUUGAAAUACAAGCAACAUCAUGAGCUGGACAAGUAGAACUAUUUGAAGAUAUAUAUCGCGCUGUGAAAUGUGAUAAUACUGUUAUUAUCAUGAAAGUCUUUUAUCAAGAGAUAUCCAUGUGUAAUUUUUUUAUCAGCAUAAAAAAGUUUGGAUGUUUAUUUUAACUCUAAUUAGUUGAAGAAAAUUUAAUAUACUAAUUUGUAUUAUUUCUAUUAGUUUCAGCUAUGAUGAUGGUUGCUUGGUUAAUCUUGGCCAUAUGAUUGAAAAUCCUUAAAUGAGUAUUGAAGUUAAUGAAGUUUAUAUAUAUUUAUGUUAACUUAUAUGAGUUAACUAUAUUUAGUUAACAUAAAAUGUUUUUUAAAAAAUAAUUAUUUAUUUAUAUAUUUAUUAGAAUCCUAAAUUCUAUAUUCCUAAAACCUACCCCACCCUCUCAAUUCUAAACCCUUAGUCUAGAUUAGCUAACCUUAGGAUUAUAAGUGUUUUUUCUUUUUAAAAGUGAGAAUAAAAGUGGUAUUAAGAAUGUGAUAUUUUUGGUAAUUUCCCGUAUAAUAUUGUCACUAACUAGAUUGACCUUAUUUAGAUUUUAAUUUUUUUUCAUUUUAAUUUUUACUUUGGUUGAGUUUAGUUUAAAUAUUUAGGUAUGAGUGUUUUCUCCAGCCUUAAAUACAAAGUUGAUAACAAUUUACCUAUCCACCAUGAUUAUAAAUACAAAUACUAAUAGGAAUUUAUGUGUGUAAAUGAGUUUGUAAUUAUAAAAUAAAUAUCUCACAGCUUAUGCAAACACAAAAAAAUCCUAAAUCUAUAAUAAAAUGAUUUAUUAUUUUUAUGUUUUUACUAAAACAUCAAAUAAAACCCGUUGCAACGCACGGGCUUUAUCUAGUAAACUAAUAAACUUACUUUAAUUUUACUCACUAGUAAUGAAUUUAUAUAGUGAUUAAAACUUCUAAAAAUAUUUGAAAUUUAUGAAGUUGCAGUUAAUUUUUUUUUUUUGGAUGUCAAAUGGGUUAUCCACGUCUAAAUAAGCUUGUCCAAAUAAAUAAUAUUGGAUAUUGAUGGUUUUAGUUCAAAUAUUGGAUAAAAUAAGAUAUAGAACAAUUUAUAAUUUAAUAUUAAUCAAGCAAAAACAUUUGUAUAAAGAUGUUUUCUAAAAUAUUAUUCAUAUGUGAGUGUUUUCUUAAAUAAGAUUUUAAUUUUUUGUUUUUGAUAAAAACACUUUAUUUUUAUCCGGGCAUAAUUUUUUUACAAAUAUUUAUUGGUUUAUCUCUUAUUAAAAUAAAAACCAACAUAAUAAGAUAUUAUUUUAUGUACUUAACAACUUUAAAUUAAACAUCAAUUAUUUAUAUAUGAUAUUUUUCAUCAAAAUAUAUAUGUUUAUCAUUGUGUUGAAAUUUUAAAAAAAAAAACACACUCACAUAUUAAAAAUGUCUUAGAAAAUAUCUUUUAAAAAUGUUUUUACUUGAUAAAUAUUUAAAUAUGUAUUGUUUAUAUCUCACUUUUGAACUUUUAUAAUAGAACAAUAUUUUUUUUUCAGAUAACAACACAAUAUAUUUGAUGAAAAUACAUAUAUAUAAGAAUUAUCAUAUUUUUUAAAAUAUGUUUUCAUUUUUGAAAAUUUCAUUUAAUUAAUUUAUAAUCAAUUUUCAAUUAUAACAUAUAAAUCUAGUAAUAUUAACAUAAAAUUUGUUUUUAAUUAUGUUUUAUUUCUAGGUAUUUUGUUCAUACAUGCAUGUAUAAUCAUUUUACAGGAUGAUAGAUUGUUUUUUUAUGAUUUUAAUCAUUUUCAUUCUUUCAAUUUUUUUUGUUUCGAACACCAACUAUAAAAAAAAUUAUUAUUGCUGAUGUAAGAAAAAUAAGAAAGUGUAAUUUCGUCUUUUGAACCAUUAUUGUUUCUUUAAAUUACCUAUUUAAACUAGCAACAAGUAUUUGUUUUGUUUGUCAAAAACUAGCAAUAUGUAUAAACUACCAAUAACAUGCAAAGAUAAAAAAUUAAAAUAAAACAAAUAAAAAUAUUUUAAAAGAAAACUAAGAGCUUAAAUUUGUUUAGAAAAAAAAAUUGAAAUAUAAGUGAAUUAAGAUAAUGGUAAUAUUCUUGGUUACAGGAUAAAUAUAUAGGCAAACUUAUCAUAUUUCAUAAAUUUUAUUUUUUCAUGAAAGAAAAAUUAAUGAUCAUCAUCUGAUAAUAUCAAACAAAACAUUAUGAUCAUUAUAUAUUUCCCUUUCUUUUUGGCAAUUUUAUCAUAAAUAAUUAAUUAGUUAUUCUAUGAUCCAUUAUAAUGAUUAAAUAUAAUUACUUAUUAAGGGUAGUAGAAGAUCUGACCUGAAAACUGAAGAGCUAAAAUAGAAAAAAUAAAAAUAUAUGAUAUUCAUAAACCUUUGCAUCUUUUUUUAAAAAAUUUGAUUACGUACUUACAUACAUAAUUUUGUUAGCUUUUAUUUUGUAGUUUUAUGUUAAUUCCAAUAGUAUACAUAAUGAGAAUGAAUAAUAUAUAUAUAUAUAUAUAUNNNNNNNNNNNNNNNNNNNNNNNNNNNNNNNNNNNNNNNNNNNNNNNNNNNNNNNNNNNNNNNNNNNNNNNNNNNNNNNNNNNNNNNNNNNNNNNNNNNNGAUCUGAGGAUUGUUGGAUCGUAAGUUUUCUUAGUGUGACUGCUUAUUUACUUUUUGAGUUUUAUGGAAUUUCUUCAUGUUCCCUUUUCAUCUUCUGUUCUUUAGGUUGUUUUGCUAUUUUUAAAUUCUGUUAAUUCUUUGUGCGACAUGAUUGAUAGCCCAUUUAUUCUGUGUUUUAUGUGGCAGCAAUUCUCCAUAUAUGAAUCUAUUUAUGACCCUAUCAAAAAAAUGUCGUCUGAUAGAGCACCUGUGCUUAGUGAGCUAUCACCCCUUAGGUAAAAGCUUCUCCACUAAAUCUCGCUGUGGAGCUUAUUGUUUUUGUUUAUCCCAGGUUUUCUCAAGCUUGCCUAAUGUGUAACAGGUAAUAUAGACGCGUCAACAGCUUCACACUUGAUAGAGUUGGUGACCAAGUCCCCCAACUUAACUUCUCUAACACUCUUAUGUUUUCAACUAACCAAUGAAAUAGUCCGGAAUCUUGUUGAGGUAUGGCUUCUAUUCGAUUUUACUGCUAAUUUCUUCUCUCUCUCUUUUAUUGGAUUACUAUCUAUGCUUUUAUACAACAAGGAUAACACCUGCAUGUUACUUCCAGAGUUCUCGAAAACUGAAGUACCUGAAUCUGUCCAGAUCACCUAAAAUCGAUGGUCGUUUUUUGAGGUGCAAAUACAAAAAAUGUUAAAUAGCGCGCAAUUUCAUCCAAAAGUCGUUAUUAUCAUAAUUUCACAUAGUACAAAAAAUAUUGUUGCUGGUAGGGAUUUGGGAAAUAGCUGCAAAGAGAGUCCACUCGAGACUCUAAUAUUGCGCAACUGCGUUAAACUAGAGGAGGUAAAUGUUUUUGAGUUGUUACAUCAGGUCUUGCUUGAUCGAUCCUUACACUCACUGACCUUGAUGUUUCAGAAAGAAGUCUUGGAACUCUGCAACUCAUUACUCAAAGGAAACUUCAAAUUCAUUCGUCACAUUGUAAGUUUUUCUUAGAGAAAAUUAUAUUAGCUUUGUUUGUUUUUAAUCGUCGUCUUAUUGGUUUGCUCACUCUAAUAGGAUGUUUCAAGCAAUAACGGCUUAGUUUCUGAUGAUGGCCGGAGAUCUUACAAACCAAAGUAACUGACUGAUCCUUUCAUUGUUAAACAUCUUACCAACGGCUCAUUGAGUUGUGGUGUGUUGUAGGUUUCCUGUGGAGAAGCUGAAAGAAGAAAGACCAGAUGUGACACUUGUUGCGGAUUUUCCAUUAGAAAGGUCUUCUUCUUCUUCAUUGAUUACUAUCUUAGACUUUUACAGUAAUUUGAUCAGAGAAUACAAAUGCAGGUCAGGGAAGCGUUAUCAUGUCGGGGUUGAAGGGGAUGACGGAGAGCUGAGGGAGAUAGAGAUGAUGGAAGCCAAGAACGAUGAAGAGGAGAAUGAUGAUGAUGACGACUCCUUUGACGAUGAUGAUGAUGAUGACGUUUAGCUUUGAUGAUUGGAGGAGUGGUUAAUCAAUCAAUCGUCAAUAUAUCCGGCACGACCGACAUAUGAAUGUUCUCCCAAAGCUCUUUGCAACGUUGCUAUGAUGAUGUUUCUUCCUACAUCCAAAGCCCCAAUCCUAGUUCCCUUCUUGUUGUUCCGCUACCUUCUCAUUCCUCUUUGUUUCCUGAGUGCCCUUCGACUUCUAUUAGCUGCUGCUCCUUUGAUCGGGCGCUUGGUCAAGCUAUCUAUCUCAUCUGCUUCUUGUAGACACUCUUGUGCGAACUCUUAUUAUGAGUUGGUAUAUGAAGACGUUUUUUGCACUGCAUAUCUUCAAAACCAUCAGCUACUCUUUUCCCAAUCAUUUCUAAAUACAAUUAAAAUACCAAAUUAACAACCAAAAGAACAUUUGAAAAAAAUGUAACCUCAAUUUUAUAAUAAUUUAAAAAAACUUCUUGCUUAUGUGUCAAUCAGUUAUGUAGUUAAUUAGUCAUAUGUAUCAGCUUUACAUUGAAAUUGAAAAACAUGUAGGUCUAAUUCAAUUUUUAUAUCUCACUAGAAACAUUUAAUAUCAAUUAUAUGAUAUCAUAUGAUAUUAACUAAAUUAAUGUGGCUAUUUAUUAUAUAUUAUUUCUUAAAUAAAACCUACGGAAUUACCUAAUGUGAUUAUGAUAUAUAUAGUAAUUAAUGAUUUUAAAUAAUGAAGAUUUGUUAAUAAUUUGUAUGCUUUAUAUCAUUUUUGUUUAAUUCUUUACUAUUAAAAUAGAAUACACAAUUACAUUAAUAAUAUAUUAAAAUUUUAGAUUUUUUUUGUAUAUGUUAUAUUUUGAAUUUUUCAAAACGAGUAUAAAUUACUAAAACUGUUAAAAGUCUCACAUAAACUUUUGUGAUCAAUGUUUAAAUUUUUUUCUAUAAUAAGAUACAAUGAUAAUAAAAUCAUAUAAAUAAAUAAUUUUAUUUUAAUAGGUGUUUAUGUUAAUAUAUAUAUACACUUCACAUCGUUUAAAUUUAAUUAUAUAUUAUAUACGAUAGAUAAGAUUGAUUGUUUUGAUUUAUUUAUUCUAAAAUGAUUGCGAAUAAACAAGAACGGUCAUUUGAUUUAUAUGUGCAAACCAAUUUAUUACAUAAUAGUAACUGAUUUCUUAGUAUGCAGAAAAAUAUAAAAUAAAUAGUUAUUCUGCAUAAGGCCAAAUCUUAACCUAAGUAUGUAUAUCUUUAAUAAUUUUGAAUCUUAAACAUUUUCUAAACCUCAGGCCAAAAUAAAAGAAAGAAAUGAGAAUAAACUCAAAAAUCAAUAUUUAUAUCGAGCAAUAACCAAAAUGACACAAAAAGGAGAAGAAUAUCGAAGAUAGAUAGGAUUGGCACGUGAACGUAAAAUUUUCAUAAUCAUAAUUAGUUUUUAAAUUGCUAAAUCAUGAUAUAAAACCGAUGUGACAUUAAUUUCAUUGUAACCAAAUAGUAGGCAUGAGAUUCUUCGGUCUAAACGUUAUGUUUUUAUACGAUUUAGUAGUAAUUGUUAAGAGGUUAAUAUUGGAUGCAAAGAUUAAUCGAAAAUCAUGGUAAUGUUAGCAGCAUAAAUUUAGCCAAUCACAAUAAAUUUUUGUUUUGCUUUAAUUUUGGCUGAUACGUCUCUCAUAAUUAUUAUACGAAAUCUAUACAUUAAAAUAAUUGAUGUUUAUAUAUAAUUGAUAAAGAUGAAAUAUAUUCACAGUAACGUAAUCUAAAAAUAUAAACGGAGAUGUUUAUUUUCUAAUAUUAUUGUACCGUGUAAUAUGUGGAUUUGAUACAUAUUUGGAAACUCUUAUGUAGCAUAAAUGGACAGAAUAUUUGGAAAAUUAUAUGUUUACCAUAUGGUAUCACUUUUCAUUUUUACCACCACUUUUGAUUUUGUAAUGAAAUAUUUCUUAUUUAUUAUUUUUUUUAAAGCUAAUGGCACAAUCUGUACAAUAGAAAAUUAAGAGCAUGUUUAAUAGAAAUUUUUAGAUAGGAUAAAUAUAAAAACCUUUAAUUAAAGGAAAAAUGAUUGCUGACUACAUGAAGUAUUGGCCAUCACAUGGCUAACCAUGCAAACUAAACAAAUGUAUACUUAGCUACACGAAGUAUGUAUUAUGCAUGACAACAUCCCUCAACUUUAUGAUGUUAUGUAAUUAGCAUCACGAGUUUAAUUUCAUAUCCAAAAAAUGAUUGUAUAUUAGAGACCGUUUAAAUCUCUCGUUACAUCAACUAAAAUGUGGCGUACCUGACGGUAAUUUACCUAAUUAGAUUUUGACAUGUGUUUUAAAAUCAUAAAAAUAUUUUUAACAAAAUCUACUUUACAAAAUCAAUAUGUUUUAUAAAUUUUUAUAAGUAGUGUUUUAACAUUUUUAUUUUACUGUAUUUGAAAACAAUAUAAUUAUAUUAUUUUUAUUUAUGUUAAAUAUAAAGUUAUACUUCCUCUGUUUCAAAAUACAUGAAGUUUUAAGAUUAUGCACAACUAUUAAGAAACUUGUUUUUUAUCUUAAAAAUAUCAUUAAAAUAUAAACUAAAAAUUAUUCAACCAAUCACAAAACAGACUACAAAAUAUCAUUGGCUACACAGUUUUUGAUAAAGUGAAAAAGUGCAUUGAGAUAUGAAAACAUCAUAUAUUUUGAAACAUCAAAAACUCCUUAAAACAUCAUCUAUUUUGAAACGGAGGGAGUAUAAGAUAUUAUUUAAUUAGUUUUUUUAAAUUCUUUUAAUCUGUUUUGGUAUGAAUUUUUAAUAAAAUUUAUGUAAUUCAUUUGAUUAAUUGUGUGAUAUAUACUUAUUUGAUAAAAAAAUACAAUAAAACUUCUUUGAUGUCAAUUUAUUGACUCUAACAAUUUAUUUGUUUAAUAUGAAAUUAUUAAGUUAAUGAAUUAUUUUAUAUAUUUUUUUCAUAAACAAAAAUUCCAUUCAUUUAAACUAAGUAAACCUUUCAUAUUAGAUUCUUAUUCUUUGAUUACUUUUAUUCGUAAAAAUAUAUAAUUAAUAAUUAUAUACGCAAGAUUAUGUUUGGUUUAAUUUGACAUCAAAUAAGUUUUAAACAAAUAAAAUUUUUGAGUUAGUAAAUUGACAGAAAAUAAGUUUUAUAAUUAAAAAAAUUAUCAAAGAAUUAUAUAUCACACAAUUAAUCAAACGAAUUACAAAUUCUUUAGUAAAAGUUCAUAACAAAACAGAUUAAAAUAAUUAAUAAAACAAACAGAGUAAUAAAAAUAAAAAUAAUAUAAUUAUAUAGUUUUAAAAGACACAAAAAUAAAAAUGUUAAAACAUUACUUAUUAAAAGUUCAUAACAAAACAGAUUAAUAUAAAUAAAAUAAUACAAUUAUAUAGUUUUAAAGUACACUAAAAUAAAAAUGUUAAAACACUAUUUAUCAAAAAAUGUUAAAACAUAUUUAUUUUGUAAAUUAGAUUUUGUUAAAAAUAUUCUUACGCUUUUAAAAUGUGGGUCAAAAUCUAAUUUUAUUAAAUUAUAGUCGAAUCGGUCAUAUUUUAAUUGUUGAAACAAGAUAUUUAAACGAUCUCUAACAUCCACAUCAGUUUUUGGAUAAAUGAAAUUAAACUCGUGAUGUUAACUAUAUAACAUUAUAAAGUUGAGGGAUGUUGUCAUGCAUAACAUAUACUUCGUGUGGCUAGGUAUAUAUUAAUUUAGUUUGCAUGGUUAGCCAUGUGGUGACCAAUACUUCACGUAGGUAGCAAUCAUUUUUCCUUAAUUAAAAGCUAAGAGAAAGUUUAUUAUAUUCAGCUAAAAACUACAUCCUAAAAACUCGUCUAUUUAUACUGGAAGAAGAGAAAACUCUUUCAACUUAAGGCUUCAUGGAUUCUCCGACGAGCCCCACCCAAAACUCUAGCUCCGUCCACGCCGAUUCGAUUAUCUCAUCCCUCCUUUCGUUUCCAGAUUCCUCUCCGCUCUCCAUUGCCUCUUCCUUCCGUCGAGAGCUCGAACAAGCUCUCGCCUCUGCUUCAGAUGACGCCUCUGUUCAGGAACGUCUCGUGGAUCGAACACUCCAGCUCGUAUCUCUUCUUCUAGAAUCCACUAAACGGUCCUUCCGCAAGCGAGCUACCACUCACAACUCCAGUGCCUGGUUCCUCCCUCCCGAACUCACCGUCAAGGUAAUCAAACCGACUGAGAGCGUUCAGGAGACGGAGUUUGAUGAGAUAUGUUAUUUGAAUUAGUUUAAGUGGUUGUUCAGGUGUUUUCGAUGGUUGAUACAAAGUCUCUAAUGCGCGCGGCUGCUUGCUGCACCAUGUUCAACAAAUGUGCUAUGGACCGUUUUGCAUACGCUCACGUCGACUUGACUACCGCUACUAGCCAAGUUGACAGUAAGGUUGUGUGUAACUUGAUCCAUAGGGCUGGAAAAGAACUCAGGUAAUCUUUAACGUUGUAACUUGUACUACACUCAUUUGUUAGUUUUUGUAUUUGAAUAGGGUUUUUAUAUUUAUGCUUGUAGAUCACUCAAGCUUGGCAGUCUUGCUCGCACAUAUCCGUCUGAUUGUAAUCCAUCUUUGGUUAACGGACCUUUUCUUUCCACACUAUCCCGUAAUCCUGAUUUUAUUGGGUAUGGCUUGCUUGCUUGCUUGAUUAUCAGUUUUUAAAUUUCAUCCUGUUAUUUUUAUCUGCCCUACAUAUGCUGUUAAAAUAAACAUGUUAGAGUAUGUGUUGGACCCAGAUUUGUACCAAAUCUCUCCUCCAUAUAUUAGUGCGAGUCCAUCAACUUUGACCCUCAUUACAUAUGGAUGUUUUUCUCAGGAAUCACGUUAUUUCUUCACUAAUCUUUAUAAACAAAUACUAUCAAAUAAGUAUGGGUUUUAGGAUCCACAGUAUGGUUUCGUUGGAUAGGAAAUAAUAUAGCAGGGAAGAUAUCCCAAUACAUUCUCAUUUAAUCUUCUUAUUUGGUAUUAUUAUCCUUUUCCAUUCAACCAGGAAUCGCUUGAAAAGCCUAGGGCUUUACAAUAUCAGGUCGAUGAAUUCCUCAUUCGAGGUGUUGUCAGUUUGUUCGAAUCUCACUGAUCUGAGGAUUGUUGGAUUGUGAGUUGUCUUAGAGUGCCUUGCUUAUUUAUUUUGGGACACACAGCCCUCUUUUUUUUUUUUUUUUUGCCUUAUUCUGUGUUUCAUGUGACAGGAACAAUCCUUUUAUGCAUUUAUUUAAGAUUCUGACAGAAAAAUGUCGGCUGAUAGAGUACCUGUUCAUAGAGACCUACCAACUCCCAAGUAAAGAUUCUCCAUUAAUCCGGUGUUGAGCUUAAUGUUUUGUUUACUCCCAGGCUUUCUCAAUGUGUAACAGGUACCAUAAUAGAUACUGUAAAAGGUUCACACUUGAUAAAGUUGGUGACCAACUCCCCCAACUUAACUUCUCUACGGCUCAUUCGUUUUCGACUAACCGAUGAAGUGGCACGUAUUCUUGCUCAGGUAUGUCUUCUGCUCGAUUUUACUGCUAUUUUCUCUCUCUUUUAUUGGAUACCAUCUAUGAUUUUGCAGGGGUGGAUCUCAAUAUUUUUGGGUUCUAAACAUUGUUAAGAAUUUGUUUUGUAAAUUGUUUUAAAAAUAAUUUAGAAAGCUAAAACUAUGUAAAAAAGUCAAAACAAUUUUGGGGGCCAAAACCAAUUUUUCAUUGGCUUGGCCCAAACCCCGGCUUUAGCUUUUACAGAACUUCAAUAGUAUUUUGAUGUUCUCUGCAGAGUUCUCGUACACUGGAGUACCUGAAUUUGUCUAGAUCCCCUACAAUCAAUGGUCGUUUUCUGAGGUGCUAAUGCAAAACUUUUACAGUGCAAUUUCCUCCAAAUGUCCUUAUUGUUAAAAUUUCACAUAACAAGAAAAUAUUGUUGGUAGGGAUGUAAGAAAUAGGUGCAAGGAGAGUCCACUUAAGACUCUAAUAGUGCGCAACUGCCUUAAACUGCAAGAGUUACGUAAAAGACUCAUAACACGUUUUGAGUUGUUUCAUCAGUGUUACUUGAUCGAUCCUUACAUUGAUGUUUCAGAAAGAAGUGUUGGAACUCUGUAACUCACUAAUCAAAGGAAACUUCAAAUCCAUUCGGCACAUUGUAAGUCUUUUUAUAGAAUCAGUGCCCCCCAAAAAAGUAUAAGCUUGGUUUACUCUAAUCUUCGUCUUCUUGGUUUAUUCUAAUAGGAUGUUUCAAAUAAGAGAGGCUUAGUUUCUGAUGAUGGCAAGAGAUCUUACAAACCAAAGUAACUGAGGGACCCUUCAUUGUUUACAUCUUAGCAACUGCUCACUGAGUUGUAUUCCAAAAAAAAUUGUUGUGUGUUGUAGGUUUCCUCUUCAGAAGCUGAAAGAAGAAAGAUCAGAUGUCACCCUUGUGGCGGAUUUUCCAUCACCAUGGUUCGUGUCAGUCGAUUACUACCAUCGUUAAAAAGUUUGAUUAAAGGAAUCCGAGAAAGGAAAAUGAGGGGGGUUUGUGUCUUGUAAAAUGCAGGUCAGUGAAGCAUUGUCCUGUCUGCCAUGAAGAAGAUGACGAAGAGCUGAGGGAGAUAGAGAUGAUGGAAGAUGAUGCCUCAUCCUCGGAUGCCUCAUCCUCGGACGACUCAUCCUCGGACGACGAAUCCUCAGAAGAUGACUUAGGAUGAUGAUACACAAACCAAGAGGACUUGGGACUUGGGAGAGAAUCAUGACGUUUAUCUUUGAUGUUUUGGCUGAAGAAUUUUAAUUUUUUUUUUUUUGAACGAGUAGUAAUUUAAGUCAUGUGCUACAAACAAGCUUAUGUCAGAUUCGGAGAGACUUUCCCAUAGGCUGGACCGUUCGGUAUUAGUCCGGGUAAUUCAGAUUUUCGGAUUUUCGGUGUUAUAUUCAGAAGUACCAUUCGGGUUUUACUAAUUACGGAUCGGUUUCGGUUUGGUUCCUUCCGGGUUCGGUUCGGAUUGGAUGUAACCAAUGUUUAAAAUCGUCCAAAACUAUUUUUUUUUAAACCUUAAAAUUGACAAAAAAGUUUCAAAAUAUAUAAAUUGUUUACAAAUCUAAUUAAAAAUUAGUUAAACUAUCUAAAUUAACUAAAAAAUAUUCAAAAUAACAAUUAAAACAAACUAGAAAAUAUUUUGAAUAUCCUAAAAUAUCUAAAUCAUCUUAAAUAUAUAAAAACAUUAACAUAUUUAACUAAUUUCGGAUAUCUUCGGAUGUCGGUUCGGAUGUCGGUUCGGUUCGGAUUAUAACCAAACACCAAAGUACUAAUCUCAUAAGUCUCGUUCAGAUAUUUUUAUAUAACAGUUUGGAUUUGGUUUUGGUUUUUUGGGUUCGGGUCUAGAUAAGUACUUUGGGUUGAGUUAAAAAUGGUCAGGCCUACUUUUUCACCUGAAGGUGAGAAGGAUAGAGGGCUCGGUUGACUCUAAUCAAAAAUUCGUGGUGCUCUGUAAACAAAGAAACAAACUGUUCGAUAGUCUUAUUGGGCCUAUUAAUGCGUCCAGAAAAGAAAAGCCCAUAUCUCGUCCGAUUGUUGUUGGCGGCUAAGAUUCUAGGAAGGGGGUAGCAGUGUAAAUAAACGGAAAUCGAGGUGGUGUUUUGAUCUCAAACUAGAUAAAGAUAAGGGUAAUACCGUAAAUAAACUGAAAGCGAGAGAUGCGGGCACGUGAGACGAAUUUCUGACUCUCCAAUCGACCUUAUCCACCUUGCGAGACAUCAGAUCCAAGCGCCACGUCAGACUAAGAUCAACGGACGAGAUCUUCCUGGUCGCCUUUAAAGUCAUUACUCUCUGCAACGUUUGUGAGAAGAAAGAAACAUUACUUGCGACCAAAAAUUACAGAUUCUUGAAACUAUUAGUGUUGAUACUUGAUAGAUACCAUGGGCUUACUAGAUCAUCUCUGGGAUGAUACCGUCGCUGGUCCUAGGCCAGAGAACGGCCUUGGCAAGCUUCGGAGACACCAUACCUUCAGUUUCCGGCCUAGCUCCGGUAAUGGUACGCCGUGUUUUUGCUAUCUUGAACCGGUGGCUUAUCAUUUUGUGUAAAUGAAAAUAUAAAAAUAAAUAAAUCUUUAAACGUAAAAAAUAUAUAGAUAGUAUCAUUGGCCUGAUCUUCGAUCUGGUGUUCUUUAGAUCAAUCGGACGGUGGUAGCGUGAGAUCGUACGGUGAAGAAUCGCCGGAGGAGGCCGUGAAAGUGACACGUAGCAUCAUGAUAAUAAAACCACCGGGAUACCAAGGCGGUUCAGCUNNNNNNNNNNNNNNNNCGGUUCAGCUCCGGUUUCACCAGCCGGUUCACCCCCGCCAGUAUCUCCUUUCUCUGGUGAGUUUUAUUAUAUUAGUUACCAUUUUGUUUUGUUCAAAAAAAAAAGUUACCAUUUUGUUUCCAGCAGUAACUAUUUGGUUAGGUGAAAUAGAAAGUGUACUGUACACUCACUGAUUACGUUAAGGGUAAUUUCGUCUAUACGUUAAAAAAAACUUUGACAGGAUUAACAUGUUGACACUGUGACUUAUGUGAUGCAUGCAGCAUGAUCCUUGAUAAGAUGAGAUGUGACACAGUGAACUCCAUCUAUGAUAUCACUGAUUAUUAUUGCCCCUUGAUUGAUAUAUUUGUUAGGUGAGCGUCUAGUCAAAUGUUGUGAUAUGCUUAAAAGACUUGGUCAUAGAUUAGGACCGUAUUCAAAACAUGUUAUGGUUUACUAACGAACUUGGAACCUUUGGGAUGGUUAACGGAGCAAACGCAGGAGGAAAGGAACCCUUUCGGUUUAGGAGAAGGUCGACGUCGGACGCGUUCGAUAAGGGAGCAGGAUCAGAGAAUGGACCAAGGAACUCUCCUCCUACUUACGGCCUGUGAUCUAUAACUCAAAUCUCAAUAGGGAGAGAGAAAAGAAGAAGAGUAGCCCCCAAAACGCUUUCGAUCAAGUGGUCCUUGCAUGCAGAGUUCGUGUUGCUUCCGUUUUGUAGGCCAAAGAGGUUCUCUCUUUUGUGUGCGUGUAUGAGUUUGUUUUGUGUGUUUGUGGUUACGUCUAUGUUUUUGUUUUUGUAUGUCAUCUCGUUUUGGGAAUGCUUCUACGUGUCUGUACAUAUUUUGCUGCAAUGAUAAUAAAAAUGUGUAGAUGCUUAACAUCACUUCUUUUUGGACACCACAGUCUCUUUGGAGGCCAUAUUGAGAGUGACUGCAAAGACACUUUACUCUUUUCUUGAAUUGAUAAAUUAUCUCCAAUCCAAAUUGUCAAAGCCUAGCUUGAAAAAAAGAGGAAAUUGACAAAUGGCCAAUUGUGUUUAGUUGAGGAAGCUUGCAGGGAUUAUGAUGUGGAUAAUGUAAUAGAUAUGAGAUCAUUUAUUUUGAACCAUACAAUAUUCUUUAACAACAUUGAGUUUAGUCCGGCUACCACAGCACAGAGAAAAGCAUGAUAAAGCACCUUCUUCCUUGACACUUUACCUAUCUUUUGUGAGUCAAUGCCUAGUAUGCUGUAAUUGGAUUAGACACAACUGUCCUAGUAGCAUCAAUCAUCAAAUAAAUCCAGUUUCUUCCGAACCAAGGCAUACAUAGAUCACUGAAUUAGUUGCUGAUGUGAUUAAGGAUUGUUCCAACUUAGAAGUGGAUUUUUACUUUUAUGAACAAAUUGUAUAAAUAUUUCAGUCCUUGGAAGAUUUUUCAAACCAGAGAUAGAUAUCACAUAUGAAGUCACACUUUGUUUUGUAAUUACCGCUUUGUUUCUGUUAAUGAUUUGGUUAGGUGAAAUAGUAGUACACUCACUUAUUUCGUUUAGGGGUAGUUUCGUCCAUUUGUUAAAAAUAACACUGAUAGGAUAACAUUUAAGGUUUUGACAAUUCACAGAGUGUGACUUUCUUAUGUGAUGCAUGCAGCAUGCUGCUUGGUAAGAUGAGAUAUAAUAUCAUUGAUUAUUAGUGUUCCUUGAUGCAUGCACCUUGUUAAAUGUUGUCAUAAUAUAACAUAUUGUUUUCGACUUUUCGUGGCUCAUGUCCCCUUGAAAGACUUGUUGUGAUCUUAUUUAUAGUUUUAGAGAUAUAUGGUUGGAAGGAGUCAUAUGUUAUGGUUGUGAAGUGAAUGUAUGAGGUUAUUUUACUAACGAACGUGGAACCUUUGGGAAUAUUAACGGAGCAAACGCAGGAGGAAAGGAACCUUUUCGAUUUAGGAGAAAGUCGACGUCGGACGCGUUCGAUAAGGGAGCAGGAUCAGAGAAUGGACCAAGGAACUCUCCUCCUACUUACGGCCUGUGAUCUCUAACUCAAAUCUCAAAAGAGAGAGAGAAGAAACAGAAUAGCCCCCAAAACGCUUUCGUUUUGACGACACAUCAAAGUGGUCCUUUCCUUGCAUGCAGAGUGCGCGUGUAUGAGUUUGUUUUGUGUGUGUUGUGAAUACGUCUCUGUUUUUACUCUUUUGUUUUUGUACGUCAUCUCGUUUCUACGUGUCUGUACAUUUUUUGCUGCGAUGAUGAUAAUAAAAAUACAUAGAUGCUUAAUAUCAGUUCUUUUUAUCCGUUGAUCCAGUACACUCUUCAGUGUUCUUUGUGUGGACAUAACAGUCCCUUCGGAGGCAAUGUUCAUUUUCUAAAAGAAAAAAAUUAUAAUACUAAAUACUAAAAUAAAUUUCCACAAUGACUGCAGAAAAACACUUUAAACUUUUCCUGAAUUGACACAUUAUCCCCAAUCUAAAAUUUUAAAAACCUAAAUUGGAAAAAGAAGAAAUUGACAAAUGGCCAAGUGUGUUUAGUUGAGGAAGCUUGCAAGGCCUAUGAUGUGGAUAGUGUAAUAUAUAUAGAGAUAUAUGAGAUAACUUAUUUUGAACCAUACAAUAUUCUUUGGCAAAAUUAAGUUUAGUCUGACCAUUGCAUAGGUGAAGCAUCCUUCUUUACAACUAAAAUUAAAGGACCUUCUUCCUUAACACCUUACUAUCUUUUUGUGAGGCAAAGCUAAUAGUUUGAGGUUAAGGUGUUGAAUAACUUAGUAAGCUGUAAAUGGAUUAGACUCACCUGUCCUAUAAUAGCAGUAAUCAUUAAAUAAAUUCAGUUUCUUCCGGUCCAAGACAUAGAUUUGCUGAUAAGAUUAAGUAUUGUUCCAACUUAUAAAUGGGUGUUUACUUUUAUAUAUGAAUAAAUUGUAUCAGUAUUUCCUUUCCAGUCAGUGGGAAAAUUUAUGAAGUCACAAGAGAAAGAAAGAAAAAACAGUAACGCCAAUCGUUAGACAAACAAACAUUGGAAUAUAAACCUAUUCGAGGGAGAAGUAGGCCUUCCAUGUCAUCAGUUACCCCAUCUUCAUCGACAAACCUAAUUUUCUUACACUUGAAGCCUUCCAUGUUAUUAAUAUCAUAUCAUAUGAUUGUGUAUUUGUGUGCUACUGUAAUGUGAUGUUCAUAUGAUUGUAUGUGCGCUAGUGAGUUUGUUGACGAAAGGAGAAGCCUUUCUUACUCUGAGCUAUGGGCAGGACCUACUUAUUCCAACUCUCCUCCACCUACUUCUGUGCCCAUUCCUAAGUUCUCUCUCCGGCAAAGAAGGACGGUUUCUUUAACCUUUCCAUCUCCUGACUCUGCUGUUGAUGUUCUUGAAGUUGCUAAGUCUGCUCCUGUUUCUCCAACCUCAUCUUGUGACGACGACAACCCGUUCCACAGUACUGUCUCUGCUACUAUGACACUGCGCCGCAUGCUUAACCUUGAGACUGCUGACGAAUGAAGAUCAGGAGGGUUUAGGGGAACAUGGAUUAGUUUUAGUUUUCUGCACAUAGUAAUAAUAAGGUGUAAGUCACCAAGCUAGUUUAAAGAACACAGAGGCAGUCUUGACACAUAGCUGGUCAUCAGCUAUUGUGAGUAUAAACAUUCAGGAAACAGAUUGAAACUGCAUAAGGGAGAAGACUUGGUUCUUGGUUAGCAUUUAGCAGCAUAAAGGAUGGCUGGUGAUGCUUUGAGUAUUAGCAUUUGUUCUUUGUCCUUUGUAUAGUUUAUCUUUAGAGCUGUCUUUUUUUUUUCUUCCUUUGGCUUCUUUACUUAAGUGGGUUAGAUAGAAGCUAGGUUUAUGUGUCUACGCUCGAACGCCUCUUGGGAUCUUUGUCUUCUUACCUUUUCUCUCGUAUCUCUUCCCUUGUCCAUAUUUUUUCUAUUAAUCUUUUCUCUUCCGUCUAGUUCAUUUUGUUCAAGCCUUAGAGAUGUAAAUCUUACUACUUUGGUUAAGUGAUCUUCCUCUUCAGCUCUUUUCCUGAUUUUUUUUUUUGUAAAGGAAGAAGGGAAUAGGAAGUUCUAGUAACACUGAUGAGUUUCAUCCAUCUUGAUACCUGAAACACACUAAGUUUCCUUGGAGUUUCUUGAUCCUGCUUAAUCUGCUCACCAGGUAAAUUUUACAGCAAAAUCUCCCAACUAAUGAAUCUGGAUAUGUAGCUUUACACAAGUUUAUGACUUUGUAACAGGGACCUAUAGUAGCUGCUGCUCUGCUCUGCUUUAUUAUGGUUUCUUUGUCUCCUACUAUCUCUGGUUAUGUUUGUUACGCAGUGAUAACUAUUUUCUGCAGUUAAAAAAAAAAAAAACUAUUUUCUGUGUUUGGAACUGUUGUGUGAAGCUUUUUACAAACGUAUGUUUCUUCUUGUCUUUUAGUAGUUUGUGACAGUAGUAGACGUUUUGAGUUUUAAUGUUGAAGAGAAAUGUAUCCCUUGUUCCCUAAAUUAUUAUCAUUCUGUAUAUUUUGAACUUUUAUUUAUUUUUGUAGUGAGAUUUGGCGACUGUACUUGUAGAUUAAAGGCUGUUUUGGGUGUCAAACCAUAUCUGAAAGAUUGAAGCUCAAAUGGGCGUAUGUAGAGUUAAUACAACCAACAUAUGAAUUGAUAAAGCAUUUUACACAACUAAAAAAUCAAACUAUUAAUUAAAAUUUGUUGUUCAUUUUAGGAUUUAUCCAAUUUUCAAUUAUUAAAGAUUACAAACGGACACAAUGAAUUUCCUGAGAAGUAUCUAUCUCUCCUAAUCAUGUACUCUCUUAGUUCCAAAAGAUGUAUGUUUUUUUCUAUAUGGAUUUACCUUUUUAAUUUCAAAUAUAUCCACGUCUAACUAAUGGAAGAUGUCGAUGGUUUCAUCAUAAUUCGAUGGUGAACCAUUCGAUUAAUAUUUUGCCAUAAAGGGUUGGUAUUUGCCGACACUACAAGAAUUUUAAAUUUGGAUAUAAUUUAUCUUGUUUGAGAGUUUGCCAUUAGUCAAACACUCAAAUCAUACUAUUUAUUACGGUAUUAUACUAAAUCUAGAAAGUAUACAAUAAAAUCUGGAAAUUGAUAAACAAGAAACAGAAGAUUAAGGUACACUAAAAGCUAAAGAUUGGAAAAUUAAAGGACCAUCGAAACUAAUUGUUAUUGUAAUUUAUCAAAAAAAAAAAACUAAUUGUUAUUGUUUAGUGUGGAGAUCUCUUGAAAAAAGAAGAGAGGCCAUAGUGCUGGUUACUGUUGAGUGUUGAGAUCUUCACCAAAAGAGAAAAAGGAUAUGAGAAAAAAAAAAAAGAAAAAACUUUCCCUUGUACCAAUGAAACAAAACAGGUCUGAGUACUGAAAAAGUGUGAAUUUGGAAAUCUAUUUCCCACUCCCUUUCACUUCGAUCUCCUUAAGCUCAAACUUGAAAUAAUCCUCCCACUCUCUCUCUCUCUUUCUCUAGGCCUUCCUCUUUCGCCAUUUCGAAAUUGCAGAAACUCGCGCAACUCCGGGGGGUUCUCUUACUCAACUCUCUUCUCUUGUCUCACUGGUUAAAGACUCUCACUUUCUGAUGCCCUAGCCUUCGUAGAUUUGUGGGUUUCUCUUUGACUUUUCUGGGUUUGCUUCAGUUCUCCUGGAGGGAGCCACUAAGAUUAUGCUGCAAGAUUAGGGUUUUCUCGAGAAAGCUGUAAUCUUUGUGCUCUACACUUAAUGGGUAUCUGUUCUUUGGCGAUUUCGAUUGAGUUUUGUGCUUUAGAAAUGAUUUAGCUUUAGGUGUUGGAAGAUCUUGUAAUUCAAAGUUUAGAUUUUUUUUUAGCUUUAGGGUGUGUGUACUGUGAAAUAGAGAAGAAAGUAGUGUAUUGAUUAUCCUCUGGCUAUCCUGGAGAUCUGGGAUUUGUUUCAUCUCUUAUGUCAGAUGAGGACUUUUUACCCAUCUGAUUCUUGUAGUAAAGAAUCACAUCUCAAUUCCUUGAAUCCACAGUCAUGGCUUCAAGUUGAGAGAGGGAAGCUAUCUUCCUCUGCUUCUUCUUCUGCGUAAGUUUCUCUCUCUUUCCUCCUGCUGCUUUCAUUUGGUUAUCUUUAAGCGAUGGAGUUAACCCUUUGCUUUCUUUUGUAGUCCAUUGUGCAGAGAAUCCUUCAUCAAAGUCCCUGAGCCGCAGAUACUGCCUCACUAUAAGCCUCUUGACUAUGUAGAAGUUCUUUCUCAGAUUCAUGAAGAACUUGAGUCUUGCUCUUUAGAGGACAGAUCGAGUCUCUAUCUGUUGCAGUAUCAAGUCUUUAGAGGUCUUGGAGAGACCAAACUCGGACAGAGAAGCCUUAGAUCAGCUUGGCAAGAAGCUACAACUGUCCACGAGAAAGUUGUGUUUGGGUCUUGGUUAAGGUACGAGAAACAAGGAGAGGAAGUCAUCGCCGAGUUGCUUUCUUCUUGCGGUAAGUAUUCAGAAGAGUUUGUGCCGUUGGAUAUUGCAUCUUAUCUCCCGGUUACUUCCCCUGAGGCAGCAUCUGUGAAGGUGAAGCGCCACAUUUCAAGAAACGUUGUGUUUAAGAUAGAACAAGAGAGAAUAGCUUGUGACAGAAGGAAGAUUGCUAGCCUUUCGGCUCCUUUCCACGCCAUGCUCUAUGGGAGCUUCACGGAGUCGCUUCUUGAUGAGAUAGACAUGUCAGAGAACCAUGUAUCCCCCUCAGCUAUGCGUGUUGUAAGAGACUUCAGCGUUGCUAAUGUUCUAAUCGGAGUCUCCAAGAAUCUUUUAAUAGAAGUUUUGGUCUUUGCUAACAAGUUCUGCUGCGAGAGACUCAAAGACGCUUGCGACAGAGAGCUAGCUUCUCUGGUCUCCUCCAUGGAAUGUGCCGUUGAGCUAAUGGACUUUGCGUUAGAAGAGAGCUCCCCGAUCUUAGCUGCGUCGUGUCUGCAAGUGUUCCUUUACGAGUUGCCUGAAAGUUUAACUGAUGAGCGUGUUGUCGAGGCGUUGACUCGUGUCAACAGAUCUCAAGUCUCAACCAUGGCAGGGAAAGCUUCAUUCUCUUUAUACUCUUGUCUAACCGAAGUCUCCAUGCGUUUAGAUCCUCGUUCCGACAGAACAUUGUCUUUCUUGGAGAAAGUGGUUGACUUUGCGGAGAGUGAUCGGCAGAGAAUGUUGGGGUUUCAUCGUUUAGGUUGCACAAGGCUGUUGAGGAAAGAGUACCGUGAAGCAGAAGAAGCAUUCGAAACCGCGUUUAAUCUAGGCCAUGUGUAUUCAGCAACUGGAUUAGCGAGAAUAGGUUACAUCCAAGGCCAUAAGCUUUGGGGCUACGAGAAGCUAACCUCUGUGAUCUCCUCCGUUUCACCUCCUCUCGGAUGGAUGUAUCAAGAAAGGUCUUUAUACUGUGAAGGCGAUAAGAAACUCGAGGAUCUUGAAAAAGCAACUGAGCUGGACCCGACUCUGACGUAUCCUUACAUGUAUAGAGCUGUCAAGUUAAUGUCUGAACAAAACGCUGAGGCUGCGCUCGAGGAGAUCAACAGGAUCUUGGGGUUUAAGCUCGCGUUGGAGUGCUUGGAGAUCAGGUUUUGUCUUUAUCUCGGUAUGGAUGACUAUGAAGCUGCGCUUCGUGAUAUCCAGGCUGCUCUUACUUUGUGUCCGGACUACAGAAUGUUUGAUGGGAAAGUAGCUGCGAGGCAGCUGAGGACGCUGGUCUAUGAGCAUGUGGAGAGCUGGACGACGGCGGAUUGUUGGAUGCAGCUUUAUGAGAAAUGGUCUAACGUUGAUGAUAUUGGUUCUCUUUCUGUGAUCUAUCAGAUGCUUGAAGCUGAUGCUUGUAAAGGUGUUCUCUACUUCAGGCAAUCUUUGCUUCUCCUAAGGUAAACUAAGUUCUCAAUCAGUUUCAUCCUAAGGUGGUAACCAUGAUUCUAAAAACUGGUCUAUGCAUUAUUUUCUUAAAUCCGUUUUAUACUACUCAAAUCAGUUUAAACCAUUAUAAAUCAAUUUAAAAUAGUUUAAAUAUGUUAAAUUAAGUAAUAAUGUUAGUACAAAUCCACAAAUUGGUCUAAUUUAUUUUGUUUUGUACAACUAAUUUUGAUAAUUCAUCAAAAUAAUCUUAGAAUUAAAUCCAAAAACUAAAAUAUAUUUUCUCUAACAUUUGUGGUAACUGAGCAUCUCAUGUUCUUUUGACCAGGUUGAAAUGUCCUGAAGCAGCAAUGCGUAGCUUACAGUUAGCUCGAGAGCACGCCUCUAGUGACCAUGAACGUCUGGUGUAUGAAGGGUGGAUCUUAUAUGACACUGGUCACUGUGAAGAAGGGCUUCAAAAGGCUAAAGAGUCCAUAAGAAUCAAGAGAUCAUUCGAAGCCUACUUCCUCCAAGCUUAUGCCUUAGCAGAGUCUAGCCUUGAUCCGUCUAGUUCUUCAACCGUUGUUUCUCUUCUUGAAGACGCUCUUAAAUGCCCCUCUGAUAGGUUGCGGAAAGGCCAGGUACGCCUCGUUCACCACCACAUAGUCAGGACCAGGCUAUAAGAUAAUUUAAUAAGAAUUUAUAUAAUUUUUUUAUAAAAAAUUUAGAGGUCUCUCUCUAUACAUGUAAAUUUUUCUUAGAAUUUUGGGGAUCUAGGCUAAUGUUUCAUUAGUCUAUGUUCAGGUCCUGCACUUACUGCACUUAGUACGGAUUCAGAGUUGCUUUAUAUUGUUUGUUUUGUUUCUAGGCUCUAAACAAUCUUGGGAGUGUGUAUGUGGAUUGUGAGAAGCUAGACUUAGCUGCAGAUUGUUACAUAAACGCUUUGAAAGUGAGGCACACACGUGCGCACCAAGGCCUAGCUCGAGUCCAUUUCCUUAGAAACGACAAAGCUGCUGCCUAUGAAGAAAUGACCAGACUUAUCGAAAAGGCUCAGAACAAUGCAUCUGCUUACGAGAAAAGAUCAGAGUACUGCGACCGUGAACUCGCCAAGUCUGAUCUUGAAAUGGUCACACGGUUAGACCCUCUCAGGGUUUAUCCUUACCGUUACCGAGCCGCAGGUUUGUCUUUAACUCAGCUCGUACGCUCUGUUUGUUGUUUGGUCAUCUUGCUGAUAGUGUUUGGUGUUUGAUAGUGUUGAUGGAUAGUCGGAAGGAGAAAGAGGCAUUGAGGAGUUAUCACGAGCUAUUGCCUUCAAAGCUGAUCUCCAUCUACUUCACUUAAGGGCGGCUUUCCAUGAGCACAAUGGUGAUGUUAGUAGUGCGUUGCGGGACUGUCGUGCGGCGCUCUCGGUUGAUCCUAACCAUCAAGAGAUGCUCGAGCUUCAUAGCCGUGUUAAUAGCCAUGAACCUUGAGUGUCAAGAAAGCUUGAGAUGAUGGUAAAGUGUGAACAGAUUUGUAUUCAUAGUUGUAAACUUAUAUUCUCUCGUUACUCUUUAUUUAUUUUUGUUAUUGUUUUCCUUAAAAUCGGUAUUAAAUUUUCAACCUAUCAUCUUAAACUUCAAAUUUCUGUGGCCUAAAAAUGUGAAAACAAAAGUACAAACAAUGUGAUAGACAGAAAAGUAAAAGUAAAAACAUCGGAUUUAGCUUUACAAAAUCGAUGCCAAUUUAUCAUAAUUUGACUCCUAUUAUUUAAAUCUAUAAGCCAUAUUUUGUCAAAAAUACAAGUGUAUUUUUAGCAAUGGUAUCUCUCCGUAUAUGUAUAAUCUUUUGUAAAUAUUUUAUAAAUUCAAUAAUGUUGAAAUUUUAACAAUUGAUUAAUUUAUAGAAAACUUGUUAAUUAAUAAAAUAAUAUUUAUUAAUUUUAUAGAGAAAAGUCUUUUAGUUUAUAAUUUUAUGAAAAAUUAAAGAACUUAUUUCUAAAAAUAUUUAGACAAAAUUAAAAUAAUAUUAGCGAUUAUAAUAUAGUAAAUUUCUAUGGCAUAUUGGACUAUCUAGAUGACAUAAUCCUAAGUUCAAAACUUUAAAUCACGGUCUCAAAUAUUUAUGAAGUUGAAAAUGAUACAAUAAUAUGUUUUCGGAUAAUUAAGAGCAAAAACUCAAUUAUAUAAUAUGUGUUGAUAUGGGUUUCAAUAACAUUUUAACUUCAAUAAACAAAAAAAACUUGAGUUAUAUUUUAGUAUACUAUGUUAAGUUAUAUUUUUUUUUCUUUCAAAUCUCUCACAUCUAAAAUAAUAAAAAUUAGAAAAAGACAAAGAUAUAUAGGAAAAGACUGAAAGAUACAUAGAUGAGCAUUUCUAAUAAAAAUAUUUAAAAUAUAUAGAAAAUUAUUAAUAUUUAAAUUAUAUGAGUUUUUUUGAAAAAUGCAUACAAUAUUUUCUCAAGUUAGAUAUUUUAAAGAUUUUAGUGUAGAUUUUUAAAAAUUUAGAAGAUUCAUCCAAUUAAAUAUUGGUAUAAUAGUUUUAUUUCAUUUCAAUUUUAAAUACUCAUGUAAGAAGUUAUUCCUAUUAAAAAUGCUCCCAAAAAGGAAAAUAAACGGUGUUUGACUGUUUUCCUUGUCUUUUUGUUUUUUUGUUCUUGUCACGGAAUCUUAAAUUUACAGAAAAGAACAUUAUCUAUUUUUAGGGAAAUGAAAAUAAAGAAAAUAGCGUGAGUGAGGGAGAGAAAGUGAGAAGACUUUGACUUUGUUUUGAAGCGAGAAACAAGGCGCGGAGAAAUGAAGACGAUGAGAAACAGCUGCUGAAACAUAUCACACACCCAAAUUGCAGAAAAAAAAAUGUUCUUAAUCUUAAUCCACCAAUGAAAUAGUUUUUUUCUUUUGUUCCUCGUUAAAAUUAUUCAAAAAUAAAAUCUCGAUUUUUCGUGUCACCUCUCAAGAUCUGUUUCCUUAAUUAUGAGAUUAAAGGAUAAAUCAAAUUCGAAGCGUUGUUGUUCGAAUCGAUAAUCGCAAUUGGGGGUAUCAGAUCGAAGAAUCGGUUCUGAGCAACGUCGUCUCGAAACGGUGGAACGAUGAACUGGGGAACAUUGCUCAAGGACUUCAAGGAUAAGGUCGGGUUAGCUGACGGCACAACCGCCGGAGACGCUUCCCGUGACCUCAUCCCUCCGCCGUCGUCUCCACCAUCGCCUUCCUCGUCCUCGAGCUACGCCGCGUCUCCUCAACGUGACCUCACUUUAUUAUCUCCCACAAGGUAGGCAAUGAAUUGAUUAAUGUUGGCAUAAGCAGUCAAUCAAUGAGUCACUUGUUUAAUUUAAUAGCCGAGAGAGAUAUAACUUGGAGCUGGAGUUUAGGAGAUACUGGGAAGAGUUCUCUUCCUCCACCUCCGAACAGGUUCGUGCUUUUAUCAUUUGUUCAUUGAUGAUAAUCAUUUAAUUUAUAUAUUGUCACACCAGGAGAAAGAAGCAGCCUUGACUAUGACUGUGAAUACGUUUUGUACCAUAGCGAAGCAGCAUGCCAACAUAGAUCAUUUAGUUACCAUGUAAGCCACCCUCCCCUUUUCUAUCUCUAUGGAUUCAUAUUUUUUAUUCAUAUUGAGCUAUUUGCAGGUUAGUAGAAAUACAUGUAUUCUCCUUUGUCAUUGGGAGAGCAUUUGUGACAGAUAUUGAGAAGUUAAAGAUUAGCAGCAAGACAAGGUCAUUGGAUGUAGAGAAAGUUAUUAAGUUUUUUUCUCAAGUCACCGAGGUUUGCCUCUCCUUGUGAGUAUUAGUGAAUCAGGACAUGUUACCUUCUCUUCUAUUUUAAUCCAUGAUUUUGUUUUUUUUUUCCUGCAGGAAGGUAUAAGUCACGGUGAAAACCUUUUAACUGCUGUUGAAGUCCUUGUAUCUGGGGUACCCUUUUUUACUUUUACUUGUCUUCCUUCUCUUGACCGAAUGAUUGACAACACUUAACUAUGAGUUUUAAGUUUUAGUUGUUUACCAAAAAAAAAAAAAAACUACUCGAGUUUCAAUAUUUGAUAGCUAACUGGUAGUUACCCUCACCAAUUUUGGAGGACGUGGGAAAUAUUUUAGGGUGCUGACUCUUUUAUGGUUUGAAUGCUAUAGACUGUAUUGGUUUAUAUACUCAACCUUUCAUGUGUUUUCUUUUUAGAACAUUGACAAACAAUCUCUACUGGAUUCUGGGAUAUUGGGUUGUCUUAUACACACGCUCAACGCGCUUCUGAUGUAUAGUGUAGCCAGUGAAGGUGAAAAAUCUGUUAGCUUGGAAGAAAAGGUAAAUAUGGCAGAUGUAGUACUCUUUAAGCUAGUCACUUGACGUUCUAUUUCAAUGGUUUUCAAUACAAAUCUGACAUAAGUGUUUCAUCCUUGGUACUGGCCAAAGUGUUUACUCUGCAAUGCCUUAUCUUUGAGACUUUUAACGCAUCCUCAUUCUUGCAGGUGGAGGAAAGCGUUAUCCAUAUCAUGAAAGCACUGGCAAGCCAUCCUUAUGCUGCACAGAGUUUGAUUGAAGAUGACUCCCUUCGGUUGCUUUUCAAAAUGGUUGCCAAUGGUUCCGUUGUGGCUUUCUCUCAAUACAAAGAAGGUCUAGUUUCAUCCCGUAACAUACAGCUUCAAAGACAUGCAAUGCAGGUAAUUUGUUGCUCCCCUGUUCUAAAAAUUGGGCAAUGUGUUUUGAAGCUGAAACAGCUGCGAACUGCACUUUAGUAUGAUCUUUGAAAUUUGAGCGGAUGUUGUGAUGCUGAAAGUUUCAUUAUUGAUUCCCUUUGGUGUCUCGUUCAGAUUCUUGGGCAGCUUCUUGUCAAUGAUAAUGGGAGCACAGCAAGCUACAUACGCAAACACUAUCUGGUAUGCCAGUGGAUUCUGUAGAUAGCCUCUAUGUGGUAUACCGGUUCUUGUAUCAUGUAUCGUAAGAUGUAACCCUGAACAUAGGCCAAUCAUAUCGAGCUUAUCUUCAAACUAUCUGAGGUCUCUGUGAUAAGAAAUUUGGUUAUCAGGAGAAUUUAGUGAAUUUUACUAGUAGAGCCUGAGACUCAAACUAAUGAUAAGUAUUGGUUUUGUGCAUAUACUUUAGUUUGCAAUCUUGGCAGUGCCCUAUAUAUCUGCAGUCUGGUAUUUAAGAAGGUCUCUUUUGUGUGCUUAUAGUUAUUUUACCAUUCCACAAUAUUCCUUUUCUUAAAUUAAGGUGUUUAUAUGAAUGCGUGUCCUUGUUUUUUCUGUGAACUUUAAGAUGAAGGAGAUCAGUAAAAAGUGUCACUGGUAGAUCUUGUAACUAAGUACCACUUUUUGGAUUCUGUUUAGUGUGAAAAAGUGGGCGUAUGAAACGUUGCUUUCCUGAUUUUAAUUUUGCUUGCUCUAUUUUACGUCUUCGGAAGUAAUUCUUUGGCUAAAUUCUCCUGCAGGUAAAGGCUCUCCUAAUGGCUAUCAAAGAUUUUGAUCCAGAUUGUGGGGACUCAGCCUAUACAAUGGGCAUUGUGGAUUUGUUACUUGAAUGUGUGGAACUAUCGUACAGACCUGGUAAUUUGGCUUAGAGAAAUACACAAGAACUCAAAAUAUGUCAAUGCCUGUGGAAAAUGUAGCUGGAUAGUAUAAACAUUAGGCAGUCAUCUUCUUGCUUGUGGAUUUUGUAUAACGGCUCUGAGUAUGGUUGCUGAUCUUUUUCAAAUUUGAAUAUGUAGAAAAUGGUGGGGUCAGGCUAAAGGAGGACAUACGAAAUGCACACGGUUACCAUUUUCUUGUACAGUUUGCCCUGGUUCUAUCUUCCAUGCCGAAAAAUAUGGUUUCUGCCUCCAGUCAUUUAUCUCAACACCAAAAUAGUGGGUUGGAUGACUCUGAACUACAGUCACCCCAUUCAGUGAAUAGUAGGCAAAAUGAUGAGUUUGGAUCACAAAGUUUCUCCCCUUCACUAUCAAGAUUGCUUGAUGUUCUUGUCACCUUGGCGCAGACUGGUCCCAUUGAGUUAUCUGGAGGAAGUACCUCACUACUGCCUCAAACAAACCCCACUGGGUAUGAUGAAACAUGGGAACAAGGAAGUGGUAAAGUAAAAGACCUUGAAGCUGUCCAAAUGUUGCAAGACAUCUUUCUGAAAGCAGAAAACAAGGAUCUUCAGGCUGAAGUGUUGAACCGAAUGUUUAAGAUAUUCUCAAGCCAUAUGGAAAACUAUAAAAUGUGCCAAGAAUUAAGGACUGUUCCACUUCUCGUGCUGAACAUGGGUGAAUUUCCUUCCUCACUGCAAGAGAUAAUCCUCAAAAUUCUUGAAUAUGCUGUCACAGUUGUAAAUUGUGUUCCAGAGCAAGAGCUGUUGUCACUUUGUUUCUUGCUUCAACAGCCAAUCAAUUCCGAGUUGAAACAUACCAUACUUUCGUUCUUUGUAAAGCUGACAUCUUUUGAUGUGCAGUACAAGAAAGUCCUAUGUGAAGUUGGUGUUUUGGAAGUCUUACAAGAUGAGCUGAGGCAGCACAAGCUUCUCAUGGGUCCAGAUCUGUAUAGUGGUGUUUCCAAUCAUUUGAAUCGGUUACCUAGUUCGCCUAGCUUCAAACAACACCUAGAUAAUAAGGAUGCCAUCAUUUCAUCACCAAAGCUAAUAGAAUCUGGUUCAGGAAUGUUACCUAUCUUUGAAGUUGAAAGCACUAUAACGGUUGGUUGGGAGUGUAUGGUCUCUUUACUAAAGAAAUCUGAAGCUAAUCAGGAAGCUUUUCGUUCUGCCAAUGGUGUGGCCGUUAUUCUUCCAUUGUUGAUCUCUGAUGACCAUCGUACUGGCGUUUUGAGAAUUUUGUCAUGCUUAAUCACGGAAGACGCUAAUCAGGUAAGUUUACAUUACAGUAAAAUGUAUCUUGAUUAUUCCUGUUUUACCGUUUAUCUGAUGAAUUAAUCAAAUGAGUUAUAUUAGUUUGGCUAGGUGUUUUAUUCUUUAGAUUAUGCCGCCACUAGUGAGGUUUCUGUUGUUUCGGUAUCAGAAAUCCUCUGGUGUCUUGUAAAGAGUAACUCGUAUCUUACCAUCCAAUCAGGUCCAUCAUGAAGAGUUACAUGCUGUUAUCGACGUGUUGAAGAGUGGAGUGGUCACUGGAAUCUCUGGGCAUCAAUACAAGCUUCAUCACGAAGCCAUAUGUGAUACCAUGGGUUCUCUGUGGCGUAUUCUUGCGGUUAAUGGCUCUGCUCAAAGAGUGUUUGGUGAAUCCACUGGUUUCUCUCUUCUACUGACCACCCUUCACACGUCCCCGGAAGAAGCAUGCAGGGAUGAGUCUCAUUUGAUGGUUCACAUCAAAUUGUUCAAACAUGUAUUGCGCCUCAUGACAUCUGCAGUGUGUGAGAAUGCUGUGAAUAGGAUGAAACUGCACAAUGUCAUUAUAUCUCAGACAUUUUAUGAUAUUUUCGUGGAGUCAGGUUUGAUGUGUGUUGAUCUGGAAAGACAGGUGAUACAACUGUUGUUAGAACUUGCACUUGAAGUUUUGCUUCCACCUUUUUUGACAUCAGAAUCUAUGGCCUCACCUGAGAUGGCAGAAAGUGAAAAAGCUAGCUUUCUUGUAAAAACCCCAUCUGGGCAAUUUAGUCCUGACAAGCAGAGGAUAUAUAAUGCAGGUGCUAUCAGAGUUCUGAUCCGUUCACUGUUGUUUUUUAGUCCAAAAAUCCAGUUGGAAUUUCUGAAUCUUCUGGAAAGGCUUGCACGUGCCACCCCAUUCAACCAGGAAAAUCUCACGUCAGCUGGUAAGGUCUUAUGUCUUAGAGUUCCUUGGGCUUAUAUUGUAAUUAGCUAAGUCAACUUUUAAAUCUUGUUGUGCACUCUUGUCGUCUUUACCUGUGAUAUGAAUUAUUAUUGAGCAGGUUGCGUGGAACUUCUGCUGGAGAUUAUCCACCCAUUUCUUCCGGGUUCAUCUCCAUUUCUUUCUCAUGUUUUAAAGAUUGUUGAAGUUCUUGGGGCGUAUAGGUAGUUAACAUAGCUAAAAUCUAAUACAUAGUCUUAAUGUGACUAAAUUUGUUUCGAGGCUGAUCUUAUUCGGUGUUAUUCUGGUGCAGAUUGUCCCCUUCUGAGCUCAAAAUGCUUUGUAGAUAUGGUCUGCAAAUGAGGGUUAAGAAUUCAGGUCAGGCGAUAGUUGGUAUGAUGGAAAAGCUAAUUCUCAUGGAAGACACAGGAUUGGAACAUGUUUCGCUGGCUCCUUUUGUAGAGAUGGACAUGAAAAAAACUGGGCAUGCUUCUGUUCAGGUGUCCCUGGGAGAAAGAUCUUGGCCUCCUGCUGCUGGUUAUUCAUUUGUUUGUUGGUUCCAGUCUCGUAAUUUUUUUGCAACCCAAGGAAAAGCAGCAGGAGAGUAUGAAGCUGGUGGUUCAUCAAAGACGCAGGUUUUGAGUGGGCAGCAAAGUGAACAAAAUGUUUUCCGGAUAUUUUCUAUCGGUGCAAGUAACGAAAGUCCAUUCUAUGCGGAACUUUAUUUUCAAGAGGAUGAUAUUCUGACCCUUGCCACUAGCAGUUCAAAUUCUUUGUCAUUUUCUGGAUUGGAAAUUGAGGAGGGCAAGUGGCAUCACCUUGCUGUUGUCCAUAGUAAGCCUAAUGCUCUUGCCGGACUCUUCCAAGCUAGCAUCGCAUAUGUUUACAUUGACGGAAAACUAAGGCACAUGGGUAAAUUGGGUUAUUCUCCUUCACCUGUUGGAAAAUCAUUGCAAGUAACAAUUGGAACUCCAGCUACUUGUGCCAGGGUAAGCGAUUUGACGUGGAAAAUACGCUCAUGCUAUCUUUUCGAGGAGGUGCUUUCAUCAGGCUGCAUUGGUUUCAUGUAUAUUCUCGGUAGAGGGUAUAAAGGUCUCUUUCAGGAUGCAUAUCUCUUACGUUUCAUGCCUAAUCAGGCUUGUGGUGGGGGCAGCAUGGCUAUCCUUGACUCGUUAGUCACUGACAUGUUGUCAUCGUCCAAUAGCCAAAAAUUUGAGGAAAGUAACAGACAAGGGGAUUCCAAGGCAGAUGGUAGUGGGAUUGUAUGGGAUCUCGAGAGGUUAGGAAAUCUUUCUUAUCAGUUAGCUGGUAAGAAACUUAUUUUUUCAUUUGAUGGAACAUGCUCAGAGUUCAUGCACGCGGCUGGAAAUUUUAUCCUCCUCAAUUUGGUUGACCCAUUGUCCGCUGCUGCUUCUCCUAUUGGAGGUAUACAAUGAUCCCAUAUAACUGUAGUUUAUAUUUUACAUUUUUCCGUUUUAGUCUCAGUUGUGUUUCAUUCUACGUUUCUCAAUUAUAUAGGAAUACCUCGUUUUGGGCGCCUGGUGGGAAAUGCAAGUAUCUGCAGACAAAAUGUGAUUGGCAACACUAUCCGCCAUGUGGGAGGAAUGGCUGUUGUAAUUGCACUUGUUGAGGCUGCCGAAUCUAGAGAUAUGUUACAUAUGGCUCUUUCAUUGCUUGCCUGUGCCCUUCAUCAGAAUUCACAGAAUGUGAAGGAUAUGGAAACAUACAAGGGCUAUCAUUUACUAGCUCUGUUUUUACGUCCCAAGAUGGCGCUUUUUGACAUGCAAUGUUUGGAGGUAUUUUUCCAGAUUUCUGCAUGCGAAGCGUUCUUUUCAGAGCCAAAAAAAUUGGAGAGGGGACAGAGUACCAUUAGCAUGUCACCUACGAAGAAUAUACCUGAAAACAACUAUGAGGAUAUUAGUGUGUCAAAGUUUCAAUAUGAAACUUCUUCAGUUGGAUCUCAUGGAUAUAUGGAUGAUUUUUCAGGGCCCAAAGAUUCUUUUAGUCAGUUAUCUGAGCUAGAAAUUGGAGAUAUUCCUGUUGAAACUUCAAACUGCAUCGUCUUAUCUAAUGCAGACAUGGUGGAACAUGUACUCCUGGACUGGACUCUCUGGGUGACAGCCCCUGUUUCCAUCCAGAUCGCCUUACUUGGUUUUCUGGAGAAUCUGGUCUCAAUGCUUCGGUACAGGAGUCACAAUCUUACAAUCCUGCGCCGAAUCAACCUGGUAGAACAGUUGUUAGUAACACUUCAACGAGGGGAUGUGGAAGUUCUUGUCCUAGAAAAAAUAGUUGUUCUUCUUGGAUGCAUCUUAGAAGAUAGAUUCCUUACUUCUGAGCUUGAAAAUGUGGUUAGGUUUGUGAUUAUGACAUUUAAUCCACCUGAAAUAAAGUCUCGAAACUCACCAAGGCGAGAGUCAAUGGGAAAGCAUGUAAUUGUGAGAAACUUGCUUUUGGAAAUGCUUAUUGAUCUCCAGGUAACCAUAAAAGCAGAAGAACUGUUGGAGCAGUGGCAUAAGAUGGUCUCAUCAAAAUUAAUAACGUACUUCCUCGAUGAAGCUGUGCAUCCUACUAGUAUGAGAUGGAUCAUGACUCUACUCGGUGUUUGUCUCACUUCUUCCCCAAACUUUUCUCUUAAGUUUGUUACAAAUGGAGGUUAUCAGGGGCUAACACGGGUACUUCAAAGCUUUUAUGAUUCCCCAGACAUAUAUUACAUUUUGUUCUGCUUGAUAUUUGGGAAACCUGUUUAUCCAAGACUACCCGAGGUCCGGAUGUUGGACUUCCAUGCACUAGUGCCGAAUGAUGGAAGCCGUGUAGAGUUGAAGUUUUUAGAUCUGUUGGAUUCAGUGGUUGCCAUGGCUAAAUCUACUUUUGACAGAUUGAUCAUGCAAUCAAUGAUUGCCCACCACUCUGGAAACCUUUCCCAGGCGAGCGCUAGCUUUGUAGCUAAGCUUGUCGAGGGAAAUGUCGAUAUGACAGGGGAGCUUCAAGGAGAUGCUUUAAUGCAUAAAACAUACGCGGCACGGUUGAUGGGUGGCGAAGCAUCAGCUCCUGCUACUGCGACAUCUAUUAUCCGUUUCAUGGUUGAUCUUGCAAAGAUGUGCCCUCCAUUUUCAGCUGUUUGCAGAAGCGCAGAAUUUCUCCAACAUUGUGCUGAUCUUUACUUUUCAUGUGUCAGGUUUGCAUCACGUGCCUAUUAAGUAUAUAUAUAUAUUGAGUACCAUGUAAUUAACGUAGAUGUUUACACACAUUUGUUAUUCCGGAUUCAAAUUAUGUUUCUCCAUCCCGAUUUAUGACAUAGAUGCAACAGAUACAGGAUUUUGUUUUUUGGUGUUGUAGUUAGAUAUGACCUGAAAGAUAUUUUGCAAAUUUUGACCAAAAGUUGGGUUGUGUUGUAGGGCUGCUCAUGCUGUGAAGAUGGCCAAACAGCUCUCAAUGAAAACAGAGGAGCAGUGUAUAAGUGGUGGGGAUGAUAGCAGCGCACAAGGCGUUUUCUCUAACUUGCCUCAAGACCUGGACCAAUCCACAAAAACCUCCAUCAGUGCUGAAAGCUACCCUCAAGAGCAGGUCAGUGUGAGUUCUGAAGGCAUGCCUUUACCUUCAGAUUAUGUGGUUACUGAUAAGGUGGAGAAGAUUCUUACAACACCGUCAGGGGCUUCAGCAAAAUCAUUUCAAGAUCGUGAGUAUGUUAAGAAACUGGAUGGUGAUCGUGUUAGCCCUGUAUCAGCUUCCAGUGAACUGGAAUUUCGAGACUGUAAAGGUAAAUCAAGUCAAAUUCAGCCAACAGAUUCUCAGAGUUCUGAAUCCUUCUCGAUGCUGGAGUCUCCCGUUGUAUCUGAAAAAUCAAGUCGCAAAGGUCCAUUCACUUCUUCGCCAUCUCCGCUUCCAUCGCAUAUCUCAGUUAGUGAGUUUGAUGCAUCUUCAGAUCACAAGUCAGGUUCACAAGGUUUAUCUGCUGCCCAUACAUUGUUUAAAAUUAGCCCAAAACUUCUCCUCGAAACUGAUGAAUCGGGGUAUGGUGGUGGGCCGUGUUCUGCCGGAGCAAGUGCGGUGCUGGAUUUUAUGGCAGAGAUAUGUGCCGACUUAAUGACUGAGCAGAUGAAAGCGGUACAGACUUUGGAAAGCAUUUUAGAAAUGAUUCCUUUAUAUGUGGAUCCUGAAUGUGUUCUAGUAUUCCAAGGCUUAUGCCUUAGCAGAGUCAUGAACUAUCUUGAGAGGCGUCUCGUGCGUGAUGAUGAAGAGGAUGACAAAAAACUAGACAAAAGAAAAUGGUCUGCAAACUUGGAUGCAUUUUGCUGGAUGAUUGUGGAUCGUGUCUAUAUGGGCGCUUUUCCUCUGCCAACUGGAGUCCUUAGAACCCUCGAGUUCUUGUUAUCAAUCCUGCAAUUAGCUAACAAAGAUGGUAGGGUUGAAGAAUUCACUUCUUCAGGAAAAGGUCUGUUAUCCAUUGGAAGAGCAACCAAGCAACUAGAUGCAUAUGUUCACUCAAUCCUGAAGAACACAAAUAGAGCAAUACUGUAUUGCUUCCUACCAUCGUUCUUGACAACUAUUGGAGAGAAGAACCUGCUUUCACGUCUGGGCUUGCUUGUUGAAUCUAACGAGAGGCACCCCUCAGAUGAGGAAUCUGGAAUUGAUAUCUCAACAGUUCUUCAGUUGUUGGUUGCAAACAAGAAUAUCAUAUUAUGCCCAAGCAAUCUUGACACAGAUUUGAAUUGCUGUCUGUGUGUGAAUUUAAUCUCUCUGCUCCAUGACCAGAGGAAGAAUGUGCAAAACAUGGCAUCUAACAUUGUCAAACAUAUGCUGGUUCACCGAAGGUCUGCUUCUGAGGAUUUGCUUGUCAGAAAACCACAUCGAGGACAAACCCUCGAUGUACUACACGGAGGUUUUGAUAGAUUGCUGACUGGAAAUCUUCCAGAAUUUUCUAAGUGGCUUGAGAGCUCAGAAGAAACUGUAAAGAAAGUAUUGGAUCAUGGUGCUGUGGUUAUGUGGACUCAGUACAUAGCUGGCUCGGCAAAAUUUCCUGAUGUUAGGAUGAAAGGCAUGGAUGGCCGCCGUACGAGAGAGAUGGGAAGAAAAUCACGAGAUAUUUCUAAGUUAGACGUGAAACGCUGGGAGCAGUUAAAUGAGCGAAGACAUGCACUUGACAUAGUGCGUGAUACAAUGUCCACUGAGCUUAGAAUUGUCCGGCAAAACAAAUAUGGUUCGAUACUUCAUGCCGAGAGUGAGUGGCAAAAUCAUCUCCAACAGCUUAUACACGAGCGUGGUAUAUUCCCGUUGCGUGUUUCCCAGGGAUCUGGAGAUCUUGAAUGGCAACUCUGUCCUAUCGAAGGUCCAUACAGAAUGCGGAAAAAGCUUGAACGAUGUAGCCUGAAAGUUGAUAGCAUCCGUAAGUUACUAGAAGGGAAGUUGGAACUUGAAGAAAUUGAACUACCCAAACCGAAAAACGAAGAUGGCAUAGUUAUUUUUGAUAAGGAUUGUGAGCCAGAUUUCCUGCUAAGUGAACUUUAUAGCGAGUCCUUUUUCGAAGAAGCUGAUGCUCUUAAGGAUAUUCCUUCUGCUAGAAAUGGAUGGGAUAACGAUGGAGGCAGUAGUUCAAGUGAAACGAGUCUUCAUAACGCUCUUGAUUUUAGUGCCAAGUCUAGUGGUACAAUAUCUGUUCUAAUCAGCGAAAAUACAGAUGAAAAAUCAGAGACUGGAUCUCCAAGAGGGUCAUCUUCUGGUAAUAUGGAUGAAACAAGAGAUGUGGAGGAAGAAUCAGAGAAGGAACUGAACGACGAUGGUGAGUAUUUGAUCAGACCAUAUCUGGAACAUCUUGAAAAGAUUAGGUUCCGAUACAAUUGUGAGAGAGUUGUUGGUUUAGACAAACAUGAUGGGAUUUUCCUGAUAGGGGAACUAUGCCUAUAUGUUAUAGAGAAUUUUUACAUUGACGAUCAUGGCUGUAUCUGUGAGAAGGAAUGUGAAGACGAAUUAUCCGUUAUCGAUCAGGCGUUGGGUGUGAAAAAAAAUGUCACCGAAGGCUUGGAGUUCCAGUCCAAGUCUAGCCCACUAUGGAGUACAAAUAUGAAAACCGGAGCAGUAGGGGCAAGAGCAUGGGCAUAUGGCGGUGGGGCUUGGGGGAAGGAAAAAGUGCGUGUGACCGGUAACUUGCCACAUCCUUGGCGUAGGUGGAAGUUGGAUAGUAUUCAUGAAAUUUUGAAACGUGAUUACGAGCUGCGUCCAGUUGCUGUUGAGUUAUUUAGCAUGGAUGGAUGUACUGAUCUCCUUGUGUUCCACAAGAAAGAGAGGGAAGAAGUCUUUAGAAACCUGAUUGCCAUGAAUCUUCCAAGGAACCGCAUGUAUGUCAUCUCUUUUUUUUUUUUUUCUCAAUCAAGAACUGAGCACUAUGCAGCUUACUUCUCCACAAGGCCCUCCAAAAUCUUGAAGCUGCUUGUUUAUUAUGUUUGCCAUUUUUUUCUUUAUUGCAGGCUGGAUACAACCAUAUCAGGAUCAGGGAAACAGGAAAGUAAAGAGGGUAGUCGUCUUUUCAAGUUAAUGGCAAAGUCUUUCACCAAAAGAUGGCAAAGUGGAGAGAUCAGCAAUUUUCAAUACCUAAUGCAUCUCAACACCCUAGCCGGACGUGGAUACAGUGAUCUCACACAGUAUCCGGUAUUUCCAUGGAUUCUAGCGGAUUAUGAUAGCGAGAGUCUUGAUUUGUCAGAUCCAAUGUGUUUCCGGAAGUUUGACAAACCAAUGGGUUGCCAGACGCCUGAAGGAGAAGAAGAAUUUAGGAAACGGUUUGUGAUGUGCCUCUUAAUCUUUGUCUAAUGGUACUUAUGAUUGAUUGUGUCUUCAUCAAGUCAUAACUGGAUUAUAUUUUUUCCUUUCUACUUUCUCAUUUCAGAUAUGACAGCUGGGAUGAUCCAGAGGUGCCAAAGUUUCAUUAUGGUUCUCACUAUUCAAGUGCAGGCAUUGUUCUCUAUUACCUCAUUCGCCUCCCACCGUUCAGUGCUGAAAACCAGAAGCUCCAGGGUGGUCAUUUUGAUCAUGCUGAUAGACUUUUCAAUAGUAUUAAAGAGACUUGGCUAAGUGCAUCUGGGAAAGGAAAUACAUCAGAUGUGAAAGAACUAAUUCCUGAGUUCUUCUACAUGCCCGAAUUCUUAGAAAAUAGAUUUAACCUUGAUUUCGGUGAAAAACAGUCGGGAGAAAAGGUAAGGUUAAGUAGUUCUAAUGGUGCUUGUAUAUGUACCUUUUAGCUUCUCCGUUCGUGAGCAAGUUCCUUGUUAAAUUUCAGGUGGGUAAUGUCUUUUUACCUCCUUGGGCUAGAGGGAGUGUUCGUGAAUUCAUCCGCAAGCACAGAGAAGCGUUGGAGUCUGAUUAUGUUUCAGAGAAUCUGCAUCAUUGGAUAGAUCUCAUCUUUGGGUACAAACAGCGAGGAAAGGUACAUUACAUGUUCUCCUUCUGGAUCAUUUGCUUCGUGAAAUAUUGAAUCUUACAUGUUCUCAUUAUUUUCAGGCUGCAGAAAAAGCAGUGAAUGUUUUCUAUCACUAUACCUAUGAGGGGAAUGUGGAUGUAGAUGCAGUUACGGAUCCUGCCAUGAAAGCAUCGAUACUAGCGCAGAUUAAUCAUUUCGGACAAACGCCUAAGCAACUGUUUCAGAAACCUCAUGUUAAAAGAAGAACAGACAGAAAAAUCCCUCUGCACCCUCUGAAACACUCGACGCAUCUAGUUCCUCGAGAUAUACGUAAAUGCUCAUCGUCUAUAAACCAGAUCAUCACUUUCCAUGACAAGUUGCUUGUUGCCGCCUCAAACUGUUUCCUGAAACCGAGAGGCUAUAGGAAGUACAUAAGAUGGGGUUUCCCAGACAGGAGCUUGCGAUUCAUGAGCUAUGAUCAGGACAAGCUCUUAUCCACACAUGAAAAUCUCCACGAAGGCAACCAGAUCGAGUGUGCUGGUGUUAGCCACGAUGGGCGCGUUGUCGUCACUGGAGCAGACGAUGGUCUACUCUCUGUGUGGAGAGUCAGCAAGGAUGGUCCGCGUGGCUCACGGCGUUUACGGUUAGAGAAAUCCCUUUGUGCACACACAGCCAAAGUCACUUGUCUACGUGUAAGCCAACCUUACAUGAUGAUUGUGAGCGGUUCAGAUGAUUGUACAGUUAUCAUAUGGGAUCUCAGCUCAUAUAAUUUUGUGAGGCAGCUCCCUGAGUUUCCAGUUCCUGUUUCCGCAAUCUACAUAAAUGACCUAUCAGGAGAAAUCAUAACUGCUGCUGGAACUUUACUCGCGGUAUGGAGCAUCAAUGGAGAUUGCCUUGCUGUGGUUAACACAUCAUCACAGUCACCAUCUGAUUUUAUAGUAUCAGUAACAGGCUCAACGUUUUCUGAUUGGCUGGAAACAAAAUGGUAUGUGACUGGUCAUCAAAGCGGGUCGCUUAAAGUGUGGCAGAUGGUGCAUUGCACUGAUCCGGUCGGUGCUGAGAUCAAAUCUGCUAGCAACAGAACAGGAUGGACAAAUCUUGUGCCGGAAUACAAGUUGCUUCCACACAAGGAGUUGGAUUGCCAUAAGCAACCGAUCACAGCUCUGCAUCUCACGGCCGACCUGAAGCAAUUGCUGAGUGGAGAUUCGGGUGGACGUUUGAUUUCAUGGACAGUUCCAGACCAGAUACUAAAAGCUUCACUCAAAAAUGCUCUCAUAGCUCAGAAUCUUAAGCAUCAUCAUCUAGAAGCUAGGAUUGGAAUCUAAAGCAAUCACUAAUGGUAGAUGAAAAUCAGAAUGUAAGACCUCAGGACAAACGGUUGGCUUUGUGUGAAUCUCUUACCUCAAGUAUUGAUUCUACCUCUUCUGUUUUGCAGGUUUACUGUUUUCUUAAAUCGAAAAAUUGUGAAGCAACAAAGGGAUGGAGAAACUGGUACAAUAACUUACAGGCUUUUGUAUUGAGAAUUUGUGUAGAUAGAGCUAAUAGGCAAUUUAUGUAAAUUAAUAGUACAGUCCCAUCUCUAAAUUCUCAGAUGAAAAUUUUGUAACCAUUUUAAUGUUUUUUGUUUGUAGCUUAGGAACUUCUAACUUGAACAAUGGCUUCAACAUUAAUGGUGAUAUUUCUGUUUUUAAACUGUAAACCAGACAACAGUUUCAUGUUUUUCUGUUUUUAAACUGUAAACCAGACGACAGUUUCAGGUAAUGGAGUCAGUGAAUGACCUUGCACAGCACAGGUAAUGAAGGACUUAUCAGCUCUUGUGAUUGACCAGAACAUACUUCAUAACACUUUUUUGGUUUAAACAAUUUAUCUCACUAGAGCUCUCUCAACGAAAUGAAUACAAUUAACAUAGCAAAUGUAUGUCUCUGAAGUUCCAAGCAACUUCAAGUUGAUAGGGGUAUAUGCCCUGAAAAAUCUCUCUCUGUGUUCGGUGAAAAUCCAAGAAAACUCUUGCGAAACUCUAUCAAAGAGCCAAUAACGAUCCAAAUAUGAUUUGACACCAAAUCUAUAUAAUUCUGGUGAAAAUAAGCUCUUGUAGCGAUUCUAUUGAUGAUGGAAAACUAGUAACUCUUAGUCUGGAUUUAUAGUGUUAGCAAGCUAUAAAUAAAUUAGUAUGUGAACUCGGAUCUAAGAGUAUUCACAACGGUUAGCACAGUAAUAUACAUAUCUAUUCUAUUAAAAUAGAAGUCAUGAAUUUUUCCAUGUGUGAUUUUUUUAAUUUGGACUAUCCUUUAAAUUUUUUAUUAAAUGUAUUUUAUUAAAACUAGUAACACAUACACAUAGAAUCUAUUCUACUAAAAUAGAAGUAAUGACUUUUUUCAUGUGUGAUUUUUUUUUAAUUUGGACAAUCCUUUAAUUUUUUUAUUAAAUGUAUUUUAUUAAUAACACGUAGAAUCUUUGAACUACUUUAAUCAUAAUAUAUUCUUAUAUCUUUUUAUUUUAGAUAUAAAAAUAUAUAUAUUUUUAAAAAAAUCUAACAAAUCUGUUUGAAAAUAUAUAAAUAAGAUCUUAAUUUUAAAAAAAUAUAUGUACAUAUUUUCACUAAUUUUGUAACUAGUUAUGAAAUAUUAUAUAUAUAUAUAUAUGUCAAUAUCAAUAAAGUUUAAUUAUAUACCAUAUAAAAUAAAUAAAAUGAUUAUUUCGAUUUAUUUACCAAAAACAUGAUUGUAAAUAAACAAAAGAUAUUGGUUUUGAUUUCUGUGUUUACUCUAAUGUAUAUAUUUUUUAUGCAUACAAAUUAUUUUUUUUGUUUUUUGAAACUCAAUCUCUUUAGAUGCAUGGUGUUCUUCUCUAUUACAUUUGAAGCGUAAAUCAUUUUUUAAUAAUCUAAAAUCAUUUUUGAUAUAUAUUACUAAUGAAAUCCAUAUCCCCUAUAUAUUAUUUGAUGAUCAUUUAAAAAAUUGUAACAUCAAUUUUGUAUUAAUUACAAAACGAAGUUGCUGAGGUGUUAUCUCCAAAUUUCUUCUUAAUGCUUAUAUGGUACCCUUACAAUGAUUUUGGAUAAACCUUCGUCUUAUUUAUUUUUCCGUAGAUAAAUUUAUUAGCAUUACAUUAACUAAAACAGUCCACGAUUAUAAUAGAAGACGUUUAUAUUAAAGUUUUAUCUAACGUUUAUAUUUUAACAGAUUGUUAUAAAAUGGAUUAUCCCUUAUUUUAAAAGUAAAUCUAUUUCAUAAUAUAAGGUUGAGUAAAACUCAACCAUUUAAAUGAAAUGAUAUAUAAAACUCAACAUAACUUGCAAGAACAAAUCUGGUUGUAUAGCCCUUCUGACGGUUAUUCAAAUUUUCUUCACCAUUAGAAUUAAUGUAUUAUGAGCGCCUGUUAACUACUAAUUAAGUAUAAUUCAAAGGAGAAAUUACCUACACCGAAUAGAAUAGUAGAACAUCCUGUUUUAUGGUAAAAUUGGUAUCUUCCUUUUACAAACACAUCUAUAUUUCACAAACCGAGCAUUAACAAAACUUUCACUGGUGAUUUCUUUUUUCAUAGAUACCAAAUUCAGUCUAAACCUAAAGCAUAAAAACAGAACCAUGAACCUCGGUCUUUCACUUUUGAUGUUCUUCAAGUCGAGAUUAUAAUCAAUUGUUACACAUAAAUAAUCAAGGUAUGUUUUCAAAGGUUCAUUGUUAGUAGGUCCAUGACAUUUUUUGAUGAGAGAAUCUCUAUAUCAUUUGAAUACUAUAGUCUAUUGAACUAUCAAGUAUCCAUUUUAAAUAUAUACUCGACAGUUAACUAUAAACCGUGCAAUUAACGAGUUAUUUCAGUUUUUCUCUAUUUGUGGUCGGUUAAUAGUCUACAUUAUUUCAAUUGAACUGACGGAUACACAAUGCACAAUUUGGUCGGUAUAAUAAUAGUCUUAGAUGCGAUAUGUAAAUUAGCGUGAUACACAAAUGAAGAAUCAGUCUCAUAUGGUAAGUUUACUUUAAUUGUUUCUCCGUUUAUAACAAUGUAAAUACACUAUUAAUACUUGGCAUAUGGUACGUGAAACUUUGUCACCAAUUAUAUUGUUUCUUACGAAUAUUUUUUCUUGAUAUACAAUUUGGUAUAGGUGCAAUAUGGUAAGAUGAUAUUAAAUGUUUCUAUCGCAUAGUUUAAGAAACUAAGAUAGUUUGUCACCAAGUCUAUAUUUCAGCCAUAAAUUUUCUUAUAUAGCAUACAAAAUCUUAUUAUGCGAUAUUUUCAAGUUGCCAAAUAUGUAAUUACAUAUUUAUUGAUAUUUUACAGAAAUAUUUUUUCGUUGACAAUAAAAAGAUAUGGUUUAUAUUUUCAAAUCUAACUAAUAACCUAGCUCCUAAAAUUACCGACGAUAUAGAGGUAUAAAUCAUCACAUCUCUAAUUCUUACGAUUAAAGGAAACAAUAAUGGCCAGUAUGAAUUAUGUUGCCGAUUUGAGACCAUUCAAAAUGAUGGGGAAUAAUAGGGUUAAAGUAAUCCGACUGUGGAAACGGUACUCAGCUACUGCUGGUGAGAAAAUGUAUGGUCCUGACGUUAGGUCCUUAGAGCAACAUUAUCGGGCGGCCCUUGGCCCGUCCCGAACACUAUUUGGGCUAAAAAGAAAAUCAAAAAGAAAAGAUUUUGUUUGGUCCGGGUCUUAAUUAAGGUCUUUUUUGACGCGUCCCGUGAGCAACGUGGCAGCACAGGAGAGGGAGAUGUAAACGAAGUCGAUGAAACCUAUUCCGUGUGUUUCUCCUCUUUUGUCGAAACUGAAGCGAAAUCGAUUCACCGCUGUCGAUCUGAUUCGCCUCAAUCCGCUUCUCCUCGAUCCGUUUCUCUUCGCUCUGUUUCCUCUCCGACAUCGAUUCAGUCCACCUCCGAACAGUUUCCUUUGGACAUCGAUUCAGAGUCGACCCAAACUUGGGAAGGUAUGUGUCUAACCUCCUUUGUAAUUUUGAGAAACCGAGUAGGGGUGUGUAGAUUCAAUGGUUGUUUGUUGUUUGGUUGUUUGUUGAUUAAAUGAUUGAUUUGAUUCGCUCUUCUCGUUCGUUGUUUGAUAUGCUCCGCUCUUGUGAUUGAAGUGGUUGUGAACGGAAUAGAUAUAUAAAAAUGUAUUGAUUCGUUGGUUCUUUGAUGCUUGCAAAAACUUUAAGAUUGAAUGGCUGUGAAUGAAAACUCGUAUAGAUUGAUCGAUAAUUCGUAUAGCUUCUAAGCUCGGGUCUUCUGUAUAUAUUUGAUGUAAUGGUUGUUUCAUAAUUAAUAUUCGUAUAGCUUUAUUGAAAAUUCGUAUAGCUUCUCUACCUUUCAAAAUCGGAUAGGUUGAUAGAAUUCUUUGGUCUGUUAUCAGUUAAAAUUUGAAGUAUUUUAAACAACUUAGAAUUAUGGUUUACAUCUCUUCACUCUUUACUCAACUAGAGUGACACCUCCUUAAUUUCACUCUUUAGUCUAGUAGACUCACACUUCUUUACGUCUUUACUGAACUAGACAAACUAGUUCUACUGUCGUCGUUACUUGAAACCGUAGAUAGGUUAGUAAUAAGUUCAGAUUAGACAUAUAUGGUUUAUGGUUAGUCUUUAUGUAGAAACUUAAUACUCUUCACCAGCUAAUAUUAAACUCCCAUCUCAAUCCCCUUAAAUAUACACACCUGCCUUCUCUCUUCUAUCCAUCUCCUAAUCUACAACUCUCUCUCAAAUAUUUAUCUUGUAAAAGUCGUAUGGGUUCAAGAAAUUUUCAAAGUCAGUCCUCUAGUUACGUAGGACUGCUUAACAGUCAACAAGGAAGUCGUGUGAAUGAAAACUUUCCAUAUGAAAGUUUUCAUUCAACUGUCAACUUUGGAGAAUCGGAGAUCCCUCCCUUUAGUUCACAACAAGCUGAACAGACGCCAGUAGACACAUCAGUGGACCGUAAUGCUAGACGCAAAUGGGGCCCAGCUGAUGACGCGGUUCUAAUCUCUGCUUGGCUUAACACUUCGAAGGAUGCCGUUGUUGGAAAUGAGCAGAAGUUGGGGGCCUUCUGGAAACGGGUUGGAGAUUAUUAUGCUGCAAGUCCUCAUGGGCAACAGGAGGGUGAAAAGAGAGGGGAUCUUACUUGUAAGAAGAGAUGGCACAGAAUAAACGAUCAAGUUACAAAGUUCUGUGCGGCUUACUCCGCGGCAGAGAGACAAAUUGGGAGUGGUGAGAGUGACACUGAUGUUCUAAAGAAGGCUCACGACAUCUUCUACUCAGAUCAGCAAAGCAAGUUUACACUUGAGCAUGCUUGGUGCGUGUUGCGCUUUGAACAAAAAUGGCUUAGCCUAAACACUCCUAAAGCCACUCACACUUCAAAGAGGAAGGAUGGUGAGACAGAUACAAGCGCCGCUGUCCCUGAUCACGAAAUCCGGCCUGAAGGUUGCAAGGCGGCUAAACAAAAAAGGUCGACUGUUCAAGGCAAGUCUGUUGCUUUCUAUGAUUUAAAUAAAAUGUUUCUCUUAUUUUAUUUAUGCAUUUUGUAAUUUUUUUCCACUCCUUUGUAUUUUAAUUUUCAUGUUCUACGUAUUUUAAUUUUCAACUUUUCUUUAUAAUGUCAUAAGUUAUUCGAUAAUUUGUAUUCAAUUAAUAAAAAAAAAAUUAAUUCACUAAGGGACUUUCAUAAGUCCCACCAAUAAUCUAAUUUCUAAGGGAAAAUCCCUAAAUAUGACCUUAACUCACAAAUAACCUUAAAAUAUUCAAAGGGCCAAAAAAUCAAGUCCCACCUAUAAUGUUGCUCUUAUGCGAUAGGUGAUCUUUUGACUUAAAAAAACUUUAAAAAAAGAAUCAUCCCAACAAUACAGUACACAAAUUACAUAAUUAACAAAAAAGACAUUAUUGUAUUUUGGCCAAAAAAAUUAAUUCGAUCAAAUAUAUAAAUUUUAAUUUUCUAAACAACAUAUUUUAAAUAAUUCUUAUAUAAACUCAUCAUGCGCAAGACGCAAAUCUUAUCCUAUUUUUUAAAUAAAAGGUGAUUUCAAGGUUUUAUGCAAAUAUCAUAUCCAAUAACCUUUGAUUUGUAAAAUUUUUUAUAAAUACCAUAUUCAAUAAGGGAGGGUUUGGAUAAAAUCUAAUUUUUUUUAUAAAAUACCUAAUCCAAUAAGCCUCUUUAAUCCUUCAUAGAAGGUCUAACUACCACCGGGAAGUUUUAUAAACAUUGAUAUAUAAUAUAAUUCAAACUACAGAUUGAUAUGAAGAAGAGUAUAAACACGGUAUAUAUGUUAACUAAGAAAAAACAUGAUCAUAUUAUACUUGAUCAAACUGCUUUCAUCACAUGACGCAAUAAAAUACAUGAAAGGGGAACAGUAAGCACACUACUAGCCCACUCAACGUUAGCCCAAACUUCUUCAUCACCAUUCCGCUUCUCAAACGCAAUCAAAGCACACCAAAUAUUCGUCUUCUCAUGGCGAAGACGAGCAUUAUACACAAACUCGUCCCAAAUUAUCAAGAGUUUCCCACCGUAGUUAGCCAUUUCAAUAUGACCACUACCAGCUCGGCAAUGCCUCUCCAGUACCGACAAACCGUUGACCCUUCUCGAGCCAUUAUGCUUCAUACCGUACCAAAUAAAAUUUGUACCAGUGUAACAGUACCUUACAUAGUCUACCACAACACUAGACUCAAACAUGCGUGCUACAACUUCCCAUGUACCUUCUAUGGUAUCAUAAACAUCAUACACAUCCCAAUUGUUGCUUGAAAUAUAGAUCUUUUUCCCCAUCACUUCCACUUUCCUAAGUGUAGAAACACGUAGGAAGCCAGGGUCAGGUAAAGAUUCCCAAGUUUGAGUGUUUGUAUCGUAAACCUCACCCCAAUUCUUGGAUUCAUCUUCGCUACAACCUCCCAUAACGUAUAUUUUCCCAUCAAGGACACAAGCAAUGGGAUCCUCUCGAGCCACAGUCAUCAUUUUGGGGACUUUUCGCCAGAUGCCAGUUCCUAAUGUAGUGACCGACAGAUCGAAAGAUGGAUUACAGUAUCGAUUGAUUGCGUAGCACUCUGAACCAACCUUACACAUGAACGUUGGUGGACGACGACAAUAAGAAGAGGGUAUUGGUACUAACAGAGCAUUCCCGGUAGACUCUUCCUUCUUCUCCAAGUCAUUGGUUAGGGCUUGGUUAGGUUUUAACCAGAGACUGAACCAGGAAGGACUAGGACUUUUAGUGGGAUAAUGAAAACCGACAAGAAGGAUUUUUUCACAUGUUUUUUGAAGAAACCUAGUAUCUUUGAGCUUGGACGAUGAGAUGAGAGAGGCAAAGGUCUUGCUGACUAGAGAGAGUUUAGGGUAGUACGAUGGUGAUAUCCGCGCCAUGCAGUUCAGAAGGAUGUCAUUUGGAAGAGAAAAUAACGAAAGAGAUGGAUUCAAAUUCUUCUUCUUUUUCUCUGAUGGUUCAGAUUCGGAGUUCAUAGCUGCAGAGGCGGCCGUUGUACCACAAGUAGAGGGAGUUUUGUAAAACUAGGGUUAUACUAAAACAUUAUAUAAGUGCUAGAUUUUUUAUGCUAAGGCUCUGAUUGGGGUUUGGCUUUAACAGCUUUGAUUUAAUUUUAAAGGUUUUUAUGUUUUUUUAUUCAUUAAUAGCAUAAUCCUUAUACACUAAGGAAGAAACAUUGUAAUAAAUAUGUUCACACUACAAUAGACACGUGACAGUUUCACAGCGAUUUGAAAAUGAACAUACUGACAUGUCACGUGUAGAGAGAUUCUCAACCAAACUCUACAUAAAUGUGUUCACACUAUGUAUUUUACGUUUUGUUUUUAAAUAUAAAACUCACAUGUAAAAUUCCAAUAAAAUUCACACUAUCCAGAUUUUUCGAUUUGAAUCGAAAGUCAAUUAUACAUAGAUUAUACAGAUAGGCUGAGCAAAAUAUUUGUAAAUUUUAUAUUCGAUUUGUUAUUCAUUUUGAUUCAAACUUAAACAAAAAAUCAGGAUAUUUGUAGUCCUACGAAACCAUAAAACACUAAAAUGCAAUAUCUGUAAAAAAAAUGAAGCAAAUCACAAAUACUAAUAUUUUUAGGAACAAAUGUACAAUUUGAUCCAUUAUAUGCAUAUAUACAUAUAUUUAAAGAAUUAUAAAUGUAUAUAUUAUAGUUUAUAUAAUUUUUACAAUAAUUUUAUGUAUUAAAUUUAUUAUAUUAGGCAUUAGAAUUUAAAAAGUUAAAUAAUAAUUUAUUUUUGUAAUGAAAUAUUAUUAUUUUAUAUUAUUUUUAGAUUUUUUAUUUAUUUUCAAAAUUUUAUUUUAUUUACGGAUCAAAACCGGAUAUCCAUAAGAAAAUUUUAAAAUUUCCGGAUAUCUGAGACAUCAAUAUUCGGGUGGCUACAUAUCGAAUCGAUACUAGUACCUCCAAAUACUUGGAUAUCAGAUCCGUGUCAACCCCUAUUUACGGAUACAAUUUUAUUUUCUUUAUAUAAAAGAAAAUUCACUAAUUUCUAGGGUUAUUUUUUUAGUUAGUUUUAUUUUAAAAUUUUUAUCUUUCAUGUGUUAUUUUGAAUAAAAAAUAUCUUUAUAUAUUUACCAACCGCUUUUAUAUACUUUACAUACACAUACAUGUGGACAUUGACGUGAGUACCUAUAUAACUAAAUAUUCACAACAACUGAAGUAUUUAAUUCUCUUGGAAGUUGAAAUAUUUCUUUUUAAAUGAUUCUUUCACUAUCCACCAAAUUGUAGUGAAAUGAUUUAUUUUAAUAAUUUUAUUUUCUUUUUAUUGAAUUAUUAUAUUUUAUAAUAUGAAAUCAUUGGUUCGACGUAAGGACUAUCUAAAAUUCAUAUAACCUGAAACCAAACAGAUAAUAAUAAUUUUUUCAUAUAACCUAAAACCAAACAGAUAAUAAUAAUUUUUUCAUAUAACCUAAAACCAAACAGAUAAUAAUAAUUUUUUCAUAUAACCUAAAACCAAACAGAUAAUAAUAAUUUUUUCAUAUAACCUAAAACCAAACAGAUAAUAAUAAUUUUUUCAUAUAACCUAAAACCAAACAGAUAAUAAUAAUUUUUGGUUAGCACCCUGAUAAUCACAUUCUGCGCAAGGCGCGGGUUUUACCUAGUUGUAUAUUUAUAAUGAAACAUUUCAAAUAUUGUUUACUGUUUUUAUGGUUUUGAUUAUUAAUUUUUUUUUCAAUAUUUAAAAUAGUACUAACAGUUUUAACAUUCAAAAUUUCUACAGCCAAAAGCCUAAAUUAAGAGUGUAAAGCGCAAGUUCAUACCAAUCGAACCCUAAAUUUUAUUUGACGUCUUUUACGCUAAAUUUUUUUUUAGAAAAAAAAGGAAAGCUACCUUUUUGGUUCAAAAAUGUACUUCCUUUUUGGUUAAAAAAUACUUACUUCACAUAGGCACAAAGUUUUUAGUUUGGUUCAAAUAGUCUUUGUAGAGUAUAUUGUUUUUUUAAUUGAUGGCAAAAAAAAAAAGCUCCUAUUGCGCCAAACUAUAACUUUAUUAACUUGAACAUACAAAAUGAGAUACAAUAUGUGUAUGUUAAUCAAAGAGCUGGGUAAACACAAAAGAAUAUAAAAUUCCUUUAUUAGCUAAUUGACAGAGUUGCGGGAUUGUGAUUUUUGUUUGACAAAAAUCAAUGUUAAGCAUCUGAAUUUAGACUCCCACAACUUGAUAUGGUUAAUAUCCACAAAUGAUCCAUGUAAGAUCUUAGCCAGGAGCUGACAAGACCCCUUCUAAGGAAAGGCAACCACGUUGAAACCCAUGCAUGAUGCCAUUGUGUUUGUGUAUACUGCAUACCUAUUAACAAAUUGCUACGCUUCAAUGCUUGGCGAGGCAUCCGGUAUUUUUUUUCUAAUAUGAAAUGAUUAUUAGAAGAGGGGGGAGGGGGGGGGCAGUAAUGUUAUUAGGUGGCGAGAAGGAGGGGUAAUAUAGUCAAUUUAGUGUUUCUGACUUUCAAGAUAGUGAUUACGAACGAAUCUGUCAUCAAUCAAAUCCAAGGAGGAGGAGAAAGGUAAAUGAGCUUUGUUCUCCUGAGCUUGAUUUUUCAGAUGAGGAAUUGAUUAGGGUUUGUUCUACUGUGUGUGUGGUGUAGUUUUGAAUCGAAAUAUGGCUGGGAGAGCUUCGAUCCCUGCUCGCAACUCUGCCCUCAUCGCCAUGAUCGCCGAUGAGGUAUAACCAAAUUAAAUCAUCGCUUUGAUUCAUUAGAUCAAUGUUAAUGCUUGGUUUGGAUCUCUGAGAUGUGAUCUGAACUGUAUCAAAGCGUAGAGAGUUAGUUAGUUAGUUAGUUAGUUGGUUUGCGAAAGUUGGAAUCUUUCUGUUAAGUGAAAUAAUUUUGAAGAUAGUUUGACCUUACUUGUCUCUAAAAUGGUUGAUGUUUGUGUACACAGGACACCGUUGUUGGCUUCUUGAUGGCUGGAGUUGGUAAUGUUGACAUCAGGAGGAAGACUAACUACCUCAUCGUCGACUCAAGUACGCUUUCUUUUUUCUAUUACUGUAGAAUUGUAUUAUUAAUUGAUUUUUCCUUUGUCUUUUAGAGACAACUGUGAGGCAAAUUGAGGAUGCUUUCAAGGAAUUCUCAUCCAGAGAUGAUAUUGCUAUCAUCCUCAUCAGCCAAUAUGUAAGUGCUUUCUUCCAAAUCCAGUAUACUUGCACUGUUAUAUUUACAAAACAUUAACGGCUGUGCCUGUGUGGUGUUAUUUGUGUCGUUAUCAGUGAGGUCAUGGCUUGCUUCACCUUUUAAAUAAUGGAUCAAAGUUACUGUUAUUGUAGGGUAGUUUUUGUUAUCUUGUUCCCAUUAGCUGUGUGACUGAACAUAUGAUGAGGCCACUUUGCAUCAGCCUUUUAAGACAUACUAUUCACGAGUUUGAAAUUGAUUGAGCUCAUAACUUAUUCAAAGUCUGUUUCUUUCUUUAGUGUCAAAAAAAACAUGAUGAGAAAAUAUGGCAUAUGCGUGUAGGUUGCCAAUAUGAUCAGGUUCUUGGUGGAUAGCUACAACAAGCCAGUUCCUGCAAUCCUGGAGAUCCCUUCCAAGGACCAUCCCUAUGAUCCUGCUCAUGACUCUGUUCUCUCCCGUGUCAAGUACCUCUUCUCUGCUGAAUCUGUGUCACAGCGUUAAAACAUUUACACAUUCUGCAAAGCUCGCCUGAGCUUUUAUAUCAUUUGACAUUCUUGUAUUUCUCAGUUUUCAAUAAUGUCUAUCUCUUGGUUUUUGUUUGGAAAUGGAUGUUAUAUCAGUAAGAAGCAAUGAUAACACCAUCUGGUUCUUUUUGCAUUGAAUAAAGAGAGUGAGUCAUUGUGUAUUCAAGAGACUUUAAAGAUUUAAGUGAAGACUCCAUCUAUGUGAAGCAUUUUGAGUCAGAUAAGCAGAAGCAACCAAAAGGAAGUUCAGAUCAGGUCCACCUGGAUUUAAGAAGAAGAAUAUAAGUACUUGGGUUCGCUAUGACUAUUACCAAAACACAUGUUAGUCAGAUAGAAUCAAAAAUUGUCCUAAUGUUUUAUUUAUCAAACAUCCAGGCCUAUUUGUUCUUGGCAACCACAAAGUUCCAGCCCAUUUACUGUUAUUUAUUGUUUCUGGAAGAAAAAGAAGAAAUGGCAAAAGUGAAAUAAUCAGAAAAAGCAAGGGCCCUUUCACAAAAAUAAAAAGAUGAAUUUUAGAAAAACAGAGCAUAAAGUUUGACACUUUUGUUCUGCUCCUUUCUCGUCUCUGUCUUCUUCGUCCUCAUUCAUCUUAAAGGCAUCACUCACCAAACAGCUUUAGAAUUUUCUCUUUCAAAACUCAAACUCGCUACUCAUUAAAAAAAAUCCAUUUUUAAAAAAAAACUCAAAACCAAAUGGCUAGUAACAACAACCCGCAUGAGAACCUUUCAGACCAAACACCUUCUGAUGACUUCUUCGACCAAAUCCUCGGUCUUCCCAACUUCUCCGCUUCUUCCUCCGACGGUGGGUUAGGCGGAGGAGGAGGAGGAGGAGCACCGCCGAUGAUGCUACAGCUGGGCUCCGGAGAGGAAGGAAGUCACAUGGCUGGGUUAGUAGGAGGAAGUGGACCAAGUGUGUUUCACAACCAGAUGUUUCCUCUAGGGUUGAGUCUUGACCAAGGGAAAGGACCUGUCUUUCUUAGACCUGAAGGUGGUGGUGUUCAUGCAACUGUGAAUCGAUCUUCUUCUUCUUCUUCUUCUUCUAUGAAAGGACCUGUAAGGAAUCAUUUUUUUAGUGUAAAAAGGUUAUGCUUUUUCUUAUGUGUUCUUACAUCUUUUGUCUUGUUGAAAAGGUGUUCCAUGGGCAGCCGAUGCAACAGCCAGCUCCAGCAGCGCCACAUCAGCCUACAUCAAUCCGUCCUAGAGUUCGAGCCAGGCGUGGUCAGGCUACUGAUCCUCACAGCAUCGCUGAAAGGGUAAAACUUUUACUUCAGAUUCUCUUUGUGGAAGGGGUAAAGCUGAAAGAUUUGAACUUUGUUACAGCUACGUAGGGAAANNNNNNNNNNNNNNNNNNNNNNNNNUAGGGAAAGGAUAGCUGAGCGGAUCAGGGCGCUUCAAGAACUUGUACCCACUGUUAACAAGGUCUCUCUAUCUUUCACCUUUAAAUAAAUUGUCUAGGCUUUGUAACAUGUCUCAUUUCUUGAAGUUUGUUAACACUUGUUGGUUCUGUUGUCUUAAUUUGCAGACAGAUAGAGCUGCUAUGAUUGAUGAGAUUGUGGACUAUGUAAAGUUUCUCAGGCUCCAAGUUAAGGUAAUAUAACCCAGCCAGUUCUUAUUCUUUCCUGUCUGUUCAUAGGAUUAGAGAUAUAAAAAUCAUGUCUUUGAAAUAACUUAGUUAUGUUAAAUUCUCCAUAUUGAUUUUUUUGGUCUUAGUUAUGGUCCCACCAUCACCUACCCUUCAACCCAAAUUUCAAUCUUGUUUUUUUUAAUGUGGUAAAGAAUAAUAUAGAAGUCCAAAAUGCUUUUGUUUCUUUUUUCUUUGGCACUUAGUCUAUCUUGUAAACACUUUUUGUUUUGUCAUAUAGAGAAGGCUAAUCAUGGUUUAGGAUUAAAAUAUCUGUAUAAUCAUCAUGCUCAGAUUAUAAUAUAAUCUCUUAGAUCAAACGCUUCUUAAUAUCAAAAUGCAGUCGGUUGCUUAAAGAUAAUGGAGACACUUUAGUAUGCAAUGAUGGAUUUCUGAAAAGAUGUUGACAAAAAAAGGAUUUCUGAAAAGAUAAUACAUUUUUUAUUUAUUUUGUGUGUUUCUUAUGAAAACCUUCCAUGCUCAUCUGAUAGUGGAGAAUGCAAUGAUGUAUUUCUGAUAAGAAUAAUAAAUGUUAUUUUUAUUUUAUUUUGUGUGAAAUCUUACAUGCUCAUCUGAAAAAAAAAGUAAAAAGUUUAUUUUCAUGGGAUAAAGCUUAUCUUUGGUCAACUUUUGGUAGGUUUUGAGCAUGAGUCGUCUUGGUGGAGCCGGUGCGGUUGCUCCACUUGUUACUGAUAUGCCUUUGUCAUCAUCAGUUGAGGUAAAUAAAAGAAAACAUCAAAACUUUUUAGCAAAGUGGGUUUCGACUCAAAACUGAUUAUUGUAAUCUCUCUCACUAGGAUGAAACUAGUGACGGUGGAAGGACACCACAGCCUGCGUGGGAGAAAUGGUCAAACGAUGGGACUGAACGUCAAGUGGCUAAGUUGAUGGAAGAAAACGUUGGAGCUGCUAUGCAGCUUCUUCAAUCUAAAGCUCUUUGUAUGAUGCCAAUCUCAUUGGCCAUGGCUAUUUACCAUUCUCAGCCUCCAGAUACGUCAUCUGUGGUUAAACCAGAGACUAAUCCUCCUCCACAGUAGGAUUUUUCGUGCAAGCAAGGGUUUGUACAGCAACUCAACGGGGUCUAAUAUGGCUUUAGUUUCUACUACUACAUCUCAUGACUGCUGGUUUCUUGCUGUUUCGUCUCCCUCCCACACCCACUUGUAUGGUAUGAUUGAAAGGUAAAACAAAAGGCGUUGGAGAUGGAAUCAAUGUAGGAUUUGCAAGGGAGAGUUUGUCAAAAAGCUCACUUGAUUAAAUAUGAUAUGUUAUCAUUUUAGGUGGACUUUGAUGAAAGCACCUUUUUGUUUUCAUGACUUUAGUGGGAGGUUGAGGAAGGAGCUUUAAGGGGUGUUUUAGUUGUAGUGGUGGUGGGAAGGGUGUGGGACCUGGUUGAGUUUAUGUACAAAUUAGAUGAAUAAUAAAAUAUUUGAAUUUGUUAACCGUUGUAUCUUAUAUAUUAAAAGAGAAGUCACAACCUUGAUUCAUGUGUGAUUUUUUUAAAAUUGGACCUAAUGGACCUAUUACUAGAAAAUCAUGUUACAUUUAAUUCUAAUAUUAUCAUUAUUAUAGAUCUAAAUAACUCAGUUUCUAUAUUAUAGGAACUAAAUAAUAUGUCUACUACAUUAUAGGAACUAAAUAACUAUCAAUCUUUAAAAAAAAAAUGAUCUGGAAACAACCAAUUCAAUACAAAAAAUAUACGAUAAAAUUAUUAUGUUUUAGAAAAUGAUAGACACUCAUAUAUAUUAAUAUAUACUAAUGUAGAAAUGAAAAGCAAUCAAUUUUACCGUGAUCUCGACCAUUUGAACAUAGCUAGAUCUCACAGGUAGAAAUAUUAACCCGGUUGAAGAUUAACAUAGGAUAUAAUUCGUUGAAGAUUAACAAAGCUAGAAAUAUUUAAAAAGAUUCUAUGAAGAUUUUAACAAGAUUUUGUUAGAACAUUUUAAAUAUAUUCAUUUGUAUUUCAAAUGAAAAGAUAAAGAUAUUAAAAGAUAUAAUAAUGAACUUACGUAAAAUAUGAUAUUUUUUAGAAAUGGUCCAAACUAAAAAAAACACACAUGAAAAGAAGUCAUGGCUUCUGUUUUAAUAUAUUAGAUAUAAAUAAAUAUAUACACAUAUAUAUAUAUAUGUAUAAUUUUUUAAAUAUAUAUUUUGAAAAUAUUAUAGCAUUAUCUUAAUUUUCAAAAAAUUUAUGUAAAUAUUUCAACUAAUUUCGUAAUUAGCAAUGAACUAUUAUUAUGCAUUAUAUAUAUAUAUAGUAAUCAUUUAUAAAAUAAAAAAAAUACAUUUUUAUCAUUUUAUAAUAAUAAUAGUUCAUAUUAAAUGAUUUUAUUAUAUUGAACUAAAUAUGAUAACAUUAUAUUAAAUUAAUAAAAUUAUAAAAACAGUUUUUAUAAAUAUAAAAUAUUUAUGCUAAAAAUAUAAUACGAUGAUAUAACGACUUAACAUUCAAAACUAUAUAAUACAUAUAUAAAAUCGACAUAUCUUAGACUUUUGUAUAUAUAAUAAUAUAUUAUCUGAAAUAAAUAAAUGUAAAAAUAUUGCUAAUAGAAAACUUAGUUUUCAAGGUCUGUGGAUCAAAACUGAAUAUAAUUUUAAUACAAAAAUAAUAUUUAAUAUGUUUUUGAUGCAUAUAUUAAUUUGUUAAAAAAUAUAUAUAUACCAUAAAUGAUGUAAAAAAAUAUUUAAAAUGAAAAUAAACACCCGCACGGUUGUGCGGGUCGAGAUCUAGUUAUUAUUUUAUUUGUGUGAAUUGGAGUGUAAUAGAUGAUCAAAUAAUAUCACUAGUUCCCUUUACUAAAACAGUAUUUUUGUUGAUGAAUUUGUCAAAUUUAUUGCUAUAGAAUUAGUCCUGUUAUAAAAUCAUAGAUAUAAAAAAAUUCACAAUCUGCAACAGAGUGAUAAAUCAAGAAAAUAGAUAAUCAAAUAAUAUCACUAGUUCCCUUUACUAAAACAGUAUUUUUGUUGAUGAAUUUGUCAAAUUUAUUGCUAUAGAAUUAGUCCUGUUAUAAAAUCAUAGAUAUAAAAAAAUUUCACAAUUUGCAACACAGUGUGAUAAAUCAAGAAAAUAGAAACACUUACAAGUCUUUAUUACAACAAUUUUAAUUUCACCACAAACCUUGGAAUCUUGGAAGUGAGAUGAUAACAAAAGAGAACUCCUUUUGGUCAUUUGUUUUAAAAUGGGGUUUAACCUCCAAAACCAAGAAGACAGACUACAAAGAGUAAGCAAACUCAGUUUGAUGCUAUAGGCUUCAAACAUUCAUUAUGGCCUUUAGCGUUGUUAUUGAACCACAUAAAAAUUGUCGGCUUAAAAGAACUUAAGCUUAGCAAGCGUCAAGAUCACGGAAUUGUGGUGGCUUUGGCUCCCCAAGCAAUGUCUUGUUUCCCCCUUCAGGUCCGCACUUGAUCCUCUUUGGGUUUUGAGUUCCAUGCUGAAACAAAAGUUACAUAAUUAGAAUUUAGAUUUGGGUUUUGUGUUAAACAAAGAUUAAAGUAUACAAAUGCAAUGGGUUACUUCAAUGUCUUACCGGUGGCUUCUCUCCCUUUCUCAGCUUCUCAACAAUCUCUACAACUUUCUCAGGUGUAACAUCUUCCUGUUUAUUGUAGCAAUAAGACACAUGUGAAUACCAUUUUAACUCUUUGUCGUCUUACACAGUAUAAACGAAGGAAAAUAAUGCGGGAUGAAAGAGAAGUUAUUGGACAUACGAAAUAGUUAUAUGUAUAUCCUUCUGAUCCAUUGGAGUAAUCUGCCACAGUGAUCAUGGGCGCAUUGACACAGCAUCCCUGUCAAUAAAACCAAUUGUACAUGAGAUCAAGAAGUAUUAAUCUCGGCUAUGGUUAUGAAUUUACGGUUUCAGGAAAGUAAAGAGGUGAUAAGUAAUCCUUACCAUGCAUUCCAUCUCUCCAACAGAGAACAAACCAUCCUUUGUGACUUCUGCAACAUACAUGAUAAAAGCCAUAGAUCGUUAUGACUCAGGAACCAUAUGAUUUUGUUCAUGAAAGGUUGGUUAUUAGAGCUUUACCACCGCGCUUCACUCCCAAAUGGUCUAGCAAAGCUGAUUCGAUAUCUCGUGAACCACGGAUCAUGCAAGGUGUUGUGCCACAAACUAGGAGGUGGUACUUUCCGACCUGUAGGAGCACAAUUAAAGUGAAAAAAUGAGGGUGAGGGUGUUUGAGGAUUAAAGUAGAGACUUUACCAGAUGGGUAGUAAGUACUUCUUACCUUUGCCCUGUUGAACAUGGAAUAAAAUGUUGCAACCUCAUAAACACGAAUAGGAGCCACUUCUAUAACUUUAGCAACCUGCAAAAUUUUAUUGUGUUGUCAUUCAUGAUGGUAAAAUCAUAUCAACAGAUAUUGUAUUCCCAAAAAAAAAAAGAACUACAGAAAAUAAAGCUAACAGCUACAAUCAAACAAAAACGGAAAAUGGAAAAGAGAAAGAUAAUUAUAGAUGGUAAGAGUAUAGCUGAAAAAAAUAAUAACAAGAACGUACGGCAUUCAUAGCUGAAACAGGGAGCCAGCCUCCAUGCUGUUGUUGGGCGAGAUCCAGAAGGGGAAUCACAGCAGACUGCUUGUAGUUUGAUGGAUAGUAAGAGAGUAUCUCCUUAACCUAGAGAGUUUGAACAAAAUAAAAGAACUUUAGUAAAUCAUGUGGAAACAAAUUUCACUUGCUAUGCAAGAUUAGUGCAGCCAGACACGAAAGAAGAGUAAACGGGAACUAAAUGCAGAUGAAUAGAUUAGUAUUUUUUUUAUACUCUCCCAACAGUAUUUCCCCUACUUAUGUAAGUAGUUCCUUCCAAAACAGCCAAUUAAAAGCAAGUCAGUUAUUUCUAUCAUUUCUAGGGAACGCUAACUCACGGGAUCGUGAUGCCUGAUCAGAAGCCAGGGACUAUGUAUAAGAAGGGUACUGAAAAGCAUGUUAAACAUAUUCAGAGCUGCAUCUGGUCUGAGAUAACUAUUAGUAUUUUACUCUCCACAAAACCAGUUUACUAAUAAUCCCACUGACAGUCUUUCUUCUUUAUAUAUCAGUUCCUAAUUGUCAGAAACUCCCAUUACUAUUUUAUGAUUUAUGUAAGAGGGAACUGAAAGCAGGUUAAACAUAUUCAGAGCUGCCUCUGGUCUGAGCUAUGAGCUAUCUAAUCAGUAGGGAAUGAGAGAGCUCAUAGCUCAGACCAGAGGCAGCUCUGAAUAUCUAUCUAAUCUUUAUAUAUCAGUUCCUAAUUGUCAGAAACUCCCAUUACUAUUUUAUGAUUUAUGUAAGAGGGAACUGAAAGCAGGUUAAACAUAUUCAGAGCUACAUUUAUCCUAUAAAGAGUAAAAACAUUAUUUCCCCAUCUAUACUUUUUUUUCUUCUUAAAACACGAAUUUGGAUAAAAUUGCAAUUAGUUCAACAACGCAAAGUAACCUUAGAUUUGUUAGCGUCAGAGAACUCCCAUGGAAGAUCCGGUUUGUUGUCAGGAGAAUCCAGGUGCUAUAAUCAACAAAAAUAAUCAGAUUACUUAAUUAAUUAAUUAAAAAAAAGGAUAGAGAGAGAGAUCAAUCAAAAUAUCACCAAGACUCACGUAGUUCAAGGCUGUCGAGAAGCUUCGAGACGCCUAUGCAGAUAUAAAACACGAAACCUGAGGAUGAGAUCGGGAAAACGACGGAGAAAAAAUCUAAGGAAAUUUUUAAGAAAACCUGAGUGGGAGGUUGGCGGAUCUCGAGAAGACGCUUCGCAGCGAGCCUAGCCAGCAUUUUCGACGACUUUGACAAAACGAGAGACGAACGAACGCCUGGAUUUGAUUUGAUUGAAGAAUAAGAAGAGCCAAAGAGGGACACACGAGGGAGCUAGCUCACUAUCAUCACCUGCCUCAGGAGGAUUGACCACAUAAAUUUGGGCCUAAGCCCAUUUCUAGUUUCACUGUCAAACCUACUACUAUUGGAUUAUUAUUUCUUGGGUAUUCUAUUCAUUAUAGCCUUGUACGCCCAUUUGUAUUUAAAGAUUAGUUUAUUGAUUUUUUAUAAUUCUAGCACCUCCUUGUGAGCUUAAGAAACACUUUUGCGUCAAUGAACGUGUUCCUACCUUUGUUCAGUUAUGUCUAGAUAGGUUAAGCAUAUGAUGAGGAGGAUAUUUGGACCAAAGUUCAACUUAUCCCCAAAAGAGCAGCCAAUACCGAUUACUCUCUGUUCCUGAGUUUUCUAAUGAAGCUUAAGGGCAUAAUUUCAUCUUCCUCUUCUGUGGAGUUGGUAACGACUAACGAGGCGCCACUGGCUUCUGAAAUUUCUGCUAUCGCUUGUAUUUCACUUAGUUACGCAAAGUGCAAUAAACUCCAAACAACAUUUAUCAAAAAGGGAUAUGAACGUAGCUAAAAGCAGAUAUUAUCAAAUUCAUUAAGCCAUCUCCAAAUUCAUAUCCAAGAAACCAAAACCCCCCACAAGGUAGUUUGCAUCCCAAGAAAAAAAAAAAAGCACAAGACCGAAUGUCAAGGAAAUAACCAAAAAAAAAAAUUAAAAACAAAGUUUUUACUUAGGGUGGAAGUAUCCAAAUGAGAUUCUCAUAUACAAGCAGGAGAGCAGCUGAGAUGCUUCGAUUCAUUACCCCUUUCUUUCAUGAGUCAAACCACCUCCAUAGUUGUUUCUUUCCUUCUAAGCCAAGUACCUAAACAUGUUAGCGUUCUCCUUGUCCCUCUCCAAAUAAUCCCUCGUUAUCAAAUCCUCCAUACGCUUCUUGAUGGCUUUGAUAUCAGGCUGCAAAACACACAUAUCCAAUCAAGUUCCACGAAAACAUCAUCACUUAACUAUCUCCACAUGUUUCCUUAUAUAUAUAUAGAACAUACGUACCUUGAACAUUCGGCUAAGCUGCUCAACGCACUCGGAUACAAGCUGUUGAUGUCCCAACACUUUCCUGCUCUUCAUGAUCCUCACGAUCGCAGCAUCAAUCGCAUAGCGUCUGUCUUUGUCCACGUCUUCCACUACUUUCUUCCUUUCAUCGACAGGUGGGAGAGGGAUCUGUGAUGCAAAACCACAUAAAAGUUUAUAAUCUAAGAUAAUAACCAGUAGUAGUAACACAUGAAGUUUUGUGUGUUAAUGUUUUACAGACCUUUAUUCUGCGCAUUCUGUCGGUGAAUUUGGCAUUGAAUUCAAAUGAAUCAGUCUGGGAAACAAUCUUUGUGCUUGGCUCCUUGACAAGGAUCUUGUAUCUAGCACAUGACAAGGAAUGAAGCAACCUCACUAGAUCUUCAUGGCUUAGGUUCAGUUGAGUCAAGAUGUCGUUGUAGCUCAAUUUGUCUGUUGUGUUAAAGAGUAGAAGCACAGCAGCCUGAAAGCAAGUAACAAUUUGAAAAUUAGUAUCAGAAUUCAGAGGCCGUUUAAAGGAUCCAAUAUACCAACAGUUUCUGAGAAUACAAAUGAUACCUGGUAAGUCGACACAACUAACUCAAUGGGCUUGUGAUCAAACUUGCCGUUGAGGUGACAGGUUCCUAGUGAAUAGAUCCAUGUAAGUUUCCUGUGUUUCGUUUUAGUUUCAUAAAACCCUUUGAAAACUUCAACACACUUGACCUGAAACAAAGAAAUCGAUGGGAUUAGCUUCGCCUGGAGCAAACGUUUUUCCUUUUAGACAUACACUCAACAGAUACUUACCAUUUCACUGGGAAGAUUUAUGUCGAAUGAUUUGUAGCUUGGCCAGAAACCAGUUGUAAGAACAGUAACGGUCAAAUCAAUCCCUGGGUUUGCAGCGGGGUUAUUGCCUAGAUAUUCCUCGAAACUGGUUUGGUUUUCUCUGGCCAGUGUAAGAUCUGUCACCUGUAACCAAACAAAUCAAAUUUAUAGAAAGCAUAAAUCAUCAGAAAAAUCACCGUUCUGAGACAAUAAACAUAGGGACACGCAAACUAACCAUGCCCUCCAUCUUAGAAGUAAACUGCCCACCACAUUGCUGCUUGAGCUUUGUAAGAAUACUUCUCUCAUGAUCAUCAUUAGCACUGCGAUCAAAUAAGAGCCUGCGUGCCAGCUUCUUCCUGAAAAACAGCCAAAAACAAAACCGCAUACAAUUUAUCCCAAUUUUGGUAAUUCCAUACUAUAUUAUUGGAAGGGACCUUAACAAAGAGCUAGAAUCAACAAACCAUAUAAGCAAAAAAAAUAUUAGAAUCCAAGGUAUAUAAAGAAAUAUAAGAAUGAGAGAUGAACCUGUAGAACUCGGCAAAAAGAUCCUUGUCGCUUAUAUAGGCAAGCAAUUUGACCACCUGUAACAACAUAAUAAGAUUAAACACCGGUUUAAGGAGAAACUGAAAAUGAAUAUAGCAAGCAACUUGACAAAAUACAAACCUUCUCAAGCGUGUCUUCAAUAGCUUCAUCACUCAGCUUCUCACUACCCCCCUUCUUGAGGAUGUUGUCGCAGAAUGUUGCAAGCAAUUCUGCACUUGAACUUCCAGCGACUGUUUUGUUACAGAAUAUCUCAAAUGCCUCUUUCAGAGCCUACAAUAGAAGAAACUUAAGUUAAUACAAACAAAUACACGCAUGCAAGAAGAUAUAUGCAUGACUAGUAUGCAGGAAGCACAUUAAACCUUGUGGAAGAGGGUGUGGUUCUGGAAGCACUCAACGACAUAGACCAUGUAUUUAUCAUGUAGCUCAAUCACUUUUCUGAUGAGAACCUGAAAGCAUAGAAAGAAAACGUGAAUUACUAAGUUCGAGAACAUCUUCACUAGUAGAAACAGUUGACACUGUUUUUACCUGUUCCUGCACGCUAGCAGUAUUUGCAGCCUGUGGAGUAAAAACAAAUCUUAGCGAUCACAGGCAAAGCGCGGAAAAGAUUUCAGAGUAAAAAACAAAAAAAUAUGAACCUGAUUAGUGGCCGUGUCUUCCGCCUGUUGGACGAGUGCGUUACCCUCGGCUGUGACAUGCUAUAUACAAAUUACACGAUGGAGUUAAUGCAGAACAGUAUUUAACAGAGUAAAAGUACACAAGGAAGAAAUGACUUCGCCAAUCUAAACCAUAAUAAUAAAGAUAGGUAAGCAACCUGCUUGAAUAUGUUUGCAACAGGUUCUAAACCUUUAGCAAUUUUAUGAUAAAGCCUGUACAUCCGGGAGAGAUCAUCAACCUGAAAGCACACAGAUACUCCAUCAAAGACAGAAAUAGAAAGACAAAAUAAUUAACAAUGAAACAAAGAGUAAGUUGCUCCACCUUGUCAUCUCUCAGCAAUGCACGGCACCCUGAGUGCUCUUUUUCUAGAAGCUGAUUUGCAUACACAACCAACAGCUCAUGUUGUACUUUCUGCAUCCAACAGAUUAAUAUAGAAGUCAAAUAGAUAUCAAUCAAAAUUAAUAUAUACUUUUCUGCAGAAGCAGGGUCUAAAAAGCAUGUCUCUAUGAAUAAAAAUGCAAAAUCAUGGCUUCUGUAAGUACACGCAUAAUGAAUGCUAUGCAUAAAGUCAAAGUGUCGUGCAUGAGGUAUCAUCAUAACUAACCUCAACCAGCUUUGGCUCGCUGCUUGAAUGAAGGUAGUGAGCCACUCUCUCCCUCUCCUUCUUCAGACAUUCUUCAGACUGCAACAUGAGAUUUAACAAGGAUACAUCAGACUAGUUAACAUAUGCAUUUUACUAAUUUGGAAUGACAACGCAAUCUAGAAAAUAAUAUAAGUAUUCAUACCUUCAGCAUGUAAUCAGGGCAAGAAUCUUCCUGGAUCCAGCUUGAUGCUUUGCGAGAAUAGUAAGAAGCUGAAUCCAAAAGCAUGAAGCUUUCAAAAUCCACUUCGUAUCUUUCCAUCUGUCCCAUUCCAAUCUCUACAUAGAUGUCCAAUACGUUUUUCAGAAGAGCCCUGUCAAUCUGCUCGCCCUCCCGUUCUUUAUCAACCUGACAUAGAAACAGCUCAUGUUAGACCUUGAAUAAGGUAAAAGCAAGAGUUGGAACUAAAUGUACAUUAUACACGCCACACUUACAAGUGCUAUUACAGCAUCUUUGACCUUGGAAUGCAACUCGUUAUAAACCUGAAAUAACAAAAUCAAUCAAGAGUUAAAAUAUCAUUGACGCCAUGUAAAGCCAUACAUAACAAGAACGAGCGCCAAACCCGGUCACGGAAGCAAGUCAGGCCAACUUCAUUCAGCGGUGGAAGUGAUCUCCGAGCAAUGAAGUAACGGUCAAGAUAGUAGAAGAAUCGGGAUAGCCAUCGAACCAUGACUUUAUGGUUAGACCAUCUCUUGACCAGCUCCCGCAGCAUGUACUCAUCAUGCUUCUCCUUCAAAGCAGGCAAAACCUAAUCACAAUAAAAAAAGAAAGAACGGUUUGAUCAACUUAUUGGCAUAUGAAACCAAGCACAAACCUCAAAAACUACAAAAUUGAUGAAUCAGACUCACCGUUGAGUUAAUAUACUCCUCAAACGCUUCACGAUACUUGUCAUAAAGCUGCUGCGAGUAAUCAUGAGGAGGCUUCUGGGUGCACAUGUUGUAGAUAGUCCUGAGAACCACACAAAACCCUCAACUUUCAUCACCAGUUACAAACAAAGCAAACACCUCUAAGACAACUCAAAAGACUAUAACAGAACGUACGUAUAGAGCAUCAUGUACUGCUCAGAGUCGAAUUGCGGCUCAGGCAAUCCCUCAAGAAUCCGUUUCAGUUUAGUGAUACCAGUCUGCAUAUAGUCCCAUCCUUGCUCCAAAUCAAUCGUCUUCCGCUCCAUUCUGAAAGAUUGAUUCCCAAAGCGCUCCUGGACCUAAGAACACGGAACAAAAUCGAAACUUUAGGGCAACAGUUUCCACAUUAUAGAAUCCCAAUCAAACUAUCGGAUGAUGAUAAAACGAACAAUCGAGAACGCUACACAAAAGCAAUCGACGUAACCCUAACAAUCAGAUCCCUAAAAAACUCGAAAACUAGGGAGCUAGACGAGAUCUUAGACCCUAAUUAGAGAAAGACGUUUCGCUUAACCUUGAGGAUUCCCGAUUCGAAAGGAUCGGGAGAGGUUUUGCGAUCGAGAGAGAAAGAUCAAAACCCUGAGAGAGUACGAUAAGAGAGAGGAAGAGGUGGAGACCUUUGAGCAGGACGGUGAACGAGGAAAGGAAAGGAUAUUUAUAACCCCCUCUCUUUUUUAAUCGCCUAUAACUCCUCCUCUAUUAUUCAGGCCGUAGAUUUUUAUCAUUUAUUUAUAAUCUUCGUUUAAUAUCUAUAAAUGUUUAUUUUCUAUUUAACCUUUUCUAAUUUAUUAGCCUGUUCAUUUUCCUAGUUACGGAUCUAUAAUCCUGUUUUAAAAAUCGGCUGCAUAGCUGUAUAGACGGCCGUCUAAACGUUACGCUUCACUCUUUCGUCCCAAUUUAUGAAAAAUUGGUUUAAAAAAUUAGAUAUCCGAUUUUUUCUGUUUAGACCGUCUAAAUAACCGUCUAGCCGCAUAUUCUAUUUUUUUAAUAAUAUUUUAUUUAUUUAUUUGAUCUGAAAUUUUGUAAAUAUCAUUUAUAUUCAUAAUUUUGAUGAAAAUUACAGUAUAUUAAUUUUAUAUAUUCUAUUUGUGUGUUUUAUACAAUCUUAAAUAUGAAAAUGUAUUAAUGUUAUACGCUAUUAAAGAUUACAUGUUUUACAAAAUUGUAAACAAUCUAAAAAUUUUGCCUCGCAUAAUUUCUGAUUAAUCCCCGAAUAACUGAUAUUGACUGUAUACAUAUGAAAAUAAUAUUUAGUUUUUUUAUAAGUGGUUAAAGUGUUUUAGUCCAUGUUCUCAAACGCGAACUCCUAACCGAGUAGGCGCUCGGCGGCACAAUUUUUUUCUCAAACAAUUAUGAUGAAAUACAUAUGUUACAUAGUUUGUGGAAAAUGCAUCAAUGGAAAGAGUUCAUUUUGAAAUUUUUCUUGUAGAACUAUAUACUUGUAAGCAGAUGCAGCUACUGAUUUUUCACAUAGCGUGAUGGAACUAACAUCCAAGGUGAUCAGCUGGUUUAAAUUUCAAAAAGAAGAAGGGAUUUGAUCAACAAAAAUGUUAUUAGAAAGACCGGAGAAAGUGAGCUGAAAAAGGUUUCCUACUAUAGGCAUACUCGGACCACAGAAAAAAAAUAUUAAUAGAAAUGUCGAGUUUGUCAAGAUAAUAAAGGUUUUCAAUCCAAGAAAGAAUAUGAUCCAAAAUUUUAUUAAAUGAAAUGUCAAAAGAAACGAGAUGAGAAAGAUUUACAAUUAAAGAUGGAAUCCGACUCAAAAACCAAAAAAAAAAAUAUUAUCGAAGAAAAAAUGCGACAGGUGAAAAACUAUCGUGCGAAAGGUCGAGCGACGUGAGUCCAGAAAGAUUUCCAAUUACAACAAGUCGUUAUUAGCCCAUGAGUCCGUCUGGGUUUAGUAUUGAUAAUAUAACUGUAAAGAAAGAGUUGAGAACCUUGGACUCGUUUCUGAAAUUGACAAGUGUGACCAUUUGCUCUGGGGCCGCAAACACGGCCUCGUAAUUAUAAACGAACAAGAAAAAAAAAAGACAAAGAGUGAUAGAAAUGGUAUUCAUUCCUUUCUGAUAGAAGAAAAGAAGAAGUGUUGAUGGUAUUAUUAGUAUAUAAACACGCUUCCAUGCCCACCUAUAUACACAAUAAUCUACAAAGAAAAAUUCCAAUCAGUUUGACUCAGUACUUUUCACACAUUUUUGGUCCCCGGCGGCUACAUUGAUUACAAGAUCUUUCCAAUCCAAACAAGAAAAAGUUACGAGUGUCUUAUUUUGCUCUAAAUAACAGCAUUUACAAGCUUUUUACAGUUUUUUUCAAAGAGUCUGUUUUGCAUUGUUUCGUGAUCAUCACAUGCACAGUCUUUCGUUUUGUUUUUCGGUAUAUGUUAAAACUUUAGUUUUUUUGCCAGCAAAGUUUUAAUUUGGGUGGUAAAUGUUUUUUCUUCUAAUUAUUAAAGAAGUUCAGAAUUGAGAUUCUUAAAAAGAUUGGUUAGUAAGACUGAUUCCAGCACCACUUGAAGUUCUAAACGUCUCAUGACAAAUAGUCAAAUAUACAGUUAACUGAAAGAAACCAAAGAAAUGCAAGCUAUGGCUAGCUCUCUCAAAAGAUUAUUUUAGCUAUUGGAUCUAACCUGAUGAUUAGGUUGCCUCAUUACAAGCCCUUAGUGUUCACUUAAUUCUUAUUUGGUUUCUAAAGUUAGUGUUCCCGUUCCAUUUUUGCAGAGCAAUUUUCAAGGCAAAACCUAGUUAGUGAUGCAGUUGCUAGAUUUGAGUAUCCAGCAGUGAUGGUAAUCAUCAUAGGAACAGUCAAGGGACAAUCCCUUGACGUACUCCAUCAGCAUAUAACUCGCUCACUUUGCCUCUCAGAAAGAGACCAACAACAAACUAUGAAACCAGGACUAGUUAGCUCAUCAGAGUCGACAACAAUCAAUCUUGACAACUUGUUAGGGAAUCAGUAGGAUAAAUGGGCACAGCUACAUCAGCUUCAUGGAGGUACCAGCAGAGUCAGAAUGGUUAUUACACAUCUUAUGCUAAGGGGAUUGUGUCCAAUAUGAUGCACAACCAAGUAGAAACCACCCUAACAUGAUGCACAACAACAACCAUCUAGAAAACUUGCUUCUCAUCAUCAUCCUUGUUGUAACCAAAACAGAAGUUGGCGUUAAAUCAUAUACAAUGAGACACGAGUUCUUUUAAUACCAAAUACUUGGAUUUCACGAUACAGCUAGCGUCUUGCUCCCUUGAGACACAAGUUUACAUGUUUAAGAGAUGACAGUAACCGGAACAUCAGUGAUUUAGAUAGAUUGUAAGAAUUGGCCUCUCAUUUUAUUGUCCACCCGAUUUCAAAGUGCAACUUCGUUGGUGAGGUCCUCAAGAAAAUUCUCAAAAGUUGAAUAUUCUUAUUUUAUUGGUUAUUUAUAAAUAAAAUAAAUUUUAAUUAAAAACAAAAAAAAAUAGCCAAUAGACCGCAAGUAGUCAAAGAGGAGUUCUGGGGUGAAAACCCAUUGUUGUACAUGAUCUAUUAAGACGACUUUCAGAUCCAUAAAUAUCUAAUUCUGAUGCUUAACAGUGCUAAUUAGCUGAAAAUUCUCUGUAAACAACCGUGGGGUAAAUGAACAAGUUCGUUUUUCGCUGUCCGAAAGAUAAAUACUUUAUUUCGUCCGUGCUCUUACGUUGCAAGUUAUGAGUCAAGGUAGAAGGAGCUUUAAUUUAGACUGUUGAAUUUUGUUAUAAUAAUUUCCUAUUCAGUUAACAAAAAUUCGAUUGUCUAAUAAUACAACCGUGUCCUAAACAAUCUAUGUCCCAACUAACAAAAGGAUUGAGUAAGGAGAUAAGAUAAAAGAAGCCAUUAAGAUCAGAUAAUUGUAGUCUGAGUUUUAGUCGACAUAAUAUUUCCGAACAAUCGUUAUCAUCAUGUCAUUGGCUCUUUCUCAUCCGAACUCCAAAGAGAAAUCAAAUUAUCAUCAGGAAAAAUCAAUUAAAAAGUUGAAAGUGAAGGCUCAGAAGGAUCCAUUGGUAAAAUUUCUAAUCAGAGAUUUACUCAUAAAAUAGGUAGAUUUUCAUCAUCACUGCCUUCACUAGUAACCAGAAAUCGAAGAGAUGAGAAUUUUUCCCAUAAAAGCCAAAAUUGAAAACAGUUUAACGAAACAUUGAAACAAGAAUGUGGAAUGAAAGACGAGAUGUAAUGGCUGGAUCAGCUUUAAAUUGUAAUCGCUGAGUUGGGAGAAGUCGCGGACGGCAAUAUAUAUAAGACGAUGGAGGUAGCUAGGGUUUUACGUUUUGAAAAGAAUUGGGUCGGGCCUGUUGAGACUCCAACUCUUGGAUAUGGGCCUUGUAAAUGUUUCAGUUUUUAAAUCUACUAGCAUGGAGAAAUAUAAGUUUUUUAAAAAAAAUCUUAUAUAUUAUGUAUUAUAAUUAUAAAAAAAAUUACAUAUACAAUUUUACAACAUAUAACUUUAUAUGGUUUAUGCGAAUCAAAUUCACAUCUAACCAAUUUUACUUACACCCUUAUGAAGAUCACAUGUAAGUCUUUCAUCUGUAAAUAUGCAUAAUUAUUUAAUAAAUCGUGUUCUUCAAUAUUCAAAACCCAAAAAAUUAAUAAAUCUUCGUUAAACCAUCAAAUUACUGAAACUUUCACCAAGAAAUUCAAGACUGUGAAUAAAAAUGAAAAAAAUAUGAGAUUGUGAGAGCAAGUGAUGGGAGGAAAACACAGCCUAGUCUAUCGAAAAAAAAGAUUGAGACAAUUAUACAUCUUUGUUGUGUGUGUAUUGCAGAACUUGGUUGUUGUUAUUUUAUCUAUGUAUUGAGAAAAUUGCAAAGCUUGUAACAGUAACCUUAACAAUCAGCCGUCUUCGUAGUUAGUAAUUGGUUUGAUCCAAUGCCUCUUACACUAAAUCCUAGUCUACUUUUGUUUUCCAUUUAUUCUCUUCCAAAACUACAUGAAGUAGUAAUCAGAACAAACUGAUGGAGAAGUUUUACUCUUCUAAGGACAAAUGUGCCUUCUCUUUGCGUUGUUUCCUUCAUAGUUUACUUGGCUUUUCUCCAACGUUACUUACAUGAGUAAUCAGAACAAAUGGAAAAGUUUAAAUUCUUUUGUGAACAAAUUUAAUUUCUAUUUUUGUCAUUUUCAUCUUGGUUCCCAAACCUAAAAGCAUUUCUUUUUGGUUUUGAGAACAAUGAUAUGUAAGUGUAUUUUUGAAGCUCCUUCUUGUGUUCUAAUGACAGUUGAGUUCAAGCCCGUAUGAGAAUACAGAAGUGGAAACAUUCAACUCCUCUCUUAUUACAUCAGGUUCGUUCUUCUUCUCCUUUCUAACUUAUCCAUUCAAAAGAGUUUAGUUAUCCAUUUAAAACAUAGUAAAGAUCUUCUUGAAACUUGGUUUUAAUUUGCUUACACAGUGAAUAAGAACCGACAUAGAGUUAUCUAAGCUCGCGUUUAUGUCAUCGGCUAGUGCAUUUGAGAAAUGGACAAGCUUGACAGGUCUUUUAGGACAGCUUAAGGGAAUCUGAUUGGCUACCAAUUGUUUACUUUUCUGUUGUCGUCUUGUGUAUUUUUCUACAUAUUGUCAACAAAAGAAUAGAGAUAAAGGAAAGCAAACCUUUGAAAACUUCAUCCUCUUUAACAUAUUUGGUUAUCAUUCUUUAUUCAUUUUUUCAUACUAAGCCAAACCACUUUCUUCAACACUCCAGUAACAAUUGUUAUAUCAAAAUGAGAUCUUUUAAACCGGAAUGGGAAAGCCCAUAGACUGAACCGGUAAUAACCAAGCGUCAAGAGAUGUCAUGUUACUACUAGAUGAAGCUUGCUUGACUAUAAGGGGGCAGUUUGAGUCAUUUGGCAGUUACUACAGACUUGUUUGAUCUUUUCUCUGAUGACAUUAAAUCCUUUAUCUAGAAGAACAAAAAAACUUCCAUCAUUAUAACCAAAUGUGAAAACAAAUAUACAAACGUUAAUCAAUCCAAUUCAACUUUGAAAAAUCAUCCAAGCAGACUAGUCAAUAUUGAUGGCGACGGUCUUAUAGAGGCAUUACUUAUCUGUUAAAUAAUACUAUUAACAUUAAUGAGAAUGCAAAAAAUGCUCUGCCUUUUACUUGUAUAAAUACCAGCACUACUUGUGUCUUAUUUCAUCACCUUCACCUUCAACAUCAAACACAUCACAUCUCUCAAAGAGUUUCUUAGUAAUCAAAAUCAAUGGCAGGUAUCAAAGUUUUCGGACACCCAGCUUCCGCUCCCACCAUGAGAGUCCUCCUCACCCUCCACGAGAAAAACCUCGACUUUGAGUUCGUUCAUGUCGACCUCAUGGGAGGUGAGCACAAGAAAGAGGCUUUCCUAGCCCGCAACGUAAGUAUAUCUAUCUGUGUUGUUGUGAGACAGGAUAAACACUCAGAACCGGGCAAAAAAUUAAGCUCCUAUAAUUAAUGUUUAUUUAAUUUUUUUAACUUUUAAAAGUUAAUCAGUAAUAUUUUUGUAAAUUUCAUGAAAAAAAAACAAAACUAUACACAUAAAAUAUUUUGGGUCAUUUCAGUCUAAUUAAUCAAACUUUAAUUUUUGUAUAAAAAUAAUGUAUAUAUAUAAAAAGUUGAACUACUUAACUACUAGGAUUACAUGAAGACAUGGAUUUGAGCCCGGAGCGGCCAUACCGUUUGUCCCCCGAAUUAGCUGCCCGUUUUUGAUGAAUCUGGUCUAAAUCUUGAAUGUUUUGCGUUUGAUUGAUAUUGCAGCCUUUUGGUCAAGUUCCAGCCUUUGAAGAUGGAGACCUCAAGCUCUUUGGUACGAACGUUUUCGCAGAUCAUCUCAAAUAUGAUUUGACAAUAUGCAUAAAAAGAAGAAGAAACAUUCACUAACAUGAUUUGUUUCUUUUGUGUAGAAUCAAGAGCCAUUACUCAAUACAUAGCUCACCGAUACGAAGGCCAAGGAACCAACCUUCUCCCAGCUGACUCCAAGAACAUAGCCCACUAUGCAAUCAUGGCCAUCGGAAUGCAAGUAGAAGCUCACCAGUUCGAGCCAGUGGCUGCAAAGCUUGUUUCUGAACAAGUAUUUAAGCUCAAGAAAGGCUUGACCACAGACCAAGCCGUUGUUGCCGAAGAGGAGGCUAAGUUAGCCAAGGUCCUUGAUGUCUACGAGGCUCGGCUCAAGGAGUUCAAGUACUUGGCUGGUGACACUUUUACUUUGACCGAUCUUCACCACAUUCCUACGGUUAAAUACUUGCUUGGAACUCCCACCAAGAAGCUCUUCACCGAGCGUCCACGUGUCAACGAGUGGGUGGCUGAGAUCACCAAGAGGCCAGCUUCCCAGAAGAUCCUUCAGUGAUAAGUUACUAAAAGCUUCUGCUUCAGUCGCAGUAAUAAUGCUCAGAGUUAAUAAGUUACUGCCUCAUUUCCAAUUUCUCAGUACUCUGUUUUUAUUCUCAGUUAUAACUAAGUGUGUGUUCUUGAGAGAUAUUUCUUGAAUCAUAAACUGUCUAAUCUUCAAGCUCUUCUAUAAUAAAAAGAUUAGUUACUUAUUUAAUACAAAGGUUGCAAUGUCUUGACUACAGAGUUACUGAUUAGUGAGCACAAAGACUUUGUUUGAUUAGUCUUUGCAAAUUUUUACUUUCUACCUUUGCAAGCUGACCUAAGACUUUGACUCCAUAAACAAUAGUAAAGAGUAAAGACACAUGAUGGAAAGAGAAAUCUAAAAACAAAGCAUAGCUCAGAUCACUCAAAUUGGAUUUGCUUUUUACCUUAACCCCUUUUAAGACGCUAGGUGAAGCAACCCAUCUCAUCUUUAGUCUCCAUUGUGUUGCUUGACUCAUCCCUCACUUUGACUUUACAGCUACCCAAUGAAUCGAGGGCAGAGACUGAGACAUAUACUUACAGCAUCUGGUCAUCCCAAAGUUAGAAGCUUUACAAUACUCACAUAUUGACUUUACCAAGAAAUAUCAUUUUUAGUUAGUAGAGUUUGUACGUCAUCAUCCCGGCCCAUGGCGUUCAAGGGACCAAAAAAGAAUAAUGGGAGAUCAUAAUAUCGACAUAGAUCCAACGGUCAAGAAUAAUGAUAGCAUUAAGAAGAUAUAAAGAUAUUUGAUAGUACAACAAUAUUUUUUGAAAGCCUAAGUUUCAAAAAAAAAAAAUUGAAAAUAACUACCGAUAUUGUACUAUUUUAUAUUAAUUUAUGAAAUUAGUUUUACUCAUCUCUAAAUAAAUCAUAGUAGGUGAUUAUCUCUCGCUCAUGCACAAGGAUAUAAAUAAUUAUAAAUUAUAAUAAUUUAUUAAAAUUUAAGAUUAAAUUAUUUUGUAAUUUAUAUGUAUAAAAUAGUACUAUGUUAAUUUUUUAGACAUGUGAUUUUGGAUAUAAUAUUAAGUAUGUUUAAUUAUUAUUUAUGUAUAUUGGAUUUUAUUUACUUCUUUAAAAUCGACCAUAGUAAUUUUUUAUUUUCAUUUAGUUUGAUUGUUAUCUCAUAUCUGUAAAUAUAUAUGUUGUUUUGAGAAUCAAAUAAAAAAAAUUAACGUAUUGAUUAAUAAGUUACAUGAAUUAAUAUAAAUAUAAUCUUGUAAACAGUCAGGCAUGUAUAUGAAUUAAAAAAAUAAAAUAAACUGUGACAAUUUAUUAAUAUGUUUAAACAAUUCCAUAAUUUAAAUGUAUAAAAUUAAUAAAAUAUUACUAUAAAUAAUAGCAUAUUAAUAUUUGAGUUAGAUAUUUGAUUUUAGGUAUAAGAAUUUGUAUUAGUCAAGUUAAUAAUUUUGUGGAUUAUAUUGAGUUACAUAUGUUUUUUUAAUGUUAAGAACAUUAGUUUAGUUCUUCACCGUAAAUGCGUAAGAUUCAGAAAAAAAGAAUGUGUAAGUUUACUUUCAUAAUUUUUUGUAUUACUGAUAUUUGUUUUUUAAUAAAGAAAUUCUUAAAGUAAAACUAAAAAUGAUCAAUAUGAAGGUGCAUAAAUGAAAAUAACUAAUAAAUUUUUAAAAGAUCAUGAAUGGAUAUCAAUAUUUUAAAAAAUUAUGUAAAAUAGGUCUAUAGUAAAAAUAAUAUUUUUAGUUUCACUUUCUAAUAUAUGACUUAUUUCUUAAAGUCAAUUUCAAAAGCAACAACAUUAUUUAAUAUUUCUAAAAUAAAUACUUUUUGAGAAAUCAUGUUAUGUAAGUAACUUUCAAAAUUUCUUUAGAUAUUUUCAUCAGUGUAGUACCGUAAUUGAAUAAAAGUUAUAAGAAGUUUGAGUCAUUUGGCAGUUACUACAGACUUGUUUGAUCUUCUCUCUGAUGACAUUGAAUGCUUUAUCUAGAAGGAAAAAAACUUUAUUCCAUAACCAAAUUUAUAAACAAACUUCAUUCAAUCCAAUUUAACUUUAAAAAACCUCUAGAAAAACAAGUCAAUAUUGGUUGCGACGGUCUUGUAGAUGCAUUGUGUAUAAGUUGAAUAAUAUGUAACAUUAAUGAGAAUGCACAAAAAUUCUCUGUUUUUUACUUGUAUAAAUACCAUCACCACUUGUGUCUUAUUUCAUCACAUUCACCUUCAAACAUCAAACAUCACAUCUCUUAAAACAGUUUCUUUGUAUCAAUGGCAGGUAUCAAAGUUUUCGGACACGCUGCUUCCAUUUCCACCAGAAGAGUCCUCCUCACCCUCCACGAGAAAAACCUCGACUUUGAGCUCGUUCAUGUCGACCUCAAGGACGGUGAGCACAAGACAGAGUCUUUCCUAUCCCACAACGUAAGUAUAUACUUAAUCGUUUCAUUUUAAAUCCGUUUCAUUUUAAAUGUAGUUGUAGAAUUUAAAUUUUAUUUCAUUAUAAAUGACAUUUUAUAUUUUCAGUGCAAAUUUUUGAUGGUUUUUUCACUUUUAAUUCCUAUCUUUCAGCACAUUAAUUUUUAAAAAAUAAAUAAAAUAGUGUACUAAUUAGGGAUAUAAUAGAAAAUUUAAUGAUUUUAUUAAUUUGUGUGAAAGAACCUUAACAACAUAUGAAACGAAACGUAGGGAGUACAUAUAUAUGUUGUUGUAAGACAAGAGUACAAGACCAGCACUCUGAUGAAUCUGGUCUAAAUCUUGAAUGUUUUGCAUUUUUAUUUAUAUUGCAGCCUUUUGGUAAAGUUCCGGCCUUUGAAGAUGGAGACCUCAAGCUCUUCGGUAUGAACGUUUUCAUGAUCUUCAAUCUUAAUCUGAUUUGAAAAUUAUAUGCGUAGGAAGAAGAAACAUACACUAACAUCAUUUGGUUCUUUUGUGUAGAAUCAAGAGCUAUUACUCAGUACAUAGCUCACCGAUACGAAGGCCAAGGAACCAACCUUCUCCAGCCUGACUCCAAGAACCUGGCCCAAUAUGCAAUCAUGGCCAUGGGAAUGCAAGUAGAAGCUCACCAGUUCGACCCACUGGCGUCAAAGCUUGCUUGGGAACAUGUAUUUAAGCUCAUCUAUGGCUUGACCACAGACCAAGCCGUUGUCGCCGAAGAAGAGGCUAAGUUAGCCAAGGUCCUUGAUGUAUACGAGGCUAGGCUCAAGGAGUUCAAGUAUUUGGCUGGUGACACUUUUACUUUGACCGAUCUUCACCACAUUCCUGCGGUUCAAUACUUGCUUGAAACUCCCACCAAGAAGCUUUUCACCGAGCGUCCACAUGUCAACAAGUGGGUGGCUGAGAUCACCAAGAGGCCAGCUUCACAGAAGAUCCUUCAGUGAGGAUUUCUAAAAACUAAAAAGAAAACAAAAUAGUUCUGCUUCAGUUACAGUAAUAAUGCUAAGAGUAAAUAAGUGGCUGCUUCAUUGCCCAAUUCCUCAGUACUCUGUUUUUUUCUCUGUUUUUAUUCUCAGUCAUGUGUGUAUUCUUGAGAGAUCUUUGUUCAAUCAAAAACUAUCUGUCUAAUCUUCAAGCUCUUUUAUAAUAAAAAAUACUCCCUACCUUUUAUACUAAAUGUUGUUGUAGAGAUUUUUUUCCAUUACAAAAUAAGUGUCAUUUUCGAUUUUUAAUGCAACAUUUAUUGAUUUUAUUUAGUAAUUUAUUUUUCUAUUAAUUGAAAUAUGGUUAGGUUAGGUGUAUAGUUAAUUGUGUUUUUAUAUAGAAAAUAUACAAAAUUAGUUGUUUCCUUAAUCCGUGUACAAACCCAAAACGACAGUUAAAAUGAAACACAUGGAUAAGGAGUAUUAGUUAAUUAAUACGAAGGUUGCAAUGUACCGCAGAGUUAUUACUGAGAACUAGAGAUUUUUUCCGCGCUUCGCGCGGAUUAUGUCUUAUAAAUUUAUUUUAUUUAUAAUAUUAUUUGUUAAUUUUUUUCUUUUAUAUUAACUUCUUGUUUUUCCAAUGUUAGUUUUUCUUAAUUUAAAUUUAUAAGUUAAUAAUUUUUCAUUUUUUUGUUGUAGAUGGAGAAUUAUAUUUUUUAUUGAUGGUUUUUUGUAUGUGAUAGUGACAUAAAUUUUUUGAAAUUUUAAAAUAAUAUUAUAUAUAGUACGAUUAACACAUUAAAGAAGAGAAACAUAUUCAGACACAUUUUACACAGGUUUUAUAUGCAUAAUUUUAAACAUUAUAUAUGUAUAUAUUAUAAGUUUGAAACAUGUAAAUGCUUUCUAAAGCUAAAUACUUGUUCUGAGUUUACAUAACUUAUCGAAAGUUUUAUCUCUUUUUAAAUUCAAAUCACAGAAAAAAUAUAAAAAAGUCAGUAUAGAUAGGUUUUUUGGGCUUUUAAAUCAACACUGAAAAAUUACAUGAAUCAGAUAAUAACAGUUUUGUAAACAACUGGAUAAAAUUUGACCGAGCCAAAGAUUUUCACACAAUAUGUUCUUUCUUCUUCAAAUUGCGAAGAGCCUAUAGGCACAAGAAAAAAAUCAUAAAUUUUGUUUUCACUUAUAUAACAUUUUUUAUCCUUUACACACGGAGUUUAUUACACUGCUAUAAGCAAUGUAGAACUCUAUUCAUAUAAGAUUCACAUCUAUGCAUUUUGACAAAGAAGAAUUUCAGCCAUAUUUAGUUUCAGAAUGUACCAACUUCAGUCAUAUACACUAUAUUUUCUCUAUGAUUCAAAACUUAUAAUUUUAAUAUAUGUGCAGAUUUCCAUGUGAAAAGGCACGCAUGCCAUCUAUCAUUCAACCUAUUACUUUUUCCAAAGUAAACACUAUAAUCCUCGUUUGGUUAGCUCCACAAACUAAUCUCUUUGGAUCAGUUUAUCAAAAAAUAUGGAUACUAAUGUCAGAAAAGAAUAUAAACACUAUCAACAAUACAUAUUGGCACAAGAAUAUUUGGUUCAAGGAACAUAUUCCACGUAAUGCGUUUAUAUCAUGGCUGGCUUUGCGGAGAAGACUGCCAACCAAGGAUCGCUUGAGGCGUUGGGGAUUAAAUGUCUCAGGAACGUGCGCCCUUUGUAAUCUGGAAAUAGAGACUCACCAUCAUCUCUUCUUUGAGUGAUCUUUCUCUCGCUUGAUAUGGGAGCCUUUUGCUGCUGAAGUUUGGAUUUCUCCUCCGGCUGAUCUACACUCUGUUGCAGCCUAGAUCAAUCAACCUCGCGUCAACGUAGAUGCACAUGCUACUCCAGUCAUCAAGCUCUACUUUCAGUCAUGUCUCCUCACCUUCAUCAGUCAUCCUUGCCUCUUUCGACCGUAUGAUGCGUGACCGUCUCCUCUCUUACCCGGUAAGUUCUUCUUUCUCAUCUUCUCUACUUCUUUUUAUAUUUCUUGUAUAAGACUUCCUUAAGGCUUUUUUUACCUUGAGUUGUUGUUGGUUGUUUUUGUUUCCUUGUUGUAAUAAGUUGUUUAAAAACAACAGUGUAACCUUUUAGAAAAUAAUAAUCUUAACAUCUUACCAAAAAAAAAACAACAAAUAUUGACUUAUUUAUGUGAAUAUAUAUUUUAUUUUAAAUCAUUAUAGUGGACGAAUAAAACACCAUAAUUUGUACAACAAAUUUUCUUAGAUUCACCUCAUCAUACUCACCAUUUUACCAUUUUAAUUACAUAAUUUUACAUGAGCUUCUUCAUCCUUCCCGGUUAUUUUCUCUUUAUUUAUAACUACAAUAUAAUGUUAUAAAUUAUAUAUAUUAUAAAUUAAUAAUUUAUUUACCCUUAAAGUCUAACUAUUAAAAUAUAACAUAAUUCAAUAUAGAUAUAUGAUUCUAUUAAUAAAUUAGUAGUUACAAAUUUGAAAUUUUUAGAAAUAUCAAAAAUUGUAUGUUAGUUAAUUAUUUUCUAAAUAAUAUUUAUUUUUAAUUCUUUUUAGAUGAGAAUAUUUUGGCUGAGGUGGAUAGUCUCAAAAGCCUUGAAUUUAGUCCCUUUUAUAUAGUAGGAUAUUAUACAUCAUACAAAGACUUUCAGUUUUAGUCUUUUUUUUAUGCACAAUUUGAUUAGUCUUUGCGAGUGUUUUUACUUUCUACCUUAUUUUCUCAGCAAAGAAGCUAAGCUAAGACUUUGAACGUUCUUAUCUUUAAAAGUCUCCAUGCUUUGUGCCUUUGUGGGAUCUCAAAUUUUAGAAUUAAAUCUUAUAAACUAUAUUAAAAUUUAGGUUAGAUUUUUUAAAAAAUUAUGCCAAAUUUAUUGAAAAUUUUCUAAUUAAUUUUUUUCUGUAUUCACAUUUUGAUACGCUGAAGGUUGAACUAAAGAGACCCAAAUGAUGCUAUAAAUUCCCAAACCAUAGUAAGUCAGUACUCUAUUGAUGUAUCCAAUAUGCUUUUGACAUCUUGUAUACUAAAAGAAUCAACUAUUUAGUUGUUAGAUGUAGAUACAUUUGAAAGCAGGCUAAAAAUGUUCUUCAGUUAACAUUGAUUAUUAUUGAUUCUGAAAUAUGGAUUAAAAAAAAGAGAGAGAAACAAACUGAUGUCUAUGCACAAUACUUUUGCUUCCACCCAUCUUACAACAACAAGCAAAGACAUGAAUAUAGCUAGAAACAGAACACAAAUUCCUAAACGCCGCAGAUCCGAGUAUUCAAGCUUGGUUGGUUUGUUGUACCUUUACAGCCUUAAACGCCGGGUGAAGCAACCCGAGCUCGUCUUUCAUCUCCAGCGGAUUGCUAGUCUCGUUCCUCACUCUCUUUACUUUGCGACUAGCCAAAGAUUUAUGAGUGAAACCAUAUAUUUGCAGAAUCUGGUUAUCCCCAAAGUUAAAGGCUCUGUCCAUCUGUUUUAGACACCGUUCAACCGGGUAGUCCCCAAACUUCCCGCAUGGUUUGCAACCGACAAAGUGAGUCACCAAUGGCCACCGGUGGUCACCUAGACCCGGGUGGUAGUUUUCUAUCAUUUCUUCGUAUCGGUCCACAAGUAUUCCCCAGUAACCGUGAAGAUAGUACCCAUUUUCUAGGUAUACCUAUAACAACAAUGCAGCAGCUCAAAUAAGAAUAAAGCAAAACCAUAACAAAAUGCAACUCGCAUUGUGAUCUGUGAUGAUAAAUAUGUGAUGAAGAAACGUUAUAAACAUAACAAGAUGCAACUCACAUUGUGAUAUGCAGUGAUAAAUUAAAACUUUAUGAUGAAACAAAUUAUAAACAUAACAAAUGCAACUCACAUUGUAAUUUGUGGAUACAAAUUACAAUGCCUAUGUGAUCAGAGACUUUAUAAAACCACAAGAUGCAACUCACGUUGUGAUUUGGAUGAUAAAUUAAAACUUCUUGUGAUGAACAAACGUCAUAAACUGACAAUAUGCAACUCACAUUAUCAUUUGCGAAUACAAAUCCAAUUCCUAUGAGAAUAUGCAACUCACAUAGUGACUUGUAAGUGAAAAAACUCAUACUGAUAUAAUCAAGAGACGCUAUAAACCAACAAGAUGCAACUCACAUUGCAAUUUAUGUGCGAAAAACCGAUCUUUAUGUAAUCAAGAGAUGCUGUAGACUACUAGACUUAUAUAUUGGUUUAACAACUAAGGCAAUAUGAAUCUCAAAUCAAAUUUCAGUUAUUACCUUAUUACCCCAAGUGUCUCGCUGAGUAGCCAAGAGAUAAACCAUAGCAGACUGAUCAUCAGCUUCGAAAACCGGCCUACCCUUAAGCUCACGAGUCAAAACCUUACCCGCUUCCUCACGGAUCUUCCCUUUAGGACCCAUAGGAGCCCAAGUGUCAAGCAAAUCAAGCGCCCACUGAUUAUUCCUAAGCAAGAAACUCCCAGUAUUCAACCCAAUCCAAUUCUUGUCAUCAUAAACCAUCUCAUUCCAUCCAUGCAUCACCAAGUUAUAAUCCUUAUACCUCUCCCACGGAAGCUCAAACGCCAUGUCCGUAAACAUGGCAUCACUAUCCAUCCACCACAGAAACUCAAUCUCGGGGUGAGACAGCAAAAGCUUCCUAAUCAACGGCAGCUUCGCCCAAAACCCAGCCAUCUCAGCAUCGAGCAGAGCCAUGUUGUAGAAGAUCUCGAUCCCGUGAAGCCUACAGUAAUCGAUCUUGUUCUUGAUCGACUUCAAGAGGUAAUGGUCUCCCACAGGAUUCUCACACGGCUUCGGAGCAGAACCGGUCACCAAGAGGACACGUGGCUUGUUUGGUCCGAUGAAGUUGGGGAAGCUAGGGUUCUUCCCUAACCAGUCGGAUCUUUGCUCGUCCCAAUCGGAUAUCUUGGGUCCGAGAGUGUACGGUUUAUUCGGGUCGGGUUUCUCUUCUUCUCCUUCGUCAACGAAUAUCUUGUUAAUGUCAAACGUCUCAUAGUUAUUGCUCCCGGCGCCGCCACCGUCGCCGGAAUCUCCUCCUCCGCCGCCGCCGGAUUGUAUUUCUUCGAGUACACGGUGAGGCUCAGCUCGUUUACGAGAUGUUUGGAAAUGCUGACGGAUCUCGUCGAGGUCUUGCUCCGGUGUACCGAACUUACCGGCGCCGAUUGUGCCACGUAGGACGACUACUGUGAGAACGAGACAGAGGACCGUCACCUUUAAGUGGCGUAAUGCUCUUUGGAUUCUCCGGCACCGGUGAGCUCCUAAACAUCUCUCGAUCAUCUUUAUCCAAUCUACUUCGUCUUCUUGGUAGAGAGAGAGAAUCUCUCUGUUUAUUAUUAUCUAAUUGAGGUCAAGAGAAGAUCUGAGUUUUCCAUUAAUGAAAGAUUCGAAUUUGAUUUUUUUUUUUUGGACACUGUUACUUGUCAAAGUUACUACAAAAGAGUUUGCGUUCGGACAGUACUACUGUUAGUAACUUUAAGUUGUCUGAUUUUUUACUCGGUUGUGUCGGUUGUGGUUGUGUGUUAGUGUAGUGUUUGUCACACGUGGCGAUAUAUCAGGGUAUGUGACUUGUUAUAUAUGGUCCUGACCGUUGAUGCAACAUGGAUCGAGAUAUCGGAGCGCGUUGAAAAGUCAACUCGUUAAUAUUACCGUAGUUCUUUUUUCGUGCAACAGAAAUACUGUAGUAGUUUUUUUUCUUAUAAAUAGAAAAAAAGUUGAAAACAAAAGGGAACAUAAAUAGGAAAAACGAAUUCACCAUGUUGGAUAUGGUUAAACAGGGGUUGACAAAAAAAAAAAAAAGGCUAAAGAGGGCUCGGCUCGGAUCAAAUAUAUGAGUUUUUUGAGGUUUUCGCGAUCUAAUCCAUUUUGUUUGAAUAACCAACUAUUCGAUUAUAUUUGAUCCAUAGCUAUUCGAAUAUCCUGUGUCUAGAAUAUCUAGAAUUUUUUUUGUAUUUUUAACAUAUAUCCGAUUCGAUUAGUAUAAAUAAAAUUACAAUAAAUAAAUAAUCCUAAAAUAAAGAUAAAAUAAUAAUAUUUUAUUACAAAAAUAUAAAUUUCUUUACUUUUUAAAAUUAUAAUAACUAAUAUAAUAAAUAUAAUAUUGUAAAACUUAUAUAAAAUAUUAUAUUUAUAUGAUUAUUUAUAUAUAUAUGUAUAUAACAUAUCAUAUUUCAUAUCUUUCUUAAAAAUAUUAGUAUUUGUGAUUUAUUUUAUUUUUUACUGAUAUUACAUAUUAAUAUUUGCUUUACUUCGUAAAAUUACAGAUAUUUAGAUUUUUUUUAUUUGAGUCAAAAUAGAUAAUGAAUCGAACCAAAAUUUAUUGAUAUUUUUCCCAAUCUUAUGGUUAGUUACUAGUUAAAGUUUAGUUGGCUACCACAAUACUUCUUUUUUUACUUUAUUUAUUCUCCUGGUUUAUGAAUUGUUUUUUUCAUUUACACCAAAAAGGUUUAUGUUAUAAAAGUCAACUAGGUAGUAAUCCUCCCCUUGCGUAAGAUGAGGUUAUUAAUUUUGUUAUUUUUAAGAUGUUAAGACAUUAUGUCUUACUUCGGCUUUGGGUUGGUUUUUCAGGUUUUAAUAUCUUAUUAUAUAACUAAUUUCUAAAUUCAUAUUUAUUUUUGUUUGUUCGGUUAAAAUGGUUGAGGAUUUUUGGUUUUUUGGUGAUAAACCAAAACUAAUUAGUAUUUGUUUGGUUUCAUGUUAUCAAAAUUUUAGACAAUCCUGAUGUCAACCAAUCGUUUUACAUUAUAAUUUCUAAACGCAUUCAUAAUAAAAUUAAAUCUAGAUAAUUGUUAAGAAAAACAAAAAAAAAUUAUAAAGACAAAUCAUUUCAUUACAAUUAGAUUAAUGGUGAAUGAAGAAUUAAAAAUAAUAAUAUUGUAUAUUGCGUCUGAAUUAGAAUCAUCACUUACGGUGAAUAUUUAGUUAUAUAGGUACUCACUUCAAUGUGCAUAUGAAUAUAUAUGUAAAUAUUUUAAAAGUGUUUCACAAAUGAAAUAUAAAGAUAUUGAAAUGACAAUUUUCGGUCUUCGGUGUUGCGUAUGUGUGUCGUGCGAGUUGUCGUGUGGAGUUGGGGCUCUUGCUUCACCGGAUUUUGGUAGGUUAUGUGUCUCUUUGCUUUCUUUAUGGUUUUGGCAAUGUGUUCUCUGGUGGUUGCAGCAUGUGGAGCUUCUUUUGUGGCGGAGGCGUGGUCCGCCUCUCCGUGUUCCCCGGUUGUAGCGGGUUGGUGCUUGAGCUACUCCGGUUCGCUAUUGCUCAGUCUUUUUCUCCGGUCAUUGCUCGACACUUCUCAGAUCGAAUAUUGGUCGGUGAUAGUGGCAUGCUGCGUUCUUCACUCUUCUCAAAUAAUCUCAGCAGCUUUGUGUUCUUAGCUUGUGGUCAGUUACGGUUCAAGUGGGUCACUUGGUGCGUUAGUGGACAACAAGUUUCAGAUUUUGGCUAUAGUUUUGUCUCCUCAGGAGGAUUCUCCGUUUCUGAUAUGUCUUCUUUAUAAGGGUUGUGGUUAUAUGGGUGCAUACGGUCGUGUGUUGGUUUCCGCACUGACCCUUAAACACUAGGUGGACUAUGGAUGAGGUAAUUUCCGGCUUAAACGGCUGAACAACGACAUUGUAGGCUUACAACUUUUCCUUGUACCACUGGUGAGUUCAAUUAUCUCGCCUGCUUUGGGCUAGAGCUAUAGAAACCAUAGUAUUCAAGGUUAAAGGGUCUUUUUCCGAGUUUAUUCGUCUAGUUUCCGAGUUGGUGGGUCUGAGCCCGUCUCAUUAUCAAUCAUGUUAUCAUUGUGCUUUGUUGCUUUGGUCUAUUACUUUGUUGUUUGUAGCGUUUUUUUUGUUUAACUGUGCGUAGUUGUUCUUGUAUUUUGUUAUUUUUUUAUUUCUGCCACUAGUUCAAAUUUGUAUCGUCUGUCAAAACUCAGAAAUGUGGUAUAAUAAUUAACAUCUUACGACAAAAAAAAAACGAAUUUACAAAAGGUCACGUGAUGUAACAUGCAUGGAUCAAUGGAUGUAUACACGCACACGUGCCUAACACAACAACAACAGUUAGACGAGCCCAGACCCCAAGUGGUGUUCAUCGAGACGUGUGUAGUAGUGAACCUGUUCGGUUCUUUCCCGUCUAUAAAAGAUUCUUCACGAGUUCGUGUAACUGGUCAUUGGUCAAACGUUACUUAUUUUACCCACUGAAAUUCCAAAUCAAUGUGUGACUUACAGUUGACUUUUUAUUUCAGCUAAAUGUUUUCAAAAAGAGUAGAGCUUGGCUGAGAUUUUCUCCCAACAAUCCACAUAAUUUUUACUUUUUUUUUCUUUCUUAUCGGUUACGCCUUCAAACCUAUUUACACGUAACAAAGUAUAUAUACAUAUUUCAACAUUGAAUGUCAGUUAAAAAAACCAUUCAAAAUACGUGUAUCUAUGUUAGAGAGAGAAAGCAGAUCGGGUUGUGGUUUCCGACGUCCGGCCGGCGCGUGAGCGCGCGUGCCGGUGCGGGAGCCCUUUGAUCUUUCACCAAGUGCUUUUCUUCGGCUUCUCAUACUUGUCCUCCCCCUAUCGCCUUGUCGGAGCGCUGGUCCGGGCCUUGUCCGUUGUCGUCACCUCCGGGGGCGACCCGGUGGAUUUGGAGCAACGACGCGAGUGGGUGGAGGAUGGGGGUGGUGAAGCCGGUAGUUUCGAGUAGUAUUAGUUUUCCGGGAGGUGGAGGCUUAUAGAGCUCCAUCGACGCCGACUUUGUCACCGGGAGGCGGAGGCUUCCUUUGCUCCGCUGUCGCCGGCUCUUGUCUCCGGGGCGUGAAGGUUGCUCUGUGCCUUGCGCCGCCGGCUAAGUGGUCUUUUUAUAUCCGUUUUUUAGGUUUAUCUUUUAGUCUCUAGCGAUGUCGGGUUGGUUUGGCCGGUGGAGCUCUCGUCGGAGGAUGAUAGACGCUCCCCGGUGGUAACUGGGUGAUGGUUUGCGCUACGCUUUCUAGUCGGUGGUGGUGUUUUAAUUGUGACGGAUUAGCUCUCCUCUGCGAUUGAUGCUAUCCGAGUUUAGAAUCGCUGUCUUGAGGGUGUUAGCGGUGAAGAUGGUGGAGCUAUUGAGCUUGUGGGUGUACCGGUGGUUAGAUCAUGGGAGAUGGCACCGGGGUCUCGAUUGUUGCGGUUUCCGGCGUGGUUCGAAGCGGUUGAGCGUGAGUGAUGCGCCUCCGUUUUGGGAGUUAGGGUUUCCGUUUUCUUUUGGGCUUUUGGGCCUUUGUUUGUGUGGAGUUGGGUUGUCCCUUGUGGUUUGGGCUGUGUAAUGGUUGGGCUUGGCCCUUAUUUUAAAUAAAAUUUCUGAUGGAAAAAAAAAAUACGUGUAUCUAUGUUUAUAUAAUGGUCUAGUAUGCUUAGAUAGAUUAAAAGAAAAAGUUUUGACUACACUGAUUCAUUGUGUUUAUGUGGUAAAGUAAAAAGGUUUGACUUAGUGGAGUCAAUCUCCAGAAAAAGCAAGUAGAAGAAUCUUACCUUCUUAUCUGUCUAAAUAAAUGCAACGUAUUGCACAGGUGGAUCUAACUCUCCGUUUCUUCUUGAAGAAACUAGUAAAAAGCGAAUUAUUAGUUUCUAUAAGUAAAUAAUAAAAAAAAAAUCCAUUAUAAAAAUACAAUUACCAUACUACCCGAUUUGUAAUGACUUUGUGAUGUAGAAAUCAUAGCCAUCGACUACUUUAAACAGUAAAUUUAUAAUAAUAUUAACUUAUAAUUUAAAAUAUUUAACUAAAAAUAUAAUUCUUUCAAAUAAUUCAUUUUAAGUUUUUGUCACAAAAUAAUCAUACAAAUGAUCAAAAUACUCUUUUUUUAUUUUAAAAUUUGAAAUUUUUAUUUUUUUAAAUUUGAAACCAUAUCCCAAAACCCCACCAAUUAACUAUAAAUUUUAAGUUUAAAUUAGUUAAUCCUAAAGUUUUUUAUUUUUUAAUAAAAUUUAUUUUGAUUAUUUUUUUCAUUAAAAACUAUUUUUGCGAAAAUAAACUAAAAAAACUAUCAUAUGGAUUUUUCGAACUAAAAUCAGUUAUACUUUUUUUCUGUCAACAAAUUAGCUAUACUUAAAAUUCGUAAAACUGUUGAGCUACACUUUAGCCUUAUUAUUUUAUUAAAACGACGUUUAUUUAAUUGGAAAAACAGAUAUACAACACCAACCACACAAAAUGAAUAUGGAAUAAGUUUUAAAUUUUUCUCUUACAUUGAAAUGAUAAUUGAACGUGUAUAUAUAGGAAUGGAAAACAUUAAAUUUAAAAUAUGGAUAUAAGACGGUCAAGUUAUUUUUAUAUUUGACCAGUAAUGUAAUUUAACGCACAAACACAUAAUAAUACAUAGAAUAAAGCUGCAGGUUAUAUAAAUUGACCUUAGGAGUAAUCAUUUACACGAAGUCUCUCUGAUUAUUUUUAUUUUCUCGAUUUCGUCUCUAUCCUUCUCCUUUCUCUCUAUCGGGAACAAGAGAGGUUGAGAAAAAAUCGUGAGAUAUGGUUGAGACGAGACGCAGCUCAUCCGCUUCCAAGCGUUUCUGUUCUUCUUCUUCCUCCCCUGAACCGUCGUCGUCAUCUCCUCGCCCCACCAAGCGAUCUAAGGUCAAGAUCGAUGCUGCUAUUGAAUCUGUACGUAGCUCUUGUUCCGAAUCUGAGUUUUUUUUUUUUUGUUUUUUUUUAAUUUCGAAUCUGAUGUUUUGAUAACCUAGGCGGCGGCGGCGGAACCGGCGGGGUCUUCGUCGGCGAGCGAGGUUCCGGUUGAGAAUCAAGGGCCGGUUUCGGAUCCUGGAUCGGAGUCUGGGGAGCCGGAGCUUGGAUCCUCUGAUCCGCAAGGUGUGGAUGCGGAGAAGCCUGUUUUGACUGAUGUGCCUGUGAUGGAGAUCUCUCCUGAAGCCGACGCUAACCCUGAAGCUGAUGUCUUGGCGACACCUGCAAUAGCAGGUUUGAUGUUCGGUCUCAUGCUUUUGUCUGUUUAAGAAAGAAUUAUCCUUUUCGAAUGUUUUAAUUGUGGAUUUAGGUGAAGUGGUGGCGGAUGGUGAGAAGUCGAAGGCCGGGAAGAAGCGAGCUAAGGCUCCAUGGGCGAAGCUACUUUCUCAGUAUUCUCAGGUGUGUCAAGUUUAGUUUCUUCGUGAUUGUUUUUUUUUUUGAUCUACUGGUCUUUACGGUUUAGCAGUGUGCAGUUCGUGUAAUAAUUUUAGUAAAGUUUUGGUCUUUCAGUUCAAUUUUCUGCAUGUCCGGUUCUUUUAUAUUUUUUCCGACAGAAGUAUGUUGUUUUGUCUGAGACUUUUCUGGUCUACAAGUCUGCCAGUAAAAGUUUAGCAGUAUGUAGUUCGUGUAAUAUUUUGAGUAAAAGUUUGGUCUUUCAGUUCUUGCCGAACGAGUUUAGUUGUCUUCAUGUCUGGUUCUUUUAUUUUUUUUCGGACAGAAGUCUGUUGUUAUGUUUGGGACUCUUUUUAUACUUUUUUUUUCUGGACUACGAUACUUCUGUUUCUAACUGUCCCAAUGCUUGUUUCUCUGUAAUUUCAGAACCCACACCGUAUCAUGAGGGGCCCUGUGUUUACUGUUGGACGCCGAGGAUGUGAUUUAUCUAUCAAAGACCAAUCUAUGCCCAGCACCCUGUGUGAGCUGAAGCAGUCUGAUGUAAGGACAUCUUAGUUCCCCCUUUUUUUUUUUUUUUAUCUCAGUCUCUUUUUUUCUUACAUAAUGAUUGUGCAGCACGGAGGUCCAUCUGUUGCAACAUUGGAGAUAACAGGGAAUGGAGUUGUCGUUCAGGUGAAUGGCAAGUGUUACCAGAAAAGUACUUGUGUUCAUCUUCGUGGUGGUGACGAGGUCAUCUUCACCAAUUUUGGCAGACAUGCUUACGUAUCCUUUAUAAAGUUGUGUGAAAAUUUAUUAUAUUCGCUUUUAUGCUAUCUAUAAUGUUCUUGUCAAGACAUUCCAAACUCGGGUAGGCAGAUCAGGUAGUGUGGUAAUCAGUCCACUCGAAUCAGCCGAUAGGGCAUAUAAAAAAAUUCAAUGGUUUCUGGGUAACUUUUCUUUAACGGAUUUCUAGAUAUUUCAACCUCUUAAAGAUGAAAAUCUAGCUGCUGCUCCUGAUAGAGCUUCUUCAGUGAGUGUAUGUGAAGCUAGAGGUGCACCUCUGAAAGGAGUCCACGUUGAGACAAGAGCAGGAGACUCCUCAGCUGCUGAUGGAGCCUCUAUACUAGCAUCUCUGUCAAAGUACCGCAACUUCCAUCUCCUACCACCAAUUGCUAAAUCUGCUAAAAAGCAGCAAAAUCAGGAGGCUCCUGUGGUACCUUCCAGCUGCAACGAUUGCGUCUCAGAUACCGAGAUGAACGAUGCUGAUAGUAACAAUGAUCAUGCUGAUAUUGCUUCUGUGGAGAAAACUGCUGAUGCU
This 173552-nucleotide long non-coding RNA is filed under the name Brassica napus (rape). RNAcentral's name for it is "long non-coding RNA (BNAP_LNC002421)". The record is from RNAcentral. Lineage: Eukaryota; Viridiplantae; Streptophyta; Magnoliopsida; Brassicales; Brassicaceae.